GAAGAGUUUAUGAGGCAAUCCAUGAGGGUCACAUAAUCUGUAAAGUAGCUGAUGCCUCCACCUUGACGAUGCUGCUCAUACGCAAUUAGGUUUCGAAAUUGUGACUCUGUGUGGUCCUGUACAAUCAAGACCGGUAUCUCGAGUUUGCCAUUCUCGAAUCUGAUGUCUUUCAUGUGUCGCCCUCGCACUGCCCUCAACUUGACUCCGGAUUCCCUGAGCUCCGUUGCUGAGGACAUGAACAUGAGUUUCUCUUUCGUUGGCGGGGCUCUGCCAGAUAGCCGGGGCACAUUAGGCAAGCCAGAAGUCCAGCAUGUGUGCAUUAGAUGAAGAAGAUGUUUGCUCUCGCGAAGUGUCGGACAUUGGCCCGAGUCUCCUAGUUUAAAAUCGAAAUACGUGGUGGCUAUAUCGAUGAGCUCACGAGGCUCGUCCGGACGUUUAGUCAGGUCAUAUAGCUUGUUCAAGAAGAAAAGCGGGAGUUGGUUCUCGAGCAGCAACAAAUCGCGCUGGAGGCAGUAUCGAAUCCAAUCUGCCUCCAUAAGCGGGCCGUCUUUGUUUCUCAGUUUCUCCAUAUUGUACUUACGGAACAACUCAACGAUGAAACAACCAUCAAUAAACAUCAUCGCUAGGAACUUUUCUUGGGAGAGGUUGAUGGUUUCCGCGUAGCAAUUACGCACCAGCUGUUCCAGUUCUCUUAGAGUCGGCAUAUACCGGUCAAUGCUUUCCUCUUUUCUCCUCUGAAGCAACUGCUGCACCAGCUGUUCCAGUUCUCUUAAAGUCGGCAUAUACCAGUCAACGCUUUCCUCUUUUCUCCUCUGAAGCAACUGCUGCACGUACCGCAGUUUUUGCUCCUCCAUGGAUUUGAAUUUGUCAUUUCCAUAGUGAUAAGGGCCGAUGACCAGAAUCUCUGGUUCAUAGGCUUUGUUGUUUACUCUACGCAGUUGAGGACGAACCCUAAAUAUACUAUGCUCUGGCAGGGUUGGAGGCACGCCACAGAGCAUAUCCUCGAUGUAGAUUAAGGCAUGAUCUUGUAUCCCAGAUCGCCCGUUGUUUCUAGCAUACUGUAUUGGUUACAACACAAUUAAUGUGAUAAUAAGCAUGUCAUAAAGCAAGAAGAUAGUUUUCCGUGUUCUUAAAUUUUCAUGUGCUUCCCUUUCAUUAAACUGUGUUGUGGCUUUGCUAUACAGCUUAGUAUGUUGAUAUAACCUUAUGAUCGUUACAACAAGCUUAUUGUCAUGUAUGUAACUAGCGCUUCUACAUGUUGCUGGCAAGAGAUUUCGUCAAAAUCACAUACUGAACACUGGACCAUUAUCAGUGAAUUUGCAAAAACGGUAAAAUAAAAAUGAAGGAGCACUAAUCAAUAACUAUGCAAUAAUUUAUUUAGCAAUAACCCAAGGAAGAAUUUAGAAUUGCAUAUGUACAUUCAUACAACAUAGAUACAUACAUAUAUAUUAAAUACAUGGAUGUAAAAAGAGUAAUCCUGAGAAAUUUUUGGCUAUUUUGCUUAGUGAGUAAUGUAAGAGCUAUUCUCUCUAACCACCUUAAUGAUCCCAGUGGUAUUUAGGUUUUCCUCCCCUCACUCUUUCAGUAUAUUUAAAAAUAUUUAUAUCUCAGUAUGAUAAUUAUCUUUACAUGCGAGCAAAGUUUUCCAUAAUAAAGCAUAGGCAGCGUACAAAAUCUCUCCCUGUGUGUAAUAUUGCCGAUUGUCAAUUUUGGUUAUCAUACUUUUUUCGUGACUUGUUUGAUUUCUAAACACUCCGAACAUUUUGAAAAAAGAAAAAGAAAAAAAGAAGAAAAAGAUCUUCAAAAAUUGGUAAACAAAAAACUAAUCUCCCAACAUAACUUCAGGACAAAUUCUGUGUUUCCGUAUGAAAUGCCGGUGGAAAAGGUUGACUAAGCACUGUAGUUGAACACACGUUGAUGACAUUGAACAUAGCAAACUGUUAGUCAGGGAAAAAUUACAAAAUAUCCUUAAUUUUCCUCCAUAAUGUACUUUUUUUUUAAUAACAAAUUUGGUCCCUACACAAAUUAGUAUUUGUAUGUAAAUGAGUAUAUGAAGUGCUGCUCAUAAACUUUCCAUAAUCAUGUUAAUUGAAUGGACCAUUAUAUGGAAUGCAAAAGACUGGUCUAAUCCUUCAACUUACUUGAUUAAGUUGGUGGUAGCUCAUUCUUCUUGCCAAGCUAGACCAGCCAGUAUCACGCAAGUCGAGUUCUUCUCUUCUUGUCGGAUUGUUUAUCAGUGAAGGAGAGAUAAAAUGAGACAGCUGCAAACACCAACCCUUUUAUACCAAACUCAAACACGUUUUAAGAACCUUCGUCGUUAAGACUUUUGAAGAUGGAAGGUACUGCAAUAAACCGAAGGUUCUUCGAAGUUGAUGAAGAGGCAAAGGGCUGAUAAAGUCUUACAAGGAAAUGUCAAAAAUGGACUUUAUGAGAAUGACUUAUAAAGUCUUCCACAAGUUACAUCAUCCUAUACAAAAAUUGACCAUUUUAAAUAAACUUCAUGAACUCUUGGAAAGAGUCCUACAUUAUAGCAUAUUCAUCAUGGAGACAACUUGUACACCCAUAAUGGAUUUAAAUAUUAAGUAUCGGCAUAUUCCUUCGGAUCGGCAUAUGAAGUCCUCCACAAGUUGCGUUGUGCCAUGUGAAACCGAGUGCAAUUGGUUUGCGCAUCAAGAAUUAAAGGGAGGCUUAUUUCCAAUUGGUAGGAACGAUGGAAUGGGUAGCGUUGGCUUAUAUUUGAAUUACCCGUUGAGACGAGUGCCAGUGCGUAUUCAUGGAAGUUGAAGAGUGGAGAAGACCAAGGAAAAUAAAAAGAGUGGAGAAGACUAAGAAGACUUGGAAAACGUCAAAAAUUGACUUUCAAAUAACUUGGCAAGUCUUUACACAAGUUGCAUUAUUAAUAUCAAGUGACUAGAGAUUAUUUUAAGGCCUUUUACUGUGUUAGACAACUCACAACAUCAUGGAAAAAUUUGAUGGAGUUUAAUAAUAGUCAGGACUAGCAAAUUAGCUUCAUCGUAUCCGCAACUUUAGACUUUUAAUAAUUGAUUGGGACCCGCUAGGCUUAGGAUGACACAUGAACAAGUAAAUAUUUGGGGGUUUUAGAAUUUGACAACAUUAUCAAAGUACACGAACUUCACUAGACUAAUUUCAUACAUAUCGUGUCACCUCUGUUAGUAAGUCCAAUAAGCAAUGCAGAAUAUUUCAACAACCUUUAUUUAUUGCCAUGUUGUAAAUUUAUUAAGUAAUGUAAAAUAUUUUCAACAACAUUUAUUUAUUGUUGCAUUGUAUAUAAAAUUCACAUGAAUUUAUUAAGCAAUGUAGAAUAUUUCAACAACCUUUAUUUAUUGCUGCGUUGGCCAACUCUGUUGUGCCCACUUAUAUAAAAUUCACAUGAAUUUAUUAAGCAAUGCAGAAUAUUUCAACAACCUUUAUUUAUUGCUGCGUUGGCCAACUCUGUUGUGCCCACUUAUAUAAAAUUCACAUGAAUUUAUUAAGCAAUGUAUAUUGCUGCGUUGGCCAACUCUGUUGCGCCCACUUCCCCCCCUUCCUUCUCUCCGUGGAGUCCUAUUUCUGUGAUAUUUCAAAGGAAUCUCUCACUUUCUGUUUUGAAAAGGACUUGUAUUUGGGGGUGGUUUUGGGACAAAAUAACUUUACUCCCAUAAUAUGGUAUAUAGGAAAAUAGUAAAGAAAAACUUUCUUGCUAAAAAAUAAUCUGGGAUGUAAACUAUGAUUGUGCCAAUUAUAAGGGAAAGAUAUGUUGGAAGUCCUAUCCUUCAAGUACGAAAUGCAAUUAAAUCUUAAUUUUAUUGAUUCAAUCUAGUCUUAAACUUAUUCGUAACAAUACAAUCAAGUCAUUUGAUGGAUAGUAGCUCUCCAAAAACUGUCUCAAAUUGAACUUUUCAACUUUUGAAUCUACAUUUAGCAUUCAAUUACACUUUUAAUAAAGUCUUAAGACUUAAUUAGACCAUUUCAAAUAUUGAGGAGAUUGUACUUUGCGUUGAAGGUUGGUCUUGAUUGUAUUGAUUAAAAGGUUUAGAAUUUGAUUACAUUCUGUACAUAAAGCUUAAGACACGCGGUGUAAAUAUUUUCUAUAACUAAGGAACUUUCACAUUAAAUUCACCACACCACAUUCCUAGGUGACAAACAUAACUCACUAAUUUAAACACAAGAUAUGCAUGAAUGUCGAUUUAGAGUAAUCGUAGGGAGAAUACUUUUUUAUUUUCCUAGUAGUGCUUUUAAGUGUAGAUGGUUUAGAUUAAACUGAAAAACACAUCCCCUUUGUGAGUAGAAAUAGGGAAGAUAGAAUUUCAUAGCUUCCCAAUCUCAUGCCCUUAAUUCUACAACUAUGAGAAAACCUGAUAUGAACUUAGAUGUUCCGGCUGGUGAUCAAACCUUGGACUUCCUCUCGCGGUAUGGAAGAAGCUGAAGCUUGAUUUCAUUUAUCGUUUCCUUUUGAAAAAAAAAAAAUUAUAAUAAUGGUCCACAAAAACCGGUGACGCGUGCUAGACACUGACGACCUCCAGGCGACAAACCCAUCCCUAAAGGUCCAAAAACCUGGGGCCAAUGAUCAUUAGCGACGGCUAGGUGACCGUCACCCAUCGUCGCCUAUAAUCUUUAUGUCAACAAAUAUAGCAAAGGGAUUGGCAUUGGGAUAACGCGUUAACACGACCACAUAUGCGCUCACACCAGACCACCGCAUAGAAACGGCAAGCCAUCAAUCUGUGUUUGUUAAGCUAUAGAAUUGCGCACGUUGCGCGUUCAUAUAAAUGAAGACCAAACCACCUGUGUUCAUCUUAGACACACAAAUGGAAACACGUGUUCAUUUGAGUAUUUUCCGAUCACGAAGGCCCUUCCCUCUUUGAACCCCACGGUUCAGUCAUCGUCAUCUUCCAUAUCUUGCAGAACUUAAAAGGACAUAACCAUGUCGUCCCCAAGGUUGAACCAUCCUACUCCUCAAAGAUACACGGUCACCAGUUGUUUCGAGGCCAUUCCUCACCUGGAGCAAUCGGAAAACCGUGUCACUUGGUCAUCCAAGAUAUAUCGUUGCUGUGACGAGCCACGCAGCUGUAGUUUUUUUGUCCACUCAAAGUUGUAUAAUUUGUAUGGCUCAUGCGUGCUCAGCGAUAUAUAUUGAUGCCGUACGUGUUUCAGGUUGGCAAACAUUUUUUUGCCCAUGCAUCACUUUUGGGAGGAUUGCAGAGUUCGCGGACCCAGGAUCUUCAAGUAGGUAUUUAUCAACUAGUCUUUUUCUCCAUGUGUGAACGAAAAAAGAUGAUGGUCAUGGACGAGAUCUACACUGAGCGAUCGGUCCGUGCCUAGUUAAAUAGAUAUACCAAUUCCAAUUUUGUGAAUACACCAAUACAAGCAAAUCCUUUAUCCCUCAUCCUCAUCCUCAACCGCCCCAGACCCAUCAACCUUCUCGUAAUUGCAUACCCCGACUAUGCAUAUCGUGCAAUCUAAAUCUGAGGUCAAGCGACUUCCGCCACCACCGUCAGCAUCAUAUUGGGAAUCUGCUAUCUGAGUAAACAACAACAGAGGAUUCGAGUUUGACCAUCUGAGUAAAGCAGAGAGAGAGAGAGAGAGAGAGAGGAGCCCAGGCGGCACGGUAAUGAGCUGAUAGAGAGAAGAGACAGAUGGUUAGGAUUUGAGCGGUGGGUCGGGCAAUUCCUUGAGUUAGAUCUACACGUCUGUGAUUAAAAAAAAAAAAAAAGGGAAUGCAUGCCAAGUUUUCGAACAGCAACGGCCAUACCAUCCUCGAUAGGAAACCAAAAGCUUGUAGCUCCUUAAAGAGAGUAACGGGGAAGCUUUGUUAUCUAGAAACUACAGAAUUACCAGGGUAAGUUGACUUGACCCCCUCCCCGCUUUAAAUGUGCUACCAUUACAUCCUGCGCUUUCCCAAAAUGUUUUAGAAUGUUGAAAAUGAGCUUCACAUUUGUAAGUUCAGAACUUUGAGGGCCGCCACAGUAAUUUACCUCAAAUUAUGAAAUAUUAACAACGUUUUUGUCUUGAUUAUUGAAUUGAUAUUGCUAGUAUGAGUACCUAGAGGGGGGUGAAUAGGUACCUAAACACUUUAUCGAUAUACGGAAGCGAUUCUUAACAUAUGAUAGAAAGUAAAUUCUCUCUUAAUUAACAAAAUGAAAUACGAUUGAGGUAGAGAGAGUGAGGAAGAGAAAAUUGAACACAGGAUUUAUAGUAGUUCGGCUUAUUCCAAGCCUACGUCCACUCUUCCGCACUGACAGCCCACCGGCUGGAUUUCACUAUGAUCAAAAGAGAAGUUACAGCAUAGCUUUGCCUUGAUUCCACAGUGUAGAUGUUUUACCACACCUCCUCAAGGUCUCUCACAAAUAUAAACUCUCUUUUGUAUACAAGUAUUCGCUCAAAGGAUUUAUCUAAACAAAUAGGAGCUUCAGACUUUGGAAUUAUUCUAUCGCGCACACCUCGAACAACUAAGAACGUCUUCCUUAUAUAUUCCUUUAUGCCAUCAUACCCGUUGGCACUUACCAAAGGAAUUCCUCCAAUCUACCCGUUGGACGGAAUCAAUUAGGAAGAUUGUUCGAGCUAUUAAAGGAACGUGUUGAUAGCCCAUCAAUCCUGUUCGCCCAUACAAUCAGGAUCUCGGUUUCCAUAAGUAGAACCUUCCAAUAAUAUUUAGACAAUCAUCGAAUCUUCAGUCAUUGAAUCAAUCUUGAUCAAUCAAAGGAUUCUUAUACGUCUUCUCCAACCACGAGAUCUUCUCCAGAUGAUAAGGUUAAAUCCUGAACAAAACAUCCAGUUCUGGAUAACCUUUUUUCAACGGAUUAGAGACUGUUAAUGAGGAUAGACUUUGAGUCUUGAGUCUGGCUGUCCGGAAGUCUUCAGACUUUAACUAACAGAGUCUGCAGACCUUCAGACUAGACUGAUGGAAACGUUUUGUCAACUUCAAAACUCUUCACGAAGAUUUCUCCAACAAUCUCCCCCUUUUUGAUGGUGACAAAACCUUCCUGCAGAUUUGGAUAACUUUGACCUGCAAAACAUUUCUCAAACACAUAUGCAUAUCUUAUAGAGAUGAAUGGCUAAAAGAUUAACACUAGAAUCUGCAACCACAGAAAAUAGGUUAGUCUAGUAUAUAAUAAAACCAUCCAUAAGAUAUCAAUACUUGUUAAUAGAAGCAGUCAAGUCCAAGUCUAGUUCAGAUCUCAUCCAGACACAAAACAAAGUCAAAGUCUGUCAAAAACAGUUAAACAACAACACAAUCCAACAAACAGUUAAAAAAUGAUUGAAAGUUUUUGAUCAAAUCAUGCAUCUCUCCCCCUUUUUGUCAUCAUUAAAAAGGAUGAGAUGAAGUCUUGGGAAUGCGGACAAGCUGGAAAUCUUCCAUAGACUGAACGAUGCCUUCCAGCCUUUUAAAGUCUUCCUUCAGCUGUACAACCUCCUCACUCUUGGCAUUGGCCUGAUUCUGAAUAGAGAGGGCUUGCAUCUUAUCAUUCAAUGAACAGGAAGAAGCUUGACUUUCAUUCUUCAAACUUUGAACUUCGCAUCCCAAGGCAUAAAUCUGACCUUUCAUUUCCAAGAGAAUAUCCAUGAUUCUGCGAAAAUCUGCUCCAUUAUCAGUCUGAGUACUUGCUUCGGCUCGAUCUGCAGAAGAUGGUAGAUCAGCAUAAUCUUGCAGAUUUGGCGAUGACACUUCAUGACCUUCUUCUGGAAACUGAGAUGCAUAAACAUCUUCUGGGUCUGCAGGCGAGCGACUGACUCCUUCACUUGCAUCAGGAUAUGAAGACGUCACUCCUUUCUCCUAAUCUCCCCCUGUUUUCAUGCCUACAGGUGGAGAAGAGAUUUCCUCAGGUUCUCCUUCUUCUCUUCUUUCUUCUUCAGGUCUUUCUUCCUCUGCUUCUUGCUCUGCUUCUCUUUCUUCUUCUUCCUUCUCCUCUGCUUCUCUUUCUUCUUCUUCCUUCUCCUCUGCUUCUUUCGUCUUUUGUUCCGAUUCUUUCUGUGGAACAGGACGACCUAAAUUCUUCAAAGCCAUUGCAGAGAUGGUGAUGUCUUCGUCAUCAUCUUCAUCCUCAACGAGGAGAGCUCUUCUUCUCUUUGAUGAAGCAGCCAUGGGCUCCUUCCCUUUUCUCUUAGCAGCAGAAGAGAAUUGAUGAGAUUUGGCAGGAGUCUUCUCCUUGAAUUUCUCCAAUUCCUUGCUCAGUUCCUUCAGACGCAUUUUGGUCACCAUUUUCAGUCCUACCACCAUAUGAUCGCAUGAUCGAACACAAAAGAUUUGCGGAGGCUGAAUAUUCAGAUGUCUGAAUAACUUCGUAACAAGGCUUGGGUAAGGGAGUUGACCUCUGUCCUUCAUCACUGCUCUAUACAUGUGAAACAUAACAGUAUGAGGGAGAGAAAACUUCUUUCCACAGAGGAUGGCAUACAUCAACUUUGCCUCAGAGCUUGAAACAUCAGUUUUGGAAGUUGAUUUCGGCCGAAGACAAUUGAUCACAAUCUUGUGAAGCAAGAUGUUGAAUGCAUUCAUCCGUGAGUAGGUGAUCUUCUCAUCUGUUCUCCUGUCCUUCACCAGUUCAAGUGUGGCCCGAGCAAUGGAAACUUUGAUUGGUUGAUAUCUGCCUCUCUCAACUUCUAACACAUCUGCCAGCAUAUUCAUAUCCACAACAUAGUCUUGUUCUUUAACGCUGAAGGAGAAUCUAUUCGCAUCCAAAAAGCUAAGAUUUGAAUAGAAAUAUGCAGUCAAUUCAGCAUAAGCCUCAGUUGAGUCAGAGCAAAACUUUUCAAGUUGAAGAUAACUGAACUUUUCCCUCAAGUUCACUUUCACAGCAUCCAGAAAAUCAAAGUCCACACUCCUAGGGUUUAUUACCCCACGCUUCAGCAAUUUCGAGUACAGAUCCUUUUGUUCCUUUGAUCUGAACAAAUCUCCCCUUUUUCCUUGAAUUUCAGCCGCAAUACCCAUUUUCGGUUGAAAUAGACUGAACAGAUUGUCAUUGUCAUUCCCAUCUACAGGAUUCGGUCCCUAGUCACGAGGAUCACUUGGGAUAUUCGCAAGGGUUUCCUCAGCCACCCCUUUACGAGCGAUUCCCAAACUUUCUAUUUUUCGCAGAAAGAUAUAUUCGUUCCUAUAUCCUUUGUCUCUAAGAAACUCAUCAACAUAGUUCAAAGGAGUACGAAUUCCUUUUAAGGCACGAUAUAGCUUGUAAAUAAAAGCGGGCUUUUGAACUCUUACGGGGUCUGCAUCCUCGAUGAUUUCUUCUUGAUGCUGAUGAACAACGCCUUGAGGACUAGAUGGAGGAGACUGACGCUGCUGAGAAUGUUGUGGGCUCGGUUGCCGAUCUGGAGUAACUUCAUCUUCAGUAAGAUCGAAGUGCGUAGGCCCCUCACUCAUUCUCUGUGGUCCCCUGCUUGCGAUUCUUGAGGACUUUCGUGAAGAUGACAUCUUUCUCAGUGUUUGGAAGAUUCCUUGCUUGACUUUCCCAGAAAAGAUGACAACUUUUUGAAGAUUGAGCGAAGAAAACAAACGGGAAUUGAGGAUCGAUGCUUUCUAGGGUUUUUGAGAGAAAAGUGAAUAGAAAAGUGAAGAGAAAUCGACAGUGCACAAUCGGUUAAAAAGAAGAGUAAACGAACCGUCACAAAGGAAAUAAAAAUAUGCCUUUUCAAAAUAACUGUCUUUAUCCGCAAAAAUAGUUAUUUCAAAAAUAACUUCCCUUUUGAAAAUGAAUCGAUGCAAUAUUUACGUUAAUUAAAUAUAGCAACAAUUUAAACAUAGCCUGAUGAUCGUACCUUUUCAAGAUAAGAUUGGAGAGAGAAAGACUUACAGUCUGAAGGUCGAGCCAAGACAGUAGAUAAAGUCUUGUUAGCCUGAGUCUGACAGUCUUUAGACUUUGAUAUCCUCAUACCUCAAAAUGUUGAGUCUGGACCGUAUAGACUCAAAUUGAUUUUUCUCCAAAGGCUUUGUGAGUAUAUUAGCCAGUUGAUUCUUUGAGUCAACAAAUUGAAUUGAAACAUCUCCAUUUUGAACAUGAUCUCUAAUAAAGUGAUGUCGAAUCUCUAUAUGCUUUGCUCUUGAGUGGAGAAUUGGAUUUUUGGUGAGGUUGAUAGCGCUGGUGUUGUCGCAAUUAAUCUCCAUGCAUGAGUCUUCAAUUUCAAAAUCUCUUAGCUGUUGUUUUAUCCAUAGAAUUUGCGAACAGUAGCUUCCAAGAGCUACAUAUUCUGCUUCUGUUGUUGAAAGAGACACAGUGCUUUGUUUCCUUGAAAACCAAGACACUGUCCUGCUUCCAAGCAACUGGCAAGUUCCUGAAGUGCUCUUUCUAUCAACUCUGCAACCGGCCAGAUCUGCGUCUGAAUAUCCCAGAAGAUUAAAGUCUCCCUUCUUAGGAUACCAAAGACCGAUGCUUGAUGAUGAAGCAACGUAUUUAAUGAUGCGUUUCGCAGCACUGAGAUGAGAUUCUCUAGGAUCUGAUUGAAACCUAGCACAGAUGCAAACACUCAACAAAAUAUUAGGUCUAGAGGCAGUAAGAUAAAGAAGUGAUCCAAUAAUGCUCCUAUACAGCUUUUGAUCAACUUUCUUCCCUUAUUCAUCUUUGUCUAUCUUUAAAGAACUUGACAUUGAUAUGUCGACCUUUUUGCACUUUUCCAGUCCAAACCUUUUGACAAGAUCAUUAACAUAUUUUUCUUGAUAAAUAAAAGUUCCUUCCUUCAAUUGUUUUACUUGAAGACCAAGAAAGAAUGUUAACUCUCCCAUCAUACUCAUUUCAAACUCAUCCUGCAUAGACUUUGAAAAUUUCUUGCAAAGACUUUCAUUAGAGGAUCCAAAAAUAAUAUCAUCCACAUAUAUUUGAACAAAUAAGAAACUUUUGUUUUCCUUCUUGAUAAAUAAAGUCGUAUCUACUUUACCUUUGACAAAACCAUUUUGUAUUAGGAACUUACUUAAUCUGUCGUACCAAGCCCGAGGUGCUUGCUUUAAACCAUACAAAGCCUUUUUCAGUCUGAAGAUUGAGUCUGGCUUCUUUGGGUCUUCAAACCUUGGUGGUUGUUCCACAUAAACUUCCUCAUGGAUAAAUCCAUUUAGGAAGGCGCUUUUGACGUCCAUUUGGAAUAACCUGAAAUUCUUAUAACAAGCAAACGCAAGUAAUAGUCGAAUAGCUUCUAACCUUGCCACUGGAGCGUAAGUCUCAUCAUAGUCUAUUCCUUCUUCUUGCGUAUAUCCCUUGGCCACGAGUCUUGCUUUAUUUCGUACGACUUUUCCUUUCUCGUUCAUCUUGUUUCUGAAAACCCAUUUAGCUCCAAUAACAGUUUUACCUUUUGGUUUGGAUGUCAAUUCCCAGACAUCGUUUAUGUUGAACUGUCUGAGCUCUUCUUGCAUAGUUUCAAUCCAGCUUUCAUCAGAUAAAGCUUCUUCUAUGCUCUUUGGUUCAAUUUCAGAAACGAGUGCCACAGCACUAGACUCUUCUCGCAUUUUGGAUCUGGUGCGAAUUCCUUCAUUCAUUUCGCCGAUUAUAAGAUCUUUGGGAUGACUGGACUUAUGCUUCCAGUUACUUGUUGAUUUGUCUGAUUGAUGAUCUCUCUCUUUGAUUGAAUCUUCACGAACAUCCUUAUUCUGGUUUUCCAGAGUCUGAGAUGCUUCUUGAGUUGUAAGCUUUGGAAGAUCUGGAGCAGGUUCAGACUCUUCUUGAUGAGUCUGACUUGAUUCAUCUUGUGUUGAGUCUUGAAAUUUGACAUUCAUUGACUCCUCCACAAACUGGCUCUUCUUGUUAUAGACUCUGAAGGCUUUGCUUGAUGUAGAAUAUCCAAGGAAGAUACCUUCAUCUGAUCUUUCUUCAAACUUACCAACUCGAUCUUUUGCAUUUUUCAGUAUAAAACAUUUGCAACCAAAUACAUGAAAGUAUGAAACAAUAGGCUUCUUUUCUUUGAAUAAUUCAUAAGGGGUUUUUUGAAGAAUAGAUCUUAAGAAGACUCUAUUGAUGAUAUAGCAUGCUGUUGAAAUAGCUUCAGCCCAAAAUCGACAAGAAAUUUUACUUUCAAUUAAAAGAGUUCUAGCCAUUUCUUGAAGAGAUCUGUUCUUUCUUUCCACAACUCCAUUUUGCUGAGGAGUAUAUGGAGAGGAAAACACAUGCUUACAGCCAGAUUCAUCACAGAAUUUUGUAAAAUCUUGAUUUUCAAAUUCACCUCCAUGAUCUGUUCUUAUACUAGAGAUAACACAUCAUUUUUCAUUUUGAACCAUUUUAGCAAAUUUUUCAAAAUACGAAAAGGUUUCGGACUUACUUGCAAGGAAAUAUACCCAAGUAAAACGGGAGUAAUCAUCAACAAUUACUAGGCAAUACUUCUUACCCCCAAUACUUUGAGUUCUGGUUGGUCCGAAGAGAUCCAUAUGCAGCAACUGUAGUACAUGAUUAGUAGAGACAUAAUUAAUUGGCUUAAAAGAAUUUCUUACCUGCUUUCCCAGAAUACAUGGAGUGCAUGAAUCAGUCUUUUGGUAUGGCAAUCUGGGUAGUCCUCGAACAAGCUAUUUUGAAGAGAUUUUGGCUAAUUGCUUCAUGUUGACAUGACCAAGCUUUUUGUGCCAUAAGCUUGCUUCGUCUUGAAUUGAGAUAAGGCAUUGCGAUUCAUUUGGUUUCACAUCCAGAAGAUAGAUAUUUCCAUGUCUUCGACCCAUGAAAGACUGAGUAGAGUCUUUACUGAUUCAAGAACAUGUUCCUUCUUGAAAGAAGAUCUUGAAACCAGUAUCACACAAUUGACUAAUGCUGAGAAGAUUGUAAUUGAGUCCUUCCACUAAGGAAACAUUACUUAUUGUGAGAGUUCCAAUUUUCACGGUUCCAAAUCCCACAAUACUUCCUUUGCUGUUUCCUCCAAAUGAAACUUUUCCACCAUUUACUUGAGCAAUCUUUAUAAAGCAAUUUGAGUCUCCUAUCAUGUGUCUUGAGCAUCCGCUGUCAAGAUACCACUUUACCUGUUUCUUGACGGAGACCUGCAUUUAAAAUAAAGUCUCAAGCUUUCUUUGGUACCCAAAUUUUCUUGGGUCCUUUGGUGUUAGUAAGAUAAACAGUAUUAGCCCAUACUUUCUUAAUAGGUUUCCAUACCAUAGGACACUCUUUUUCAAAGUGAUCCGGACUGUUGCACUUAGAACAUCUGAGAGCAUUUCUACCUACAGGUUUUACAAAAACUUUCUUGAAGUGAUUUUUGUAAACCUCACUCGAGAGUCUUUUCUUAAUUCUUUCUUUUACUUUAGGAAAAUCAAUCAAGGGGAUUGUUUCUUCUGUCAUACCUAGACCAGACUUAUUGAAGUAAGGUCUUUGUGCUGAAAGAAUUUUCUCAAGUUUUUCAGACCCUAUAGAAAAUUUCUUUGAUAUAUUUGAUAAGUCUGUUUUUAAAAAAGCAUUUUCUUUUAAAAGAUUAUUUUCAUUUUCUUUAAGAUUGGAAACAGACAAGGCUAGACUUUUAACUCUUUCUGCUAAAACAGUUUCCUUUUGUUUUAGAGCUGAGUUUUCUUUUUUCAGUUCAGAAAUUCUUUUGAGAGAAGUCUUAAGACUAAAGCAUAGUUCAUCAAUAUAUUUAGAAACUUUGACAGGAAUUUUAAAAUCACUUGCCUCAAAUUCACUGUCUGAGUCUGAUCCUGAGUCUGAUCCAGAGUCUGAGUCUGAUUGUGCCAUCAGACAUAGAUUGGCAUAUUCAUUAUCACUUUCUUCACACUCAGUAUCACUCCAGGUUUCGGCUUUGAGAGCUUUUCGAAAUUUUUCAGCUUUUCCUCUCUUCUUUUCAGAAGAGGACAGUUGGGUCUGAUGUGUCCCUUUUUCUUGCAUUCAAAGCAGACUACAUCUUUAUUUGGUUCCUCAUCAUCAACAGACUUGGUCUGCUGUCUUUGAAAGCUUUGUUUCUUUGAGUUGAACCUUCUUCCUUUUCUAUUUAGUUUUCUGAAUCUUCUUAUCAUGAGAGCAAGCUCCUCAUCGUCCAUAUCAUCUUCAGAAUCUGUAUCAUCAGAAUCAUCAUUUGAUUUUAAUGCAAUGGAUUUCUUACCUUUUGGAUCUUCAUCUUCAUUGAUCCUUUCCACUUCAUAGGACUGAAGAGUUCCAAUCAGCUCGUCGACAGAUAGUGGCAUAAUUCUCUGCGUCUCUCUUAUCGAAGUCUUUAUGUGAUUCCAAUCCCUGGAGAGUCCACGCAGUAGCUUGUUUACCUUCAUGGGAUCAAAAGCUGUGUACUUACUUUAUUUAAAGUGUUUUACUUCAUAGUAAAAGAUCCAUGGCUAGUAUGCUAGCACCAAGGCUGAUGGAAGGGCAAAGCAAUACCAGACCACCCUACUUUGAUGGAAAGGAUUACAACAUCUGGAAGAACAAGAUGAAAGCUUUCCUACGAUCUGUCCCAAACUUCUUUUGCUGUACCACAAGAAGAUAUUCUAUUAUAUUCAGUUGGUGAUAAAGCACAAUAUAAGGAGUAAAUUGCUUUUGCAUCGAGUGUUUGUCUCUUGAUCAUUUCUUCCUGAGACAUUCCGCUGGUUUCUUCAGUUUCUUUUCCUCUUUCAGAGACUGAUGCAGUGGUAGGAGUAAUUCCUUUUUCUACAACAUCCCAUUCCAGAGGAUCCUUUGAUCGUAGGAAAGCUUUCAUCUUGUUCUUCCAGAUGUUGUAAUCCUUUCCAUCAAAGUAGCGUGGUCUGGUAUUGCUUUGCCCUUCCAUCAGCCCUGGUGCUAGCAUACUAGCCAUGGAUCUUUUACUAUGAAGUAAAACACUUCAAAUAAAGUAAGUACACAGGCUCUGAUACCAAUUGAUAUUGCUAGUAUGAGUACCUAGAGGGGGGUGAAUAGGUACCUAAACACUUUAUCGAUAUACGGAAGCGAUUCUUAACAUAUGAUAGAAAGUAAAUUCUCUCUUAAUUAACAAAAUGAAAUACGAUUGAGGUAGAGAGAGUGAGGAAGAGAAAAUUGAAAACAGGAUUUAUAGUGGUUCGGCUUAUUCCAAGCCUACGUCCACUCUUCCGCACUGACAGCCCACCGGCUGGAUUUCACUAUGAUCAAAAGAGAAGUUACAGCACAGCUUUGCCUUGAUUCCACAGUGUAGAUGUUUUACCACACCUCCUCAAGGUCUCUCACAAAUAUAGACUCUCUUUUGUAUACAAGUAUUCGCUCAAAGGAUUUAUCUAAACAAAUAGGAGCUUCAGACUUUGGAAUUCUUCUAUCGCGCACACCUCGAACAACUAAGAACGUCCUCUUUAUAUACUCCUUUAUGCCAUCAUACCCGUUGGCACUUACCAAAGGAAUUCCUCCAAUCUACCCGUUGGACGGAAUCAAUUAGGAAGAUUGUUUGAGCUAUUAAAGGAACGUGUUGAUAGCUCAUCAAUCCUGUUCGCCCAUACAAUCAGGAUCUCGGUUUCCAUAAGUAGAACCUUCCAAUAAUAUUUAGACAAUCAUCGAAUCUUCAGUCAUUGAAUCAAUCUUGAUCAAUCAAAGGAUUCUUAUACGUCUUCUCCAACCACGAGAUCUUCUCCAGAUGAUAAGGUUAAAUCCUGAACAAAACAUCCAGUUCUGGAUAACCUUUUUUCAACGGAUUAGAGACUGUCAAUGAGGAUAGACUUUGAGUCUUGAGUCUGGCUGUCCGGAAGUCUUCAGACUUUAACUAACAGAGUCUGCAGACCUUCAGACUAGACUGAUGGAAACGUUUUGUCAACUUCAAAACACUUCACGAAGAUUUCUCCAACAUGAAUAAGGUCAUGAAAAAUGAAAGAGCAUAACUUAGACAGAUCAUAGGCGAUCGGCAUAAUUAUUAAAUCUUGUUUUGUUGCAGCUUGUGUUGCGAAAGGCGCGCUCUACUGUUUAGCCGCUGCAUUGACCGGUUGUUUCGGAGGAGUUUGCUGUUGCGGUUGCUGUAAUCGCAGAAGGAUGAGGACACGACUCCAGUGGGAGCCGAAGACAUGCAACGAUUGUUGUGUUCAUUGCUUUUGCCAUUGUUGUGCUCUGUGUCAAGAAUAUCGUCACCUCCAAAGCCUCCGCCCCGACCCUUCCACGGGUACUAGACUAUAUAUAUAAUCUCGAAUUCGCUUCCAAGCUAUCUUAAAGAAUUGCUCGUGUAGGACCACUAAUUCUAGAAUCCGUAUUCUCGGAUAAAUUGAUAGAAUGCAGAAUCUUUUUGUUGGAUUCAAACUUUGCGUCUGACUACAAAAGAAACAUCAAAUCUGGCUUUGUUUGGCCCAAGAAUUGACGGAGUGAGUAAGCAUUUAUUUGAAUGUGGCAAAUUCCGUAUAUAGAUCACCGUAUCUUCUACUCAAAGUAAUUUUCUUGGCUAGCUUGUUGAUGGAGUCUAACUCAAUGUGCAUGGGUCUAGCUCCCAUGUCUUGAUACCCUGUUGCCAAAUAUUUAUAAACUUAGAUCAACGGUUGUGCUUAUACUUUCAGGGUUUUUUUUUUUUGGUUCUUUUAGUUCUGAUACAUGCAAUUACCCCAAAUUUUUCAGGACGGGAAGAAAAUAGGCAGACGGGUAAUGGCUCAAUAGGGAUGACUCCACCUCCUAUGACGAGAAACAUGAGGCCAGAAAGCCGAUCAGCGAAGGUCAUACCAUAAACAUCCGAAUGUAUAGGAGUGUUAAAAUAUCUCAAGUCCCUUGUUUAUAGAAAUGCUCUUUUUAUAUAUGUGAUUUCUCUCCACCUAUAGAUUUAAGUUUUUGGAUUGGACAUUAUAACACGGAAUUAAAAUUAGGUUCUACCCAGUUGAUUUCACAUGUGCGACCCCCAUCCUUCAAAUUCUAAGUGUCAUUAUUCCUAAGACAAUUUGCAAGUGAGGGGUUGUUAAAUUACAUAGUUCAUGUACGAGAUUUAUAUGCUCUUUAAAUGUAGAUUCUCUCCCUUCACCUAUAGAAAUAAGUUUUUUGGUUGGAUAUUCUAACGAGACAUUUUAGUAAUAUACGGGUCUAUUGUUGCUUGUAAACUGUGAAGAUUACUGACCAAAAAACAAAAACCUGUGAAAGAUUUCUUGUUUACUUCCGAAAUGAUGAUCUCCUAUGUGAUAAUUAACUUGAACGGGCAAGAGCAAAUGAGUUUUGGUUUUCAUUGGUCGUCCCAGCUUAGGCAGAUUGAAAUAUUAUAAUUUUAACAUAAGCAAAGUCAUAAAAUAAGAAUGGGCUAAUAUCACGAAAAACUCUUAACUCGUACACCGGUGACAAAUUUAUCCCAAACCAAUUUUUUGAUGAUAUAAAAUCUCAAAUUGGUAUACUUGUGAUAAAUUUAUUCUCCAUUAGUUUUCAUUAAAUUUUACUAUCAAAUUAUUGAGUUUAAUGACACAUGACAUUUGACAGAUAUACUUUAGCAAAAAAAAAAAAAAAAAGACUAUUGACAGAUAUACCAAUUUGGAGUUUUACCCCCGUUUGUCAAAACAAUUGAGUUUUGUAUGCUUCAUAUCCAUAUAUUUCCUCUGUAAACAAAUUUGGCAAAAUUAUUUAGAAAACGCAUGCCGAACGAGGUGAGGACACCUGGAGUGCCAUAACUUGGCACGCCGGGACACUUAAGUGCCAUAACUUUAAAAUGGUACACUUAAGUGCCAUCAUCGGAGUAAAAUGGGACACUUAAGUGCCACUCCGGCAAAAUCCGGCCAAAUGGCUGACGUGGCAAUUUUCCGGCGAGUUUAGUCCAAAACGGCGUCGUUUUGCACGCUGACGUGGCAGAGAAAACGCAAAAACGACGCCGUUUCGUGCCUACGUGUAAAUAAUAAUAUAAAAAUUAAUUAAAUUAUAAAGUAUUCAAAAAAUUUAAAAAAUUAAGAAAAAUUUAAAAUUUUUAAAAAUUAAGAAAAUGANNNNNNNNNNNNNNNNNNNNNNNNNNNNNNNNNNNNNNNNNNNNNNNNNNNNNNNNNNNNNNNNNNNNNNNNNNNNNNNNNNNNNNNNNNNNNNNNNNNNGAUUAUUCUAUAGCUGCGCACAUGAGGUGUGUUUAUUGUCUCGGGCCGUCACUCGAUCCUGCUCCAUUCUUUGCUGGCCCUUCCAGGGAACGACGGGUAGAAGCAACGGUGGGGAGGCGGCGGCAGCGAGGCCUCAGCCCUCACCCGCCCGUUCGACCUCCCCCCACUUUUUUUUUUUUUUAAAUUCUUAAAUUUUAAAUUUUUUAAAAUUUUCUUAUUUUCUUUUAAAUUUUUUAAAUUUUUUAAAAUUAAAAUAUUUAAAAUUUUCUUUUUUAAAAAAUUUUUUUGUUAAUUUUUAUGCUGAUUUGGAGCUCCGGCGAGCCACGUAGGCAAAAAAUAAUAAUAAAAUAUUGCCACGUAGGAUUUCCGGCAAGGGUCGCCGGAGGUGGCACUUAAGUGUCCCACUCGAAAAAAAAAGUGGCACUUAAGUGUACCGUUUGGAAGUUAUGGCACUUAAGUGUCCCGGCGUGCCAAGUUAUGGCACUUGUGCUGUUCUUCUGCCCAUGCCGAACCUUGCUUCAAUCUAGGCUGUCAAUCCAAUCUUCUAUUAAUGGCAAGUACUGAUCACUCCGCCUCAAAAUCCCUUAAAUGAAGGGAAAAUUCCAAAUAAGGACUUAAAGUGGAGCUAUUUUGUCAAAUAAGAUCCGAAGUGGAUGUUGUCUCAAAUAAGGACUUAAAGUGACUAGAUUUGUUUCAAAUAAGGACCUCAGCUCGCUGGCCGACCAAGUGUUCUCCGGCUAGCAAGCAAAUGACAUUUCCGGCGACUGGAAUGGGGACAUUUUUGUCCAAAAGUUAGAAUUCCUAAAAACUUUAAAUAAAAAAAAAAAAACCAAACCUUUAUUCCUAUGAACGAAUGUCAUUCUUUUUCUUCCCCAACUACUUCAUUUUUCCAGAAUUUGAGCGCAAGCUCUCUAGCCUGAAAUCCCAUGCCACCAAGCAAUUUCGACGGACAAAUUUACGCCUUUCAUUCCUGCGCUGUCAUAGCAACUUUUCCUUAGAAGCCCUAUGCCUUCUCGUGCUCAUUUUAUUCGCUUCCUCAAGAGCCCCACGCCCUCAUCUUCCUCCUCUCCUUCCAAGCGAUCAAUUAAGUAUAAGUCGAUUCCUUCGCUUGGAAACUAUUUGAUGUUUGUUUCUCAAGAAUUUGUGGUGUGGUCUUUUUUUUUCGGGAAGAGCUAAGCACAACUUAUUAUGUGUUUGUUUCACUUCUUAAUCAAACGCAUAUGAUGCGUUUGACGAAAUGCCUCGGAGGCACGACUAAAAGAUGAUCCAUGAAAUUUUCAGAUCUGAAAACAUUCGACAUAGAUUGCUUGUUUUCAAUUGAUUUGUUAAGAAUUUAGAUCCGGCUCCAAUCAUAUUUCAUUGCAUCUUCAUAUGGGGAUUAUGUUGGUACGUCAUGGUUGUAGGUUACUAUUCAAAAAAUGUUAAUGGCUGGAGUUGAAGGCUGAUGGCCAUGUACUGGUAAUUGGCCAUGAUUGGAGGUUGACGAUGGCAAUGAGAAAUAAAACUUACAAAAAUGGGCCUUGUGGAUUGUCUUCAUCAACUCAAAAGAUGCCUACAAUAACCUAGAUUCAUUGAACUAUACUUGCAUUACAAUCAAAGACAAUAGAGGAGUUCACGAUUUUACUAUGUGCACACGGCACAACAUUACAAGAAAGAGAAGACACCAAAUGAAUUUACAAAACAAAUAAACCUCCGACGACCACAUCUACUUAUCACAACCCAUCAUACUCAUGCAAAUACAAAGCUCAAAAGACAGCCUACAACAACCAAUCACAGCCUUUCCACAUCCCAAAAGGUAGUACAUAUCCACCAUGAAAUUAUCAAAACACCCAAUAGCUCUCUCUCUUUUUGCUUAGUGAAAGGUUAGCUUUAAUCAGUCUUGUUCUUCCAAUAACCUAGAGAUGACUCAGCGAGAGUUCUCAUCACUCCCUAGCUCAAUGGUAGUAGAGAGAUGGACAAGGCCUUCUGCUGAUCAACUUGGUGGCUGGCGUAGCCUGUAGAGUAUCACGUGGUGUAGUCAUUGGCAACAUUAUGUUUCCUAGUACCACUAACUCAUUCUCAUAAUCUCAUGAGCUUAAGCAAUCUUUUAUUGACAAUUGGAAUCAAGACGUGUCGAAUGGAUGUUACGAAGUAGUAACCACUCAGCAUCGUCACCUUGCCUUUGAGGGCAGGGCUGCUCAUAAUUGUCAGGUCCAAUAAGCAUUUUAUCCCAUCUGCAUAUCUAUCAAGCAUUUCUAAGAGGUCAAGAUCAAAGAAAUAGGAAGAAAUAGAUUUCUGCAACUUCUCUGUGACUUUAACCAGAGAUGCACAUAAAGCAGAUAAAGCAUAAGCUGCCACACUCGUUCAUUUGAUGCAAUGUCAAUAAUAGGUAUUGAACGGAGAAAAAACUAGUCAAUGUAACCUCAAUAUUUGCAUACAAUUAGAUAAACGACAGAUUUAUUUAUCAUAAAGGAUCACUGUCUAAUCAAUCGACUAAUUUUGUAAGUGUCAUUUCUCAUUGCCAUCGUCAACCUCCAAUCAUGGCCAAUUACCAGAACAUGGCCAUUAGCCUUCAACCCUAGCCAUUAACAUUUUUUGAACAUUAACCUACAACCAUGACGUUCCAACAUAAUCCCAAGAUGAAGAUGCAAUGAAAUAUGACUAGAGCCGAAUCUAAAUUUUUAACAAAUAAAUUAAAAACAAGCAAUCUAUGUUGAAAUGUUUUCAAAUCUGAAAAUUUCAUGGAUCAUUUUUCAGUCGUGCCUCUGAGGCAUUUCGUCGAAUACAUCAUGUGCAUUUGAUUGAGGAGUGAAACAAACACAUAAUAAGUCGCACUCAGUUCUUCCCAGAAAAAAGACCACACCACAAAUUCUUGAGAAACAAACAUCAAGUAGGUUCCAAGUGAAUGAAUCAACUUACACUUAAUCGAUCGCUUGGAACAAGAGGAGGAAGAUGAAGGCAUGGGGCUCUUGAGGAAGUGAAUGGGAUGAGGACGAGAAGGCACUGGCUUCUGAGAAAAAGUCACUACAACAGUACGGCAAUGAAGGUGGAAAUUUGUCCGUUGAAAGUGAUGGGCGGCAUGGGAUUUCAAGCUGGAGAGCUUGCGCUCAAAUUCUAGGAAAACAAAGUAGUUGGGGAAGAAAAAGAAUGACGUUUGUUCUUAGGAAUAAAGCUUUGGUUUUCUUUUUCUUUUUUUAAGUUUUUGGGAAUUGUAACUUUUUGGAAAAAAAAUGUCCCUAGUCUGAUAGCCAGAAAUGUCAUUUGCUCACCAGCCAGAGAACACUUGGCCGACCGGCGAGCUAAGGUCCUUAUUUGAGACGAAUCUAGUCAUUAUGGGUCAUUAUUUGAGACAACAUCUACUUCUGAUACUUACUUAAGAAAACAGCUCCACCUUGGGUCCUUAUUUGGAAUUUUCCCCUUCAAUGAAUUAGUCCGUGAUUUUUUGGAUGAUUAUUGGAAUAUCAUAAUUUAUUGUUAUGAGCUAGGUCUUCAAAAUAGGAAUGCUAAUGGUUGUUAAAUCUAUAUAUAUGGAAAUUACCCAUUCACAUAGUUUGACUAAUUUGCGGAACCAAGUAUUUGGUUGUAUACUAUUCGUUUUGCAGUCUUCCACAUUUAGUGAAAUUUAAUUCAUAUACUUUUAGAAUUACAUCAUAGCCACUGCACAGUUUAAAUAUGAGCCUUGCCCACUUAAAUUAACUCAUUAGAUACCUAAAUCAUGUUUUGUUAUCAUCCAAAUCCUUCAGGAAUAUAUUGUAACAAGGUGUGAAUAUCAUGAAUCUUCAUUUCUAGUCUAAACAUGGAAUUUUGCAAGGAGUCAUGCUUUCCUUCAACUGAUUGGAAGGAAUAUCCUCAUGUUAGUCUCCCAAUUGCUGGAGUUAUAUUAUAUAUCGAAACCAUCCAUAAUCAUAUUUAUAAUUUGUUAACCAUAAAAUAGAGACAUGAUUGGAUGAACUGAUGAACGAAAACAAAGCCCAAAGAUGGGAUAAUUACCAAAAAUGUCCUGAACUUAUAGUACAUAUGUCAAUUCAGCUAUUAACAUUUCAAUUUGACCAACUUAAUCAUAAACAUUUUAAUAAUUUGUCGAUGUAGUCAUUUUUGUUAUCUUUGGCUAGAAAUUGCUAACAUGGAUGCUAACUAUCCUAGAUGUUAGCUACGCUAACAUGAACAAUUUUUGCAAUUUUUUAAUAUUUUUUCUGAAAUUUUUCGUGUUUUCCAUUUUCUCUCUUUUCGCUUUUUUCUUUUCUUUUCUUUUUUCACUAUGAGCAAGUGAGGGUGCCACGAUCCUCACUAGAUUUGGGUUGCGAUGCCCUUGCUAAUGGCCGACGAUCUUUGCUGUUGCCGCGGACUGGUUGAGGGAAAUAAGAAAAGAUUUUUAAAAAGGAAAUAAGGAAAAGAAAAAUCAGAAAUAAUAAAAUUUAUCAAUGUCAACACUGAUUGUUCUGUGACAUUCUGAUUUUCAGGUUUUGUUUUCGAUUGAAUAAGCUGGGCUUUUCAUCGACGCGUCGAUAGUUAUUUUCUCUGAGUUGGCCACUCAUGAAAUAACUAGCCUAUUAGGUGAAGCCGUUAAGGAAUCUAAACGCAAUAGACUCGAGAAUUCGACUAGGGAUCGAUUGCUUGACCAUGCUAAUCUGCAAGGGUUAUUACGGCAUUGUCAAAAUUGACCAGAGACUGGAGAUAGGUCGGUUUGGCAGAGGUAUGUGAUUAGUGUGUGGGUGAUUCCACCUAAUUGCAAAAUUCCCUUCGAACGGCACUAGAUCAAUUUUUCUGUCAUUUCCGUACCCUGUACCCGUAUUUAAAACCUCGAAAUUUUCAAGCCAACUGAGAGUCGCCAAUGUGUUGAAGAUGUACAAUGUGGCUCGAAAAUAAUCGAACACGGGUCAAUUGCACCAAAAAUUUCUAAAAGCUACCCGGUAGGUUAGGUCAUACUAAAAUCACGCCAAAUUGAAAUUAACUGCGAAUUUAAACCCGAUUUCAGAAAUUGAAAGUUCUUUCAUGUCGCAAUUCAUUUUAGGAAUGUCAAAUCAUCCUCUAAAGAUUUUUCUGCAAACUGAGAUUUUCGGCAAAAAUUCAAAGUAAGGUUAUUUUGGACCAGGAAAAUUAGAGGACCAUUUUUUUACCGCAUUUUUGGGAUUCAAGUUGGAUAAAUCGACAAGGAAAAAUCAUGAGAGGGACAAUGGUACCUUGGCUAAAUUUAUAGGCUUUGAUUUGAGCUCAAUUGGAGAAUAAUUGAAUUGAAUCGAAGGCCAAAUGUACAAAAUUCGUAGGCCAAGGGGGAAGCAACCUUUUGGACCAUUUGGGAGACUUCUUGAGGAAGCUUGGGAGUGGAUAAUGGCUGAGGAUGAUGGUUGAGCAAGUGGGGCAUGUGUGAUGAGUGAAAUGGAUAGGGCUGUGGACUUUGGAGGCCAAAUGGUGGUCCCCCUUCAGCUAAGCAGCCAUCUUCUUCCUCCUUACUCCUCUUUUAUCCAUUGCUGAGGCAUUCGAGAGCUUGAGAGAACUGGAGAAACUAGCCCUCACAUCACUCUAUCUCUCUCUUUGGCCCCAAGCAAAUUCGUAACCUUUUCUCCCCCGUUUUCCUUCUCUUCCCGUUUCUGCUCCAGCUGACCUUCUUGUGAAAAACUGAGUUAAUAGUUGCCUUCCCGUGAGAAUUAGCCUUCGUUCCACCCACGAUCAUCUUUAGGACACCCAAACCGUAUGAGAGGACUUGGUCGUUCGCCGGACGGAGCCGCCGGCUGCCCACCGGCCAACCAGAAGCCGCCGCUCGCCGGACCGCCUGAAGCACGCCUGGGCUACACUAUUUCACAAUUUUAGCCUAGUUUCUCCCAUUCUAACCCUUUUCUCCCAUUCUAACCCUUCCUCCAUCCAGCCCAGCUACCAGCAGGUCCCCCUCGACCCCCAGGAGCCGCCGAUCACCGGCCAUCCCCUCGUCGGAACUCUGAUUAGUCGCCAAUCUCCUUUUCUCCUCCUGCUGUUCGGUUUCCAGUGUUGCAGUGAGAAACGGAGUUUGUUGUUGCUAUUCCAGCCUUGAGACCACCUUGGAUCAUUGUAGUAGAGGUUCCCGAGCGUAGCCUCCAUCGUCGCCGUUGCGUCCAUGUCUCCGGCCUGUUUAAUGAGUAAAUUUAGCUUAUAAUCCGUUGAUUAAUGCCUAAACUUGCUUAGGAAUGGUUUAAUUAGUGUUAAUUCUAUUUUAGGAGAUUUAAUUAAGUUAUAUUAGUCCUAAGAUAGGUAGUUAGAUGAAUGGUUAAGAUUAGUUUAAUUUAAUCUUGCUUUAUUUGCUUAAUUGUGGCUUAUGUGCUUAAUUAAGCUUGGUUAACUUUAAUUGAUUAAUUGCUUGCUUUAAUUAGUGUUUUUAAUGACUAUUGGAUUUAAUUUAUUAGUUAUUUAAUUAUGAAAAUUCACUAUUCACGCGACACUGUUCACAAAACAUUGUUCACACGCAAUGUUCACGUUCACUGUUCACCCGAGAAUGAAAAGUGUCUAAUUUCAUGUGCUUUGACCUUAUGAGGUGAUUUGAGUGUAUAAAUGCAUGGGCAUCCGCAUGAAUUGAGUGAUUUUCACAAAAAGAGAAUAGUGGAUUGUCCGACAGACAAUGGAGAUGGACCGCUUUUAUGAGAGAAGGAUUUGAGGAGGUAUGUUUGCAUGAUCGCUAAGUUAAACAGUCAUCCAACGGAAGUUUGGAGGCGAUACCUGACAGGAGUCGGAAGCCAGUUGCAGUAAAUUAUUGACCGAUGUCCCUUUUUGGGAUACCGUCUAGACGAAAGUUUUAGAUGAAGCCGUGCCUGACGGGGCAGGAUAAAGCUCGAUUUUUAUCGGUAGCCUGGCGGAAGUCGGGUGAUCACUGACUGGAAAGUUAGCUAUGGCCAGUAGGUCAUUAAUAAUUAGAGCACGCGUAAGAGUUAAGAUGGUUGGGUCUUAUUAUGAGGUAAAAUUGUGUGGCGCGGUAUGGGAUGUGUCAUAACGAUUUUACCUUAUAAUCGAGACCCGUGUGAUCGAUUGAUGAGGGAUAGGCGGCGCAUUAAAGUACAAGAACGUAUGAGGAUUAUAGCGCCAUUAGUUCUGGUUAUGCAUGAGUUGAGCAUAUUAUUUAUGGCACGUACGCAUGAAUCGACAAUGUGCAGGGUAUGGCAUACCAGGUAAAGUUGCAUGCAAACCGACUAUGUGGUUAGUGGUUGACCCUGGCUGUUGUGAUUUGUUGAUUGUUGGUUGUUAGUCGUGGUAAGUUUGUGGAGUGGUUCUAGAGAGACAUCUCGAGUUAAGUUAGUUUUCUAACCGGGGGCUUAGGGGAAGAACUCGCUGAGAUUUUAUCUUAUUGAUUAUUGUAUAACUAUUUUCAGGUCCUUAGUGCAAAGAACCCGGAGCUUGAAAUGGAAGGGUUAGGAGUAUGGAUGGUUCAGAAAUUCUUUUUGGAGAUAGAUCUCUUGUUCAUAGACCUUAGAGUUGACCUCUGUGCAUAAACUAGUUUGUUUAUGAAAAGUGUUUUGGUGAAAAUGGUAUCAUGUUUUUCUAUCCUAUAUUUAUGUUGUCUGGGGAUUUUAUUAUACGCUUCUACAUGUGAAAUUAAAAUGAAGGGUCAGUGAUGAGUCCUGAGACAUUGCUUUCUAUCAACCAAGGAAGGGGUUGUUGCAUGCCCGGGGUUAGGGGUGUGACAUGUUCCAUCUAGGGUUGAUGGCGUUCACAUCAUCGAUUUUCUAGCUACAAUUGGCCGAAAAUAUUAUACUAGCAAAUCGUCAAUAUAUUUAACUAAAUUGAUUAAAUUGAAAUUUUUAUGACUUAAUUGUCGUCCAUAUAAUUACUUUAGGAUUUUUUUUAUACCCAAAAAGAUAUUACUUUGCCCGACUAAAUGAGGCCAUACAACUUUCCGCGGGGUGGACUUUUGACCAAUGUACUUAUAUAGACUAUAUUUCAUGGCUGGUCGACUAGUCUAUUCACAAGCACAACAAGCUGUUAAAUCGUUUAGAAAAGGAAUAAAAGGUUGUCAAUACGAUGAAGCUUCGUUUCUAGUGAGAGUGUAGGAUUCCGUCCAAGUCUUCCAUGAAUCUUGCAAAUUGUUGUUGUGACAUAGAACGAGAUGAGUACGAAGUACAUCAUUUGAUGUAACUUCUAAUCACUAAUAAAUGCAACUUUCGGAAGACUUGUCCAUCACUUUGGUAAAGUCAUUUUUUCACUUUUUGCAGUAGUCUUCUUAGUCUUUUGCCCUUGAUGUUUCAUUUUUAGAUAACGAUGACAAAGUUUUCUAUCUGCCAUGACUAUGAUGAAUGUUAAAAGUUAGAAAUAUAAAGCGUGUUUGUCGCUAGUAUAAAAGCUUGGUAUUUCCGAGUCUCAUCAUAUUAUCUGCAAUUACUUCUUUCACUUACAAGCAAAGGAAGUAAUUUUCAUGAAUUCCCUUCCCUUUUCUGAUCCGCAUCUGUGUCGUAGUAUUCAUUGCACUGACCAAAAAUAUAGAUAAAAAUUGAAGAAGGUGACCAUCUCUCUCUCUUCUAUAUCCAUAUUGGUAAGUUCAAUCAUUGACGUAAUUAUGGAAGUUUGUGAGCAAUAGCAUAUACCCUUCUUCGCUCAUUUAGGUAAUCAAGUAAAUUAUACAUUUAAAAUUUCAUGCACUUUAUUGUAAAUUAAGUGUUGCACUUCCGCAUUAAUUAGAUAAACCAAUCGUGUAUUGGUUUCAUCUAUCACGAGAGAACAAAAGAAAAUUCAAGGUAUUUGGACAAAGCGUUUAAAAUUUAGAAGGUAACAUAAGUGCCACAUAUUCAAUACUUACCACCUAAAGAAAUUUACCUCAUGAUUGGGCGAGGUCGAGCCUCGCUAGCCUUUGCCACUAAUUGGUCAUUGCCAACGACCAAUUGGAGGAAGAAUGAAAAGAAUAGAAAAAAAUAAUAUAAUUUUUUUUUAAAAAAAUUAUCAUUUGUCUUUGCAUCUUGAGCUCGCCGUCAUCAAUUGGAAGUGUGGUGUCACUACCACCAACGAUGUUCCCUAGAUAAUUUGUCUUUGCAGAUAGUGCUGUGAGAGAGUACCCCGUACUCCUUUUGGUAUAUUUACAUCCUAUACAUGCUGCGAUUAUCCAUCCUCAAUUAUUACCACUAACUUCACUUUCAUGUCUUACCAACACGGAGCGAAAUUCCGUUUUUGGCAAAAGGAAUUUUGGAAAUCAGAAUCCCAUAGUUAGGUAAUACCGUACAAAUCAUCCAAAAUCAAUAAAAAUAUUGCUAUUAUAAAAUGGUAAAACUCUAGUUGAUGUACAAAUACUUUUCACUGUAGAGAUAAUCUAAUAUCUUCCUUUAAACACGUGGUUUGUUGCUCAUCAGAUAGCCAAGAUAAUACUAUUGACUAUAGAACACAAGUAAUUGGUCCAGGGGAAAACAUCAUGCAAUCAUUGAUCACAUUUAACUUUGCUUUGCGUAAGAAAGAAUAGUAAUUACUGUUUGUGCUACUGUGAGAAGGAGCAACACCAUGGCUGCGACAUGAACGGACAAGAAAGCUCAAAGACUAUUUAAAUAUUUCUUCCUCAUCCGAACAUUCCACCUGCUGUUACAAUACGCAUUCACAUCGCAGUAGAUGUCACGGUAGUAACAGCAAUAGGAUAGGGUGAUUGGACUCACUAGCGUCCCUCGCCCCUCCGGCAAUGAUGGUAGCAAUCGUAGCCUAGAUCUACAAUGUCUUCAGCAACAAGAUGACCCUCGCCCAGAUGUAAGGCAAGGGUCACAACCCAUGUCAUCAAAGAAGAUUGAAGAGCGGGGUGGCGCUGGACCAAUUGAGAAAAAUUGUUGGUUCUUAAACAAUUUUGAGAUCAAUGUUGGGAUCGAAUUAGGUAUGACUAUGGUAUAUUCUAUACUUUGAAGAUGUUCUUGUGAAAUUUUAUGAGAUCAUUGUCAAUUGUCGUUAUAAACUAUUUUAAAAGCAGUUCUUAGAAAAAUUGACGGUGGUCCUAUAAAAUCUAACAGUUAUAAGAUUAUAACAAGAGGAGGUGGAUUAUGUGUAGAAAAGAAAGUGCUUCACUUCAGAUCUAUAUAAUGUUUUCACUUGUGUUUUUAAUGUGCUAUGAAUUUUUAAUUGUCAUAUGAUGGUUUAGUGAGCUCAAAUCCUUAUGAAAAAUCGAGAGUUAUGAACUCCAUCCAUACUUUCCAAGGAUUGUCGUGUUCAGUUCGAAGACCAGAAGCAAUCUACUUCAAUGGCCGGUGGAAUAAUGAGAGAGCUUGAGAUUCAGCAGCAAACAAUUCCACGAAAAUCUUGAAAUGAAGCUUUUCCUUCUAACUUUUUUAUUUUUAUUUUUAAAAUACCUAAAGUUACAUCUACAUUAUUGUCUUUCUUUAAAAGGAAAACAGGCAAACAGCUUUUUCUAAUUACCAAUUUGGAUAAAGCUAAUAGAUGACCUAGAUUGUAUUAAUUUAACAAAUUUUAGGAUUUAAUUAUAUUUUUAAAAAAAUUUGAGGACUCAAUUGCACUUGUACAUCAAAUAGGUGCACUUAUUUGGUAUAAAGGAAAGUUUUUAUUGUCGGCAAAAGUACACCCAAAAUGCCAAAACUUGGCACGGAUAGAUACUUAAGUGCCAAAACUUUGGAAAUGUAUACUUAAGUGCCAAAAACAGAGUAGAAUAGAUCACUUAAGUGGCACUCCGGCCAAAUUGCUGACGUGGCAACUUUUCGGCGAGGUGAGUGCAAAAUGGCGUCGUUUUUUGCAUGCUGACGUGGCGAGAAAAUGCAAAAAUGACGUCGUUUUGUCUCUAAUGUGUAAAUAAUUAAUAUAAAAAUUAAUUAAAUUUAAUUUAAAACUAAAUUUAUUUAAAAUAUUCUAAAAAAUAAAAAAUUCAAAUUUAAAACUUAAAAUUAAAAAAGGCUGGGGGGGGCUGAAGAGAGGCGGCCAACGACUGAGCCCUCGCCACCGUCGCCUCCCCGCUGUCACAUCCCAAACCUCCAAGCGCGUGCCCAUCCCUCUCUGGUCAAUAAAAUUUUGCGACUUCCCAGGACAAGUCGCCGAUCCUUUCAUUUUAUUGCACAUGCAAAAACAAAAAUAAAUCCCUUAACAGUAAUCAUCUCGGGAUAGAAAAGUAGGACAACAUAUUCACAAAACGAAACAUGUUUUUAUAAACAUAUUGAGUCAUGUACAAAGUCUGUGGCCAAAAGACUACAAAAGACUAGCCCUCCAAAAAGAAGUGGUCCUAACUGACCUACACUUCUGAUCACCUCCUCUCGGCUCCAAGUCCUCCACUCAACGACCUUGAAAAUGGUUAUACAAUAACCAGUGAGACAAUGUCUUAGCAAGUCCAUGCUCUAAACCCCGAUUAGAAGGGAAAUACGCCUAGAGGCAUCCUAACCACACAAGCACAUAACCAAGGAGACUUACCUCGUCUCAAAUCCAUCUUACAGGUCGGUACAAUUUAUAUCACAGACAACACGAGAGCAUGAGUAAUCAAUAAGCUCCAAUAAUUGGAACACCACACUCAAUUCUCAAACCAAUACAAAGGUUCUGAUUAUAGGGCUAAAUCGUUAUGACACGUCUCAUUCCGUGCCACAUAAUUUUGUCCCAUAAUCCGACACAUUCAACUCAAUUCAUCAUGCGUUCCUAGAUUUGAUCUCGGCAUAUAGCAUGGCCUACUCUCUAUUCGGCGAUCUUCUGGCAUUGCUAGGCAUCGUUUCACCCCAUUUACCACGACACAUCACUACGUCGAUGGCUUUUCUGAAGGAGCAUAGGAUCCAGAAUCUACUGCGAUCGGUUACCCAUUGUCUAGAGACAUCCUAUAUAGGGGUAACAUCCAGCUUAACAACCUAGAACGGUUUCUCUUAACCAACACACAAUCACUCAAGUAUGGCCCAAGGUACUGUGCAUUGCACUCAAAUGUCUCAAUUAAUAUGGUGAACCUGGCAUUUUUCUUCGUAUUAGAAAUACAUUGUAAACUAGUGUGUGGAUACACGAUCAACUCAAUCCAUAAAAAUUGACAUUCUUCUUUUUUUAAAAUCCUAUGAUUUUAUAUAGUACUAAAAACUAUUUUCGGUGUCAAAACCCAACACCCAGAAUUUUCUGAAUGAAUAUUGAAAAGUCACAAAUUUUGGAAUUAAAUACCAAAAAUCCAAUCAGUACUCAAUUUGUAGAAAUUAACACUCAAUUGUAGAAAUUAACCACACCAUUGCAAUCAGCAUGAAAUUCCGGUCACCGAGUAUCCCGACCUAAUUUUUGAAAAAAAAAAUUAAUUAAUUUCGAAAAUUAAUGAAAUAAAUCAAUUUAAUUUCUAAGAAUACCAACCUAGGCCAAAAUUAUUAAAUUAAAUACCAAUAUGGACCCAGAAAAUUCCCGAACCUUUCUAGAUAAAUAAUACAAUUUAUUUAGGCCUUAGCUAAACCAUGCUAACCACCUAACAUGCUCAAUUAAAUAAUUAAAUUUAUAAUUUAAUCUAAAUAACCACCUAAUUCCUAAUUAAAUAAAUUUAAACAUCCCUUAGACGUCAUUAGCCUACUAAGAAGAGUUUAGAGUAUAAGCUCACCGGUGCAAAACGAAGAUCGGUUCACCUCGACGGCGGCGUGACGGCUGCUUAGCGGGCCCAAUAUGGGCUGAACUUUGGAAAUGGGCUUCAAACUGGGCUGGUCUUGCAGGUUCGCUGAAAUUGGGCUGCUGCACUUGAAUUCGCGGGCUGGUCUUGUGUGAAGAUGGGCUGAAAUUUGUGAGGAUGUGGGCUGCAGAGAGUUGGGCCGAUCGUGCAAGCUUCUGGGCUCGAGCAGAGAAGGAGUUGCUGGACUGACUUCCACGGGCCAAACAAGAAAAUUACGUGGGCUUGUGGGAUUGAAAAUGGAAGCAAGCUGGCGUGCGAAAAGUUACUGCGGGCAUUGACCGGCGACUCCGUGAGCUGCUUCGGUGGGAAGAAUCGCACGGAGAGGGGAGCAGGUUGAGUCUUCGUGGCAGCUGAGUCUUCGGCGGCAGGGAAAAGAAGACAAGAAGAUGGGUGGUCUUCAGCUGGGCUUUCGGUGGAAUUGGCAGUAUGGGCUGGAUCCGUGAAGCAGCAGAUGGAUCCGAGGCAGCUGGCGUGAAGACGAUGGGGAUGGCAGAAGCGGCAGCUCGGUGGAUUUGCUGGCCGAGCUUCGCUGGGCAGGUGGCUCGGAAAGAUGGAGGACAAGCGGCUUGCUCGCUGGCUGAAUUGGGUGGAAGGAGAUGGGCAAGUUGACCUCGGUGGAUGCUGCUGAAGAUUGACCAAACAUGUGGCAGCUGCAAGAUGCGAAGAGUUGAAGAAAUUUAGGUGGAUGCUGAGCAGAGAAUGAAGACAGACGUUGAGUAGCUUCGAAUGAGGAAAUGGGCGAGUGGUGGGAUGGCUGAUUGAAGGAAAUAAAACAAAAUGGAAAAGUAGGGGCCUUCGGUGGAGAGAGAAGGGGGAAUGAACCGGUUUCAGUGUUGAAGAAGCUGAGGAUGAGGGGAGCUAAAAGUCCACAAUUCUCAUCUCUUAUAUUAAUGGCUUGGUCCCCCUUUUGUCUCCAUGCACAUCACUAUGUUCCUUAAUACUUUCCAACCUUAUAAUUUCUCUAAAUUAACCAAUUUUGAAGCCCAAAAUUGCUGCCCCUUGCCUUAAUCCGAAUUUCACCAAUAUUAACUUCAAUUCCUCACUCAAAUCUCUAAAUCGACGUCCAAAAUCGAUGAAGGAAAAUACCGAACAAUUUUCUGUAAGUCCCUGACACUCAAAGACUCGGCUUGGAAGUCCAAAUUUCCUUUAAUUUGGCCCAUUCGAAUUUUCGUUAAUUUUUUGUGAUGCUCGAAACGAUUUUUCGUAAAAAUCUCGAAAUCUCCGAAAAAUUUUCGGAGGAUGAGUCGAUGUUCCUAAAAUAGAUCGUGACAUGACAAAAUUUUCAAUUUCUAAAAUCGGAUUUAACUUCGUAGUUAAUUUCAAUCCGGCGCGUUUUUAGCGUGACCUAGUCUACUGGGUAAUUUUUAGGAAUUUUUAGUACAAUUGACCCGUGAUCGAUUUAUCUCGAGUCACAUAGUGCAUCUUUGACACAUCGGCAACUCUCGGUUGUCGUGAAAAUCUCGAUAUUUCAAAUACGGACACCGGUCACAUAAAUGACAGAAAAAUCGGUCUAAUGUCGAUCGACGAGUAUUUUGAAAUCAGGUGAAAUCACCCACACUCUAAUCACAUAUCUCAGUCGAAUCAACCUAUUUCCGGUCUCUUAUCGAUUUCUGACAGUGCCGUAAUGACCCUUGUAGAUCAACACGGUCGAACAAUCGAUUCAUGGUCGAAUUCUCAAGUCCAUUGCGUUUAGAUUCUUUAAUUGCUUCCCCAGAUAGUCUAGUCAUCUCAUGAGUGAUCAGUUCAGAGAAUAGCACUAUUGGCACAUCGAUGAAAAGCCCGAUUUAUUUAAUCGAAAACGAAAUUUGAAAAUUCAAACUAUCACAAUUCUUCUCCUCUUAUAAAAAUUCCAUCCUCAAAAUUUAAACCUUACAAAUUUUUAAACAAAAAGGUGGGAUUGCAGUCGUCUCAUAGAUUCCUUAGUUUCCCAUGCUGCUCCUUCAGUGUCGUGGUGUUACCAGACCAUUUUGACCAAUAGGAUGGUCUUGGUUCGGAGGAUCUACUCCUUGCAAUCUACAAUCUGAACCGGGCUUUCAACGUACGACACUCUGUCGUCAACGUCCAAUUCUUCAAAAUUGAGCACGUGGGUCGAGUCAACUCAUACUUUCUUAACAUCGACACAUGAAAGACGUCAUGCACUUGCGCCAGUUUCGGUGGCAAUGCAAGACGAUACGCUAGGAUCCCGAUUCUUUCAAGAAUCUCAAAUGGACCUACGUACCUUGGACUCAGUUUUCAUUUCUUGCCAAAGCGCGAAGUACCUCUCAUUAGUGACACUUUCAGAAAAACGUAAUCACCAACUUGAAAUUCCAAUGGUCUCCGGCACUUAUCUGUAUAGCUUUUCUGGCAAUUCUGAGCGGUUUUUAAUCUGUCUCUGAUAACAGCAACUGCAUCCACCGACUGUUGAACCAACUCUGAGCUUGUAAUCUUUUUUUCUCUGACUUCAUCCCAACAUACCGGCGUUCUGUACGCUCUGCCAUACAACGCUUCAAAAGGAGUCAUCUGAAUGCUCUGCUGGUAUAACAAUUUAAUUUGUCAUCAGUGUACUGAUUUUGUAGUUUUCGUGAUAUUAAUCUAAUUUAACAUAAAUUAAUGGAGAGUAUAUUUGUCACGAAUAUAUCAGUUUGAAAGUUUUUUAUAGUAAAAAAAUUGGUUUUGAGUAAAAUAUGAUAUGUGUACUAAUUUUGGGAGUUUUCGUAAUAUUAACUGUUAAUUUUAUAGCACUUUAGUCCGAUCUGAAUUUUUAUCCAUAUUAUAAUAUUUUUACAGUUUUUAGGAAAUGGACCUUCUCCUGGCUAAACGUGAAAGCUUGAUGAAGAGCGAAGUAUUGUUGUCAGCUGUAGGAUGAGCAAAAGACGCGUUUGAAUCGAGAACCGUCUGGACUGAACUAGAUCGAUUCUCGGUUCCUAAACACUUGAAUCAAUGGAUACUAUUCCGGUUUUUUAUAUCAGGUGUGGAAUUACCCAUUUAAUUUUUUUUAUAGUAAAUAAAACUCUAAGUCAGACUCCAGACCUUUCUCAUGACCGCUCUCUUUCUUUAACUCACGACCCCUCUCUAUCGCUCAACUCCCGGCCUCGAGGCUCGUCGCCCAGUCACGCUCACUCUCGGCCUCGACGGUUUUUCAGGUACCAAUUUGCCUCUCGCCUCUUGCUGCCUAUUUGCCCUACCCUUUUCCCUUUGUUUCGUCUGGUUUGGUCUUGUCGUGGUGCGUCUUGAUGGGUUUUACAUGGUUGCUAUCUGUUUAUGGUUUUCUUGUCUCCAUUUUUAAGUCGUGGAUUCGCGAGGAAGGAGAGAUGAUCGAUGGGUAAUUGGCUUUUGAGUCUUCGAUUCGCAAUCCGUCUGAGCUCAGGACUUGAAGUGAUUUUUACACAAUUUUACCUAUGGACAUGUUGUCCUUAGUUGGAGAAUGAUCAGCUGGUGUUUUUUCUGCCUAUUUUUUUCUAAUGUUGUUUGGUCAAGGGAAGUUAAGUGAAAAUUCUUUUAUCAAAAGUGGCGAAAGUUAUUUUGGUGAAGUGCUGUUCAAGUUGCUGGUAGUUGUGAUCUUUUAUGAAGUUUUCUUUGGAUUUUUGCCUGCAAGUGUGUGUGUUUGUUUGACGAUCAGGGAAGUUAUGUGUCCAUGGAUUCUGAAUUGUUGUAGGACAGGCGGAUAACUGACUUAAUGGGAUUGAUAUGGUUUGCUGCAUAUUGUAGCACAACCAAGCUGCAAUGCAACCAAAUAAUAAUAAUAAUAAUAAUGAAACUGAAAGGAAAAGAGGAAGUGGUUGGUUCCCAGUAGAACCCGAAACAGGCAGGUUCAGUUUCACAGUCGGUUCUAGGGUCCACAGGGCUAGUUGUUGGUUUCAAAAUUGGGAACGGAUCCCGACAGGGUAGGUCUCAGGUUCCAAACUUGGAACCAAUCAUCUAGCCAUUUGCUGUAAAAAUUGAGAAUGAACCUGAGUUUGAUCAGGAGGUACACUCGGUGAGUGGAAGCUAGGUUUAGAUUUUGAGCGUUAUUUCUUUCUCUGAAAUGUAAUAUAGGUAAAAAUGCAUGUGCAACGUGUUCUGCCAGCAGUGUUUAUUUCAUGAGUUUGCCUUUGCUUUCUCAAUUUGCUCUAUUGAUACAGUUAAGCAUUUCAUUUGGGUCCUUGAUUUUAACUUUAUGAUUUGAUCUUUCUACUUCACACGAUAGUGCAGCAAAAGAGAAAGAGAAGAAAUGGAGAAAAAAAUGCGGGAGAGGAGGAAGGAAAAAGAGGCAGAAUUGAGCAAAAUGUCAACAAAAUCCCAAAUAAUGUUUCAUAAGUGGCUGAAUUACACGGAAAUAUUAUGAAGGAUUUUUUCGGUGUUGAUAUAGAUAUCCAAUUUAACAUCACCUUUGGCCACCAACAACUCCGACAAAGGAUUUACAUCAUUGAAUGCCUAUUUACUUUGACACCAUUUCUGUUAGAGUGCUCAUAACACAUUCUUCUCAAUGUCACUUUGCUUAACAUAGGUUGAGGAAAAUUACUCUGUAAUAUUUUUAUCCAAUUUGGCCACGUGAAACAUUUUGGGAUUUUGUUGAGCAUAUCACUCUUCCUAGGGACAUUUUUCUUAGCUUUGGUGUCACGCCCCGAUCCUCCGAGCGCGCGCACAUCCCACUCUGGUCGAUGAAAAUGCGACUUCCCAGGACACGUCGCCGACCCAUUCAAUUUUAUUACACAUGCGGAAGCGAAACAAAUCCCCUGACAACAUUUAACUUGGGAUAGAAAAGCAGGCAAUCAAUCAAAACCAAACAAGCUUUCUAUAAACACAUAGGUUUAUAUACAACACUGGAUUGUCUACAAAAUAGACAGGCUCAACAACUAGGGAACUGUCCUAUGACCAACUUGUCAGACACGUUCGCCAAUUCUUCAGCCUCCACCUUCCGAACUCCAGGACUUCCGGUCCUCCACGACCGUCAUCUAGGGACCUGAAAUAUUAUCCCACAACCGGGAUGAGACUACGUCUCAGCGAGUCCUACCAUCUAAAACUCAAUUAGGAAGAAAAUACGCCUCAGGGCGCUCUAGCCACACAAAUAGGAUAGAGUACUUACCUCGCCUCAAUUCCUUCCUGCACGUCAGUACAAUUCAUAUUCAACAAUGCUCGCACAAGCUGAAACUACCGACAUACCCAUCGGUCUAUCAAUUCAGUCAAUCCAAUUGAUAUCAUACGAUCCACACAUCUAUCAAUUCAUAUCAUCUAUUAAACCAUACCAUCUAUUCAUCCAUCAAUACAAUUAUGGCUCGCACAAGCUGAAUUGGAUGCAAUGCUCUCACAAGCUGAUAUAGAUGGUAGCUCGCACAAGCUGAUAUAUGGAUCAAUGCUCUCACAAGCUGAUAAACGAUCAUUGCUCUCAUAAGCUGAUAAAUGAUCAUUGCUCUCACAAGCUGACAUACAGUGCUCACACAAGCUGACAAUGAUGCUCACACAAGGUGAUACAUAUAUAAACCAAUUGCUCGCCAAAGCUGUUAAUUCAAUAAUAAACCAACUCAUACCUCAAUUCAAUCAAUCAAUCAAUUCAAUCGAUUCAAACUGGUCAUACAAACCAAUUACGGUGCUAAAAGCUAACACCGGGUAUUUUCAAGUUAAAUACCACAACUUCAUGAAUUUCACACAAUUCCACACUUUUGGAAUUAUUAACCAUAAUCAUCAAUCACUCAAUUUCUCAAUUUAAACAUACAAUUAACACAAACCGACCACACUGCUGCGAUCAGCGUGAAAUUCUGACGACCGGCCAUCCCGGCAUAAUUUUCGAAAUUAUUAAAUAAUUAAAUUUAAUUCCGAAAAUUAAAUAAUUAAAUAUUAUAUUAUAAUAAUAUAAAAUAAUAAAAUAAUAUUUAAAAAUUCGAAAUAAUUAUUUAAUUAAAAAUAAUCAAUUAGGGCUUAAACAAGAUUACACUAAUUUAAUCAUACAAUUAGCCCUAAUUAAACAUCCAUUAAACUAAUCAUACAACUAAUCUAAUUUACAUUAAAAUAAUCUAAUUUAAUCACAUAAACCUAAUUAGACUAAUCUAAACACCCCUUAAGCGUCAUUAACUCACUAAGCAAGAAUUAGAGGAUAAACUCACCCGAUUAACGAUCCGAACGGCUCAAAAUGACAAGGACGACGCGAGGGUCGAUAGUCUCCAAGGCGGGCCUAGCUUCCGGGGUCGGGAAGCCGGCCAAAACGGGCCAAAUAGCCACUGCCAUACCCAUUUUCCAAAUCUCUGUUCGCUGCUAGUUGAGGCCGGGAAAGGGCGGAUCCGGGGUUGGUUGGGGUCGAGAAUGGGCGGAGGAGCUGCAACGGACCUAGGUGGGGCUUCACGGUGGCCGGAGGUGAGCUGGGCGGCUCCGGCUGAGCUUUCCCAGAUCUGGAACGGCUGCUGGACUCGCGGAACAGCAGGGGCGAGCAGGCGCACAGUUGUUGGCUUCGUCUGCUUACAACGGCGAAGGGGAGGCCGGACGGGAGGCUCCGGUGAGCAGGGCGACGGAGGCUGGUUGACGACGACGAUGGAGCUUCUGCUAGCUUCAACGAAGACGGACAGAAGCAGCUCGGACGUGCGGACAGCGCGUGAGCUGGACGGCGGGCGCGGGAGCUCGCGGGUGGACGGACGACGCGUGAGCGGUGCGCAACGGCGGUCCGACUGGACUGCUUGCUGCUCCGGCGUCCUCAGAUCUGCUGGGUCUUCGAGCAGAAACCAGAGAUGGAGGAGAAAGACGGAGAGGCGCGCGGGUAGAGUGACGGCGUCGCGGCGGCGAGCGGAGACGAGUGGCGCUGCUGGCUGCUGCUCCGGCUGCUAGCUGCGACGGAAGAGGGAGCUGCUGGCCGGUCUUCUUCGGUUGCUGGGCUUCCGAAGAAGAAGAUGAAGAUGGAGAGAGGAGGAAACGCUCGCACGGCAAGGAGAGGGAAGAGAGAGACAACCGAUAGAGAGAGGGAGGAGAGAGAAGGAAGAUGGGACCACUUUUUUCUCUCUCUCAUGGCCCACCAUGACCUCAUGGAUGAUGUCACCCUCCACUAUCUCCCACAACCUCAUUCUAAUGGGUUCAAUUUCAUUUUCCGCCGGGGUCCAAUUCUUGUACACUUAAUUUAAUAAAUUCUCAAUCAAUUCCAUUCAAUUGAAGCUCAAUUAAAUUAACCCAUGUGUCCUCGGCCUUCUCAUGACAUUUCCCCAUCAAAUGAUCCAACUUGCAUCCCGAAGAUUCGAUUAAAAACGGCCCUCUAACAAUCCCGAACAAAAACGGCAUUACUUUGCUUUUCCGCCAAAAAUCUCGGUUUGUAGAAAAAUCUUCUGGAGAUAAGUCGACAUUCCUAAAUUGAAUUGUGACUUGACAGGACUUCCAAUUUCUGUAAUCGGGUUCAAUUCACGGUUAAAUUCAAUCUGGCGCGACUUUAGCGCGUCCUAAUCUACCGGUUAGCUUUUAGGAAUUUUCUGUGCAAUUGACCUGUGGUUGAUUAUUCUCAAGCCACAAAGUGCAUCUUCGACACAUUGACGACUCUUGGUUGUCGUAGAAAUCUCAAGGUUUCAAAUACGGACACAAGGUACCAAAACGACAGAGAAAUCGGUCUAGUGUCGAUCAACAAGAAUUGUGCAAUUAGGUGGAAUCACCCACACUGAAUUACAUGGUUCUGUUGAAUCGACCUAUCUCCGGUCUCUAAUCGGUCUGUGCCGUAAUGACCCUUGCAGAUUAGUACGGUCGAGCAGUCGGUUCCUGGUCGAAUUCUCAAGUCUAUUGCGUUUAGAUUCCUUAACGGCUUCACCUGAUAGACUAGUUAUCUCGUGAGUGGCCAACUCAGAGAAGAAAGCUAUAGACGCGAAGAUGAAAUGCCCGACUUAUUUAAUUGAAACCAGAAUUGGAAAAUCGGGAUGUCACAUUUGGCCUCUUUUUUCUUCCUCCUCCUCCUUUUCUUCUCCUUUGCCUUUCUCUACAUGAUCAAGCAGUUUGUUUUCUCAGCUUUUGCAUGGUGUCUAUGCAAAUUCUAGAUAUAUCGUCGAAGAGGGCUAGUGUUGAACCUUCCGGAAAGAAGCUAUCUGAACGGACUCUAGGCAGAGAUAAUUCCAUAUAAUGGCCAGCCAUAUAAAGCAGACUUAAUUGUGCUGAGGAAAGGAGGUAAAGAGUUGAGAAUUGGUGAAAGGUAGUUGAUGUUUCUUAUAUAAUCUGAGAACAUUGUUCUAACUUGUCAUCCACUUUUCUUACAAUAUUCAAAAGGCCCUUUGGUGAUGAUUUUUUACUGUUUUGCUUUGAGAAAUUAGCUGUUGGGGUUUGGGGCCAAGUAUCUUGUUCAAUCAGACCUGCAGUCUCCUUCUUUCUUGCACUUUCUUUCACACCAUCACAAGACUCUUUUCUGUGUGCGCAUGUAUGUGUGUGUGCAUGGUUGUUAGGAUCGCAAUCCGGAUUGUAGGAUCACAAUCAUUCGAUUCUACGACUCAAAAAAUUUGAACAAUUUGAAUUCUAAGAAAAAUGGUAGUCUACAGGGGUCGUGAUCUGUUUCUUAGGAUGGUGAUCCCAACUACGAUUCCAAUGUUCAAGCUUUAGACGGCAAUUCUGCCUUUUUAGCUGGAGCAAAUAUGAAAUUGGGCCUUCGUCCCCUAGUGCAUGUGCCACUUCCUUCUUAAUCAUGUUCAGGCUCCAUUUGGAAAAUAUAAGGCUUGGAGAAUUAAGAGAAAGGGAUGAAGAUGAAUGAACAAUAGAAAGCGAAGAAGUGCAGAGACACCAUCUAUUCUUCUUCUUCUUCAGUCUUGAAUAAAUGAUGAGAUGGGCAUCGACCACUGUUGGCUUUCUGAACCGUGCCGUCCUUUAGAGAUGAGAGAGAUAAAGCUUCUGUCCUUCUGCAACCAGAUGAGAGAGACCUCUAACAUCCUUGAGAAAUUGGCGCAAGAUUUUUCUUGGCCUAGUAGCAUAUUAGAAAUUAGGAAAAGGCAGGAAAGUAUCUUCUCGGUAGCCUUCUUCUUGAUGAUUAUGGUGAUUAUUUUAUUGUGAUCCUAUUUAAUACCCCUCAAAAACUUGGGCAAGCAGAUUUUAUGAUUUAACAUCUUUGACAUGGUGCUUUAAUUAUUAGUUGAAAAACUGGCAACCGAGAAUUUAAACUAGAGUAAUCUCUCACUUGAGAACGCUACCUUUAAGCUUCUCUAUCCCUCUUCUUAAGGUUAAUGUGCAUCUAAUUGCAAUGAUUUACGCAAUAAUUUAACACUUCAAAUAUGUAGGAUCAUAUGAUCUUGAUCUGAUCUCAAAGACUUCGAAAGGAUCCUACUUAGCAUCUCGGUCCUGGUAACCUUUUUGUAUGUGUGUGUGUGUCUGUGUGUGUGUGACAAAGGUUGCCCAGCUUUAAUAUUUAUUGUGAAUUUAUUUGCUCUUAGUUAUUUAUUUGACAAGAGAAAUAUGGAUCCAGUUGUAAAAUUUCUAAUGGGCGACUCUAGAGUGAAACUGCUUUUCUGUUGGGUAAGCAGCUUUCACAUGGAGCUUUUCUUCUCCAUGUCAGUGUCUGUCUUGUCCCUGUGCUCAUAUUGCAUGGACAUAGACUGACUGCAGAACAUUAAGAUAGUGUAAGGGCAAUUUUACAGUUUCCUCAUCAGUUUGGUGUAGGAUUGAUCACUGAAGCAUAAUAGGCCUAAGAGCCUUGAGUGUAGGAUCAGCCUCUUUAAUUUCAGCCAAAGAGCGUGGAAAGUUUGUCUUUGUUUGCUUCUAUUAAGAAAUUCUUCGGCCUCCUUUUCUUCAGAUCGAAUGAAUAUUUAGUAUUUGUGCUCAUCUUGCAUGGAUGGAGACUAACUACAGAACAUUAAGAAAGAGUAAGGGUAAUUUUACAGUUCUUCAUCAGUUUGGUGUAAGAUUGAUCUCUGAAGCAUAAUGGGCCUAAGAGCCUUGAGUGUAGGACCAGCCUCUUUAAUUUCAGUGAAAGAGUGCCGAAAAUUUGUCUUUGUUUGCUUCUAUUAUAGAAUCAUGUGGCCUUCUUUUCUUCAGACGAAUGAAUAGCUAGUAUUUGUUCUCCAACAUAUUAUAUUCUCUUGAGGCUUCAAGUUGUCCAUUUUAUCCAGUGAGGGUACUCAACUAAUUAAUAUACUAUAUCAAGUAGUAUAUUAUAUGAAUAACUUUUCCCUUUCAACUUUGUGAUUGCAUCGCAUCUUCCUGAAUAUAUAUAUCCUUGGAAGCGAGCCGUACUUUACCCUGCUUGUUUAAACUUUAUGAUGCUUGAAGUCAGCAAGAAUCCUUAACAUCCUUGGUUAAGUUGAAAAUAGCUUUGUACCCAUGAUAUGCCCCCCUUUCCAUUUUUGUAGUUUUCCUUAGAUCCUUGGUUUAAUUACACUAAUAUUUUUCUUACAAUGCCUAAUUGUUAAAAGCACAUACUUAAACCAAUGUGAGUAACCGUUUCUUUAGUAGCUAUUCAUUUUGAUAGCUUACCUGGUGAUGCGUGAUGGGGUGACUGAUUCCAGAAUGGAAAUUUUUCAGAGGGGAAUUUUGUGGUUAAGUGUAUGGAGUAGUGUAUACGGUGAAGAAAUGAAAAGGAAUAUGAAAAGAUAUAAUGAUCUCCUCCCAAGGUAUAAAGGCCACGCCACCAACCGAGGAUGAGGAUCGAGAUCUACGAUGUUCACCACCAAGGCCUAAAGCUUCCACCAACCAAGGAUAAAGGACUUCGGGAUAGGAGAAGCUCACCACCAAGGCCUAAAUUCCACCAGCCAAGGAUAAAGGGCUUCUUGGCUCACCACCAAGGAGUGAUCUACGCUCCAAGGAUAAAGAGACCGAAAGGAGUUAUCCACUCUUCGAAGGAGUUCACUCAAACAGAGGAAAUCUCGCCAUUUUCAUUGAUCAAAUUCGUAUCUCCCAUACAUUGGAUAGUUUUUCCCUAUUUAUAUGAGGAUUUUAGCCUUAGGAAAUAUUAAAAACAGACUUUAAUGACCUAGGAACUUAAACUUUUGACUCUUGAACUACAUAAAAAUAAAAACACCUAGGAACUUAAGAAAAGCCUUUAUUAACACGGGAACCAAAUGCCUUUAAUCUUCGGCUUUCCGGAUUCUUGAACCUUUAGCUUUUCGUAUUCUUGAACCAUAUUCUUGAACCUUUGGCUUUCCAUAUUCUUGAACCGCAUUCGUGAACCUUUAGCCUUCCCAAAAUUCGUGUUCCUCCCUUGACCAGAAAAUAAUGCUCCUGAAACUUCAUCAAUUGGUCAUACAAGACAUCUAAAAUAGCCUCCCAUUGAUAGUUAUCAAUAUACCACAAAGUACCGAUAAGUAAUUAACACUAUUCAUUCAAAAUGAUCCAUUGAAGCACAUAAUGCCCAAUUUCUUUAUUGGCUUGGAUAACCAUCGAUGGUUCUGAGUUAAUUGAUAGAGCUACGUUGGAUGCUCCCACAUCAUCCUCCCUGGGUUGUUUGAGAUUUGUCCUCAAAUCUAGAAGGUUUUCAUCCUCCAAGUAAGGAGAAAGGUCUCCCACGUUGAAUGUUGCCGAAACUCCAAACUCUCCCGGAAGGUCAAUCUUAUAAGCAUUGUCACCAAUUCGCUCAAUAACUUUAAAGGGACCAUCAGCUCUAGGCAUGAGCUUGUUCUUUUGUCAAAAUGGAAAUCUCUCUUUCCUCAAGUGAAGCCAUACAAGAUCGCCCAGUUGAAAUUGAGUCUUCUUGCGAUGUUGAUUAGCUUUCUUCUUGUAAGAUUCAUUGGCCUUUUUAAUCUUGGAUCGAAUAUGCUCAUGGAGCUUCUUCAUUGAUUCAGCUCUUUUCUUGCCAUCAAAGCUUACUUGAGAGUUAGAUGGAAUUGGAAUCAAAUCAAUGGGUGUGAGAAGAUUAAUUCCAUACACAACUUCAAAUGGCGAUCGACCAGUAGUAUAACUUGGUGAUUGAUUGUAAGCAAAUUCAGCAUGCGCAAGCUUUAAAUCCCAAUCUUUUAACGAUUUACUCACCAUACCACGAAGAAGAGUGGUUAGAGUACGAUUUGUUACCUCCGUUUGGCCAUCAGUUUGGGGAUGACAAGCUGUGCUGAAUAAGAGUCUUGUACCAAGCAUUCUCCAUAGAGUCCUCCAGAAGUAGCUUAAGAACUUGGAAUCACGAUCCGACACAAUGGUCUUUGGUACUCCAUGAAUGUGAAUAAUCUCUUUGAAAUAUAAUUCAGCAAUAUGAGAUGCAUCAUUGGUCUUGUGACAUGGCACGAAAUGAGCCAUUUUAGAGAACCGAUCGACGACCACCAUGAUAGCAUCUUUUCCUCUUUGAGUUCUUGGUAGAGCCACAAUGAAAUCCAUGCUAACAUCUUCCCAGGGCUGCAAUGGUACCGAAAGUGGAGUAUACAAAUCUUGAUGGAAAUGACAUUUUAAUCUUUGAAAAGUUUCACACCUUGAGAUGAUAGCAUGCGCAUCUCCACUCAUCUUUGGCCAAUAGAAAUGCUCUUGAAGAACCUCAAGAGUUUUGUUAAUACCAAAAUGACCAGCCAAUCCUCCACCAUGCGCUUCUCAAAUCAGCAAUUCGCGAAAAGAACUCUUCGGCACACAUAAUUGAUUUCCUUUAAAAAGAAACCCAUCUUGCAAAGAAUAUAUACCUCGAACUCCCCGCUUGCAAUUGUUGAUGAUGGAUGAGAACUUCGCAUCUUUAUAAUAAAGUUCUUUCAUUGAUUGAAAUCCAAGAAUACUAGAGUCUAGAACAGCAAGCAUAGAAUAUCUUCUCGAUAAAGCAUCUGCUACAACAUUAGUGUGCCCAAGUUUAUAUUUUGAGACAAAAGAAAAGGAUUGAAGAAAUUCUACCCAUUUUGUAUGUCUCGAAUUAGGCUUGCGUUGCCCACUAAUAAACUUAAGUGCCUCAUGAUCAGAAUGAAGGACAAAUUGCUUUGGCCUCAAAUAAUGACUCCAAUGAUCAAGAGCUCGGACAAUGGCAUAGAACUCUUUGUCAUAAGUUGAAUAAUUCCUCUUGGAAUCAGAUAACUUCUUGCUGAAAUAUUCUAAUGGUUUUUGUGCUUGCACCAGAACAGCACCAAUACCAACUCUGCUUGCAUCACACUCAACUUCAAAUACUUUAUCAAAAUCAGAAAGUGCAAGAAUAGGGGACUCUCAAAGUUUCUGCUUGAUUACCUCAAAGGCGUUUUGAGCAGGCUUUGUCCAUUCAAAAGAACCAUUCUUCAUGCAUUCAGUUAUAGGAGCCAUGACAAUACUAAAGUUUUUGACAAAACGUCGAUAGAAAGAAACAAGUCCAUGAAAACUUCUUACAUCAGAAAUGGACUUCAGAACCGGCCAAGUCUUCAUAGCGUCCACCUUGGUUUGAUCAACAGAGAUUCUAUCUUUGGAAACCACAUAACCAAGAAACACAAUGCUUGGAGAGAAGAACUCACAUUUCUCCGCUUUAGCAUACAGUUUUUGAUCUCUCAAGACAUUGAAGACCUGUUUUAAAUGAGAGAUAUGCUCCUCCUCGUUCCUGCUAUAAACAAGAACAUCGUCGAAAUAAACGACGACAAAUCGACCAAUAAAGGAACGAAGAACCUCAUUCAUAAGUCUCAUGAAGGUACUUGGAGCAUUAGAUAAUCCGAAUGGCAUAACCAACCACUCAUAAAGGUCUCCCUUGGUCUUGAAAGCCGUCUUCCAUUCGUCACCUUCUCGCAUUCUAAUUUGAUGAUAACCACUUCGCAAAUCUAUCUUUGAAAACACAGAAGAACCAUAUAAUUCGUCAAGCUUAUCAUCAAGUCUAGGUAUAGGGUACCUAUACUUAAUGGUGAUGUUGUUGAUGGCCCGGCUAUCAACACACAUUCGGUAUGUACCAUCCUUCUUAUGUACAAGUAGAGCCGGAAUAGAACAGGGACUCAUGCUUUCUCGGACGUAUCUUUUGACGAUAAGUUCAUCGACAUAGUCUUUACAACUCCUUUGUUUCCUCUGGAUUGCAUCGAUAAGCUGGCUUGUUUGGUAGUGGAGCACCGGGGAUCAAAUCAAUUUGUUGCUCAAUACCUCUUAUGGGAGGUAAUCCAAGUGGCAAAUCCUUCGGGAACACAUCUGCAAAUUCUUUCAACAAGCAAUGCAUUUUUGGAUGUAGGGGUCGCUCUAUCUCACUCUUUUUCUCGACCACAAGCAAAGCAAAUACAUUCUUUUGUUUGCUAAUGGCUCUCUCAACCCGUGUCUCACUCAAGAACAGAUUUUCCUUACAAGUGUUUCCCUCCCCAGGUUGAUUAUUAUGUAUCGAAGAAGGAUUCAAGGGUAAAAGAGUAAUGUAUUUUUGUUCCUUAUGAAAUGAGUAUGUGUUUUUCCGACCAUCAUGCAUAGCCUUUAUAUCAAAUUGCCACAAUCUACCCAAUAAUAAGUGGCAUGCCUCCAUAGGAAUCACAUCACAGACAACUUGAUCUCGAUAAUUUUUCCCAAUCAAAUAAAUUAUAAGAACGCGUUUGGUUACCUUGAGUUCAUUCCCUUUGAUUGAGCCAUUGGAGUUUGUAUGGUUGAGGAUGUUUCGUUGUUGGAAGCUUCAGCUUGUUGACAAGAGUUGUCGAAGCAACAUUGGUGCAGCUCCCACCAUCGAUGAUCACCGAACACACCUUUCUGUUAAUAGUGCAAUGGGUGUGAAAUAUUCUCCCUUUUCUCUUUAUCAGGAGAAACUUCAACAUGCAAUGCUCUUCGGAUGAUCACAGCUCGCCAUCAUCAACUUUCUCCAUAACUUCUUCCCGAUCAAAUUCAAAAAUAUUUUGGUCUUGAUUGCCCUCAGCCUCUUGAAGCACCGAAUUGAUCUCCUCAAUUUCUUGAAGAGUCAUAACUCUCCGAUUUGGACAAUUUGCUCAUAAAUGCCCAAAACCAUGGCACUUAAAGCAUUUCCUUACAUCGCCUUCAAAAUUCUUUUGGACUUCUUUGGAAGGCUCUGCAAUUUUUCCCUUGCCUUUGUCUUUUGUCGACGUACUCUCGCCCUUGCUUGAGGAAACAUCCUUAAAAUAGGAUGUCGCCUUUGUUGAGGUUCUGGAGGAAAACCUCUUGCUCUUCAAUUGUUUUUCGACUUUUAUGGCUAACUUGCAUACGUCUUCAAAGGACCAAUAAGGUUGAAGUUCAACCAUAUCAGCAAUUUCUCGAUUCAUGCCACCAAGGAAACGAGCGAUGGUUUGCUCAAGAACUUUUGGAAUUUCACUCCUUAUUUUGAGUUGUUCAAACUCAUGAAUGUAUUCUUCAACACUCAUCCCUUGUUAUCUUAGGGAAUUCAAUUUCAGGAAUAGAUCUUGCUUAUAGUUGUCGGGCAAGAACCUCUUCUUCAUCAACUUCUUGAGUUUUUCCCAAGACUUGAUUUGGCCUUUUCCUUCCCUUGCUCGUUGAUGCUUUAGAUUCUCCCACCAUAGAGAAGCAUAUUUGGUCAGUUUUAGGACAACAACCUUACAUUUCUUCUCAUCCGAAUAGGACUUGAAGUCAAAAAUUCGUUUCGUUGUGUGUAGCCAAUCCACAAAGUCGUCAGGAUUGAGAUUACCGUCAAACUCAGGGACCUCCACUUUAAUGUCUCUUUCAUCCUCCUUAUGCCUCCCUCUUCAUCUUCAUCUUCGAAUUUGAGAUUCAGAAUUACUAGAGUGUAGAAUCGUUCGGUUGUCUCCAGUGGACUCGGAAUCGCCAUUAGAAUUUUGACGAGAUUCAAAAUCAUCACGCCGAUGCCGUUCGUUGGGAUGCCUUGCUGGCUGUCCUUGUCUCGACGAAUUCUCUAGAAGAUUGAGGACUCGCUCCAUUUGUUGUUGAAGAUUUUGGAUUGAGCAUUCUCGCCUUUCAUUGUGCGUUUGCUCCAGAGUCAAGCCUCUUGGAACUUGAUCAUCCAUAAGGAAUUUGUAAGAAAGAAAGAAAUGAAUCACUCAGAUAAGUUGAACCUUGAGCUCUGAUACCAAUCUUUUGAUGCGUGAUGGGGUGAGUGAUUCCAAAAUGGAAAUUUUUCAGAGGGGAAUUUUGUGGUUAAGUAUAUGGAGUAGUGUAUACGGUGAAGAAACGAAAAGGAGUAAGAAAAGAUAUAACGAUCUCCUUCCAAGGUAUAAAGGCUACACCACCAACCGAGGAUGAGGAUCUAGAUCUACGAAGUUCACCACCAAGGCCUAAAGCUUCCACCAGCCAAGGAUAAAGGGCUUCUUGGCUCACCACCAAGGAGUGAUCUACGUUCCAAGGAUAAAGAGACUGAAAGGAGUUAUCCACUCUCCAAAAGAGUUCACUCAAACAGAGGAAAUCUCACCAUUUUCAUUGAUCAAAUUUGUAUCUCCCAUACAUUGGAUAGUUUUCCCCUAUUUAUAUGAGGAUUUUAGCCUUAGGAAAUAUUAAAAACAGACUUUAAUGACCUAGGAACUUAAACUUUCAACUCUUGAGCUACAUAAAAAUAAAAACACCUAGGAACUUAAGAAAAGCCUUUAUUAACACGGGAACCAAAUGCCUUUAAUCUUCGGCUUUCCGCAUUCUUGAACCUUUAGCUUUCCGUAUUCUUGAACCGUAUUCUUGAACCUUUGGCUUUCCAUAUUCUUGAACCGCAUUCAUGAACCUUUAGCCUUCCCAAAAUUCGUGCUCCUCCCUUGACCAAAAAAUAAUCCUCUUGAAACUUCAUCAAUUGGUCAUAUAAGACAUCUAAAAUGGCCUCCCAUUGAUAGUUAUUGAUAUACCACGAAGUACCGAUAAGUAAUUAACACUAUUCAUUCAAAAUGAUCCAUCGAAGCACAUAAUGCCCAAUUUCUUUAUUGACUUGGAUAAGCAUCGAUGGUUCUAAGUUGGUCGAUAGAGCUACGUUGGAUGCUCCCGCCUCACCUGGACCACAAUGGUGCAUUUUGGGCUUUCUCUUGGUUGCUUAAGUUGAUUGGACAAAAUUUUACGAUUCUUUGUUCGUGUUUUUAUUUCUCUCGGUUCGUUGCCGAAUCCGUAAUUGUUGACCAAGAUUGAUCCAAAUGGAGCUUUGCUUCAACUUAGGUGAGCGAUUACGAGUCCUGAUUGUUCCAAAUCCAUUGUUGUUUAUACUAUUUGUUGUUUUUUUUUUCUGAUUUUGUUCAGCCCCAUUUCUGGUGUUUUUCUUACUCUUUGGUUAUGCCCUUACAAGAGUGAGUGCCUUUUUGCCUCGUCAAGAUUCCUGUGAAGAGUUUUUAGUUUGUGAUUAAAAUUUUAUUACCCUUCAAUAUUGCGUUUCUUACCUUUACAAGAUAUGGCUUUUCUUCUUACAUGCUCAUUAGAAGAGAUGGAUUAUAUUUUGCAUUGACAACCAAAACAAAUGUUCAAAUACCAAAUCAAAAACAAAUGCCAAAAGCAGCAAGGGAGGAAGUGUCUUCUCAAUCGGAUAUGAAUGAAGAUUCAAUUAACUCGUAUGAGCAUACUAAUCACAUGAGAAGCGCCACGUGGGGGUAUUAUACAUAUUUCAUGUACAUGUUUGCUUUUAAGACUUAUUGGACCUGCCAACCUAUGGCUUCUAACCUGUGAUGGACGUACUAUCUGCUGAUCAUGUGAUGUUGUUGUGUCAUUGGGUGCGUUGUGCUUGGUUUGAUAGGAAGGAUAGAUGUGUUGUGCGAUUUGGAAGAUGUUGUUACAAGGAUGAAUGCUUGGUGGAUGUACUAUUUAUUGAGUCUCUGUUUAGACACUUUAAGCUAAUUCUAGUUUUGUUAUUAAGGGCCUGUUUGGCAACGUGCCAAACAGUGCCUGAUUCUGAUUUUUUGUUUCCAGAAUCAGUUUGGGACAAGAAUCGCGUUUGAUAAAAUUUUUGUUCCUGGGAACAGAUUGGGAAGAGAAUUGAGAAUAAAAAAAAUAUUUGAUUCUUCAUCCAAGAAUCAAAAAAAGAAUCAAAAUAGUGAAACUCUCAUUCUUCUCUUCCAUCAUCCUACAAUUGCCGUCCACCACCGCCUGCCGCCGUCCGCCGCUGCCGCCUGCCGCCACCGUCCGCCGCUGCUCGCCGGUUCAGCGAGCUCGCCGAAGGCUCGCCAAGCUAGGGCGAGGUCCGGCAAGCUCGCCGAAGGCAAGCCCAACCUCGCCGGUGGCCAGGCUAGCCUCGCCCAGCCCUGGCGAGGCCGGCCUAGCCACCGGCGGGGCUGGGCAAGCCUUGCCAGUGGCCAGGCAAGCCUCGCCCAGCUGCCGACGAGGCUCGGCCGACGAGGGCCGACCUCGCCGGCUCAGUGAUCGGCCACAUGAAGAAGAAGAAGAAGAAGAAUAGGAAAAAAGGGAAAAAAGAAAAGAAAAGAAAAAGUAAAAAAAAUUAUUUAAAAAUCAAAAUAAAUUAAUUUGGAACAGAAUCAAUUAGCACGGUAUCAAACACAAUUCUAUUCCAGAAUAAAAAAUUUUGGACAGUUACCAAACACGUUUUUUUUACUCAGAAUUAGUUCCCGAGAACAGAAUUAAAAAUAAUCAUUUCUAGUCAGAAUUAGCUCUUGAGAACAGAAUCAUUACCAAACGUGCCCUAAAUGUAUGCAAUCAAAUGUGCAGAGAAAGGAGGUGAAUAAACUUACUUCCUUGCUAAUUGCAUAUUUUGUUGGCUGACAUGAAUGAAUGUGCUUUAGACGAUCCUAAUAGGAAUUAUACCUGCGUUUCUGUUAUUAAAUGUUGGUUGAUUUCUAUGAGAAUUUAAUGUUGUUCCGAUAAGGCUUCCCAUGGAACAAUUGCUUCCCUCACUUGGGCUGUUUUAGACAAAUUUAUCGGCAAAAUAAGGCUGAUGUUAUGAAGCUCAUUGGUUUGCGGUUUUCUUAAAAAAUAGCAUGGCCUUUCGAUUAAUGCAACUAUAGUUGAUCAGGAGAUAGUCCAAAGGCUGAUUUUGUUUUUGGGAGUAUCCACAUCCUGAUUCAAAGGUUGCUGAUAAUAUCGUUUGGAGAUCUCCUGCUAUUGAUGUGGAUUCCAUCAAAUCGUUCAGAGAUACGAAGCUGCUGCGUGUUCUUCUUAGAUGUAGUCCAAGUUGAAUUGUAACUCUUUUUUUAGGUCAAGCAUGAUCAGAGAACCAUCUAGAUAUUUUUGUGGGAAGAAGAGAGUUCGUAGGAUGAUCCUACCAUAUCUAUUGUAAUCAUCUGAGUUGGUUGUGCCUCUUUUCUCUUUUCUUUUUGAACCAUAUAUCAACUCGGUUGCUAAUGUCCUGUUGGUUUUCUGUUAUAAUCAUCUAUUUCCAAAUGAAGAGAGAUUUGUGGACCUCAUUUAAAGCAUAAAUACUUUUCACUAUCUUUCUUUGAGCACAUGCGGUUCGUCCUCAUUGGAAAACCAAGAUAAUACUAUUGGCUAUAGAACACAAAUAGAUUGUCCAGGGGAAAUAUAUGAACCAGCAUUGAUCACAUUUACUUUGUGUAAGAAAGAAUAGUAAAUACUGUUUGUGCUACUGUGAGAAAGAACACAAUGCCUGCGAAAACGGAAAAGAAAGACCGAGGACUAGGGAAAUAGUCCCUCCUUAGUUUCGCCGUCCAGAGGUUGCCCCUCUUGACACAAUGCGCAUUCACAUUUUGGAAGAUCUUACAGUAAUAGGAAUUGGAUAUAGCGACGUGGUUGCCCAUCUGGUUGAACAUCUGCGCAACCACCUUGUCAUCCCUCAAAUAAUUCUCAAUAAUCCCUGCACGGCGAAGAAACUCCACGUCCAUUGAAGAGUUUAUGAGAUUAUCCAUGAAGUUAACGUAAUCCGUAAAGUAGUUGAUGUCUCUCCUUCGACAAUGCUGCUCGUAUGCGACCAGGUUUCGAAAUUUUGAUUCGGUAUGGUCUUCUACUUUUAAGACCGCUAUCUCGAGUGUCUCAUUCUCGAAUUUGAUGUCGCUCAGUUGGUCCCCUUUCUCAGCCUUAAACUUGACUCUUGAAUCCCUCAGCUCUGUCGCCGAGAAUUUAAUUGGUGUGCAAACUAACAAGCAAUCUGACCGAUUCGGUUUAGGCAAGUCCGAAGUGUGCCACGUAUGAUAUAGAUGUAGAAGAUGCUCCGUCUCCUCGCCAAUCGUCCAAUUUUGUAUGGGGACGUCGAAGUACACCCUGGCAUAAAAGCCGAACUCACUCUCGUCGCCCGGAUCUUUAGUCAGGUCAUGUAGCUUGCUCAAGACGAAAAGUGGGAGCUGGUUCUCUAGCAGCAGUAAAUCGCGCAUAAUGCUGUUUCGAAUCCCUAAUCCAUGCAUAAGCAGAUCGUCUUCGUCUAUCGGUAUCUUGUUAUUGUACUUACGGAACAACUCAACGAUGAAACAGCCAUCAAUGAGCAUCAUCGCAAGAAACUUUUCUUGGGAGAGGUCGAUGGUUUCCGCAUAGCAAUUACACGCCCGUUGUUCCAUUUCCCUGAGAGUCGGCAUAUACCUGUCAACGCUCUCCUUUCUCCUCUCAAGCAAUUGCUGCAGGUAUCGCAAUUUUUGCUUCUCCAUGAAUUUGAACUUGUCAUUUCCAUAGUGAUAAGGGCCAAUGGCUAGGACCUCUGGGUCAUAGGCUUUCUCGUUGACUUUGCGCAAUUGAUGACGGACCCUAAAUAUACUAUGCUCUAGCGAAGUGGGAGGCAUACUACGAAGCAUACUCUCGAUGUGGAUUGAAACAUGAUCUUGCACCACGGAACAGUCAUAGAUCCUAGCAUGCUGUAUUGGCUACAACAUAAUUAAUGUGAUAAUAAGCACAGAGUAAAGCAAGAUGAUGGAUUUUCAUGUUCUUGAAAUGGUUCUUCAUGUGCUUCCCUUUCAUUAAGAGCUACUUGCGAAAAAUGAUCUUAUAUAUACUCUAGCUAAUUUUUUUAUUUUGGUCAUCAUAAUAUUUUUGGGGAAAUGGAUACCCCUUAAACUAAUCUCCAAACAUCCAACACCCCCCCCCCCGGCGCCCCCUCCCCCUGGGGGCGCACCUCAAAAAAAAGAAAAAAGAAAUAAAUAAAGUGAUUUCCGAAUAAAUUUUUAGGAGAAAUUCUGCAUUUCCGUGUGAUUAUUAAUGGAAAAUGCUAACUAAGCACCGGAGUUGAACAUGUGGAGCUGGCAUAUAAUUUAAACAAAUCAAUAUAUUAGAAAAAAUUACAGAAAUGAUCUAACAGUAGAGGAUCGGAAAAGGGAAGGGAAAUUCAUGAUGACUUACUUGAUUGAAUUGGUGAUUGCUCAUUCUUCUCGCCAAGCUAGACCAAUUCUUCUCUUUUCGUGGGAUUGUGUAUUCAGUGAUAUGGGUAUAGAUAAAAUGAGACUCCGCCAAACAUCAACCUUUAAAACGAAAUACAAACACGUUUUACUUGAGACCCCACAAAAGAAAACACCUGUGAGUAGCUAGGGUCUUUCUUGCCCGAAAUAAACACCUGUGAGUAGCUAGAGGAUACCUAUAGAGCGCGAGACAACUCUCUCCAGAGAACUCGUAAAGUCGACCACUGAAAGCAGAACCGUAAAGUCGACCACGGAAAGCAGAACGACGGACGAGGUAAUCCGGACGAGCAAUUACAAUAAUGGCUGGGGAAAUUUUUUUCUGUAGCGUUUCUUCCUAAAGUUUUCAUGGACAGCUGUGUGUCUGUACGUGAUUGCAGAAGCAAAUCUCAAAUCUCAAAAAGAUUCCAGCAUUUUUUUGUCCAGUCGCUUUCUCCAUAGUUCCGUAUCGCAAUUAUAUAUCGCUCGAGCCUUGACAUAACAUCUCGGUAGCACAGAGCCAUGCGCCCUUCGAAGAAUCAAACCAUACGAGAUCUUGUGGACACUGGGCAUAUCUAGUGGGGUUGAUGCGACCGCGUAUCUACCGCACAAGAUCUUGUGGACACUGGGCUUCUCUACCCUUUUUAUCUGCAGCCCCACGGGCCUUUCACACCGCCAUAUCCAAAUGCGUUAUCUUCUGACUUGUCAAUUCCAUUCUUCUAGUCACAAGCUCAAAAAGAACCAACAACUCCAAAGGGUAGAGACGAUGAUAAUAUAGGUCAGAUAGUCUUUACAUCAAAUUAGACUAAUUAGCAUGGCUCGAUGAAUGGCACGUCAAUCGUAUUUCAGUAACGGAGGUUCCUAGCGAAAGUCAUCCUAUUCCGGUUACGUUGAAAAUGACUUCAAUCGGAGAAUUAGAUGUUUACAUAAAAUGCCCGCUUCCAUCUCCCCCUCCCAAAUAACCGCUCAAAGUGACUACACCUAGUGGUGAUAAGUUCCAAAGUGAACCGAGUCCCACAUAAAAUCGGUAAUUACCCAAAGAUGGAUCAAUUCGACUAAUUGGAAACUGGUCGUGUUUUGAUGAAAGUGAUGUUGAGAAGAUGUUGGGCUCUUAUCUUUGGCAUUCGGAAGAGGUGCUCCCCAAAAUCAGUGGUGGCUGUGAUGGUGUCGAAGCUGAGAACGCGAUCAAAAGUAAAACGGAGGAUACUGCAUGAGUAGCUUGCUAAGAGAAGUGAGAGAAAUCGAGAAGGCCAUGAAAGAACUUGUGCGGUGGAAUAAUCAUACCAGCCAAAUUGUGUACUCGCACGGCUUGUUACGUCAGACUCAGGCCUCGCACAGCUGAGACUUAAGAACGUUACUUCCUAUUCCGGUUACGUUGAAAAUGACUUCAAUCGGAGAAUCAGAUGUUUACAUAAAAUGCCCGCUUCCAUCUCCCCCUCCCAAAUAACCGCUCAAAGUGACUACACCUAGUGGUGAUAAGUUCCAAAGUGAACCGAGUCCCACAUAAAAUCGGUAAUUACCCAAAGAUGGAUCAAUUCGACUAAUUGGAAACUGGUCGUGUUUUGAUGAAAGUGAUGUUGAGAAGAUGUUGGGCUCUUAUCUUUGGCAUUCGCAAGAGGUGCUCCCCAAAAUCAGCGGUGGCUGUGAUGGUGUCGAAGCUGAGAACGCGAUCAAAAGUAAAACGGAGGAUACUGCAUGAGUAGCUUGCUAAGAGAAGUGAGAGAAAUCGAGAAGGCCAUGAAAGAACUUGUGCGGUGGAAUAAUCAUACCAGCCAAAUUGUGUACUCGCACGGCUUGUUACGUCAGACUCAGGCCUCGCACAGCUGAGACUUAAGAACGUUACUUCCGUGUAAAUGUUGAAUCAUGACCUAAAAAGGUUAUGUUCAGUACAAGUGCAAGAAUAUACAAAACACGAGAAAAGUUUUUACUUAAUAAAAUAAAUGCUAUUCGUAGCUUUAAACGGAUUGUCAUUUUCUGUAUUGAACUUUAGAUAAUUGUAGCGCUUUAUAAUUAUAUAUAUCUCAUGAACGAUAAAUAUAUAAAGAAAAAGAUAUUUGGCUGCUGGGUUUCGAGCCCAAGUCUCCGAGGCCAUGACAUGGCAUUCUUGCUUACCACUAAACUACAGCCCUCCUUCGUCAAAACAAAAAAUAUAUAUACCAUUUCGGUCUAAAUAGGUGGUUCUACAUCUAAAACCACAAAUCGGAUUUGUUUAUGCAAUUUCCAAUCCGGUCGAGUUUUUUUGCUCGCUGCUAGGUACAACCGGUGAACCAAAUGCUUACGGAAAUUUGCUUGGAUAAAAGUUGUUGAUUGAGAGGAUUCGGGUUCCAUUCUUCCUAUUGCUGACUUUAUCGGUCAUUCAAAAGCUACCAUUGCUGUAAUCUUAUUUUCUGUUUUCCACUUUUUUUCUUUUGCCAGAAUCCUCUAAUCAUACUUUUGUUGUCUUACUACGAGCUCACGAAAUUAAAUGCGUGUAUAAAAAAAAAAGAAAAGAUAAUGGAUUGAGAUUGUCUCUAAAAAUAAAAGGGUUAGUUAUUUUUUCCAUGAAUGAAAUGAGUGAAGGUAAUUAUUCUUUGAGAGGAGGAAAUAGAUGCUUGAAUUGUUGACAUUAAUUGUUAAUUUUUUAAAUAAUUUUAUGCAAAUAGAUUCUUGAAUUUCGUCUAAGACUCUGUAUAUUUGGUGAGUUGAGUAUAAUCGGCAUCCUUUCUUGCAUGAUGGAGAAUUGAGAGCUAUUUGUGUGAGAAGCAUGUUAAUUUCUUGAUCUAUAUAUGCAAAGUAUAUUCAUGACCUUUUUUUCCCAGCGAAUGAUUAUGGCGGCAAAAUGUAGGUAUUUUAGUUUCGAAAAGUAUGUGCUUUUUGACAAAUGAUAUCUUGAAAACACAGAAAAGCUUCUUCAAAUAGAGAUAUGCCAUGUGUCCUUUUUUUUAUAUGGCAGUCACGUGUGCUACAUCUACAUUACAUAUAUGACAAAAAAAAAAGAAAAAAAGAAGGAACAACAGCCAAAUUAGGGGAGGAAAUCAUAAUCAAAAGGGUCGAUAUCAUGAAGAAUCUUAAAUCGGUACAUUUAUGACAAAUUUACCAUAAACUAAUUAUUUAAUCAUAAAAAAUCCAAACUGAUGCACUUUUGAUAAAUUUACCCAAAACUAUUAUACUAGUGACGAAUUAACCCUAUGUUAGUUUUCAUUAAAUUUUUCUGUCAAAUUACUAAAUUGAAUUAUACGUGAUAGUUGACUGGUAUACCAAUUUGCGAUUUUACUCUCUGUUUGUCAUAUUUAUAUAAUUUUUUGUGGUAUUAAUCUAAUUUAACGGAUGAUAUAUUUGUUAUAAAUGUAUCAAUUUAGGAUUUUUAGCGGUUGAAUAAAUUAGUUUAUGGUAAAUUUAUCACAAAUAUAUCAAUUUUGAAUUUUUUUAUUAUCAGUCGAGAUAAGUUUGAUACAUAUAUAUUAGUUUGGAAUCUUUUAUGAUCAAGAAAUUAAUUUGAAGUAAAUUUAUUAUAUGUAUAUUAGUUUGAAAUUUCUCAGGAAAUUAAUUAUAAUCAAAAUUACAUGAUAAAACCAGAGCAACGAUCCCAAAGAUUCCGAAUGCACAAAAGUCGAAACCUUAAGCCUCAUUUGUUGCUAUGUUUAUGGGAGGAAAUCAAAUUAUGGCCAAUGGGAAUGGAACGAAAGACCUUGAUAGCAGUUGCAAAGUGGUUAGGAGUUCACUUCAAUUAGCCUCCACAGCAGAAGGCUAUUAAUGCACACGACGGAAGAAGAUGGAGAAGCAGAGGACAUCUGGCUAUCGAUAAUAGCGCAAGGUACAACAGACAAGAUUUUGAUUUUUUGUUUUUUAUCUUUUGUUUUUCUUUAGAGUAAGCACUCAACACGGCAUAGGCAUUUGAAUUUUUUUUUUCCCUAAAUGAAGGGGGAGCAACUCGCGUUUGCAUCGUCUGUUUUGAAAUAUAAGGAUCGGACUAGUAAGUAGUAAGUAGCUUAUGAUCAAAUCUCUGAUACUUUAACUCGUUUACAUGUAAAAUAUUUUCGUGUCAAUUAUAUAAUUUGUGCAAUUAAUAUAAUCACGUUACGUGAUUUUAUAGCUUGAGACUUACAAUUAGCAAGUUAGUGAUGAUGUGAGUUUCUAUGCUACUUAUGUAUUUGAGUUCUCAAACUUUUAUUUCAUUCGUCUAAGAAUUGAAAAUUGCAUUAAAAAGCAUGUGAGAGAUUCAGGUUGCUCUAUCGAUUUCUAAUGGACAGAAAUCACAUCCAGUUUACUUCAUUCCCUUUAGACGUGUUAACAGAUUGCGUGAGUAUGUACGUCUACAUGAUCAUGAAUUAAACUUGGAGACGUGCGAGUAGUCUCGGUUUCUGCCGAUUAUGGCCGAUUAUAGUUUUGUGGUUGUUUUGAUAUCUAGCUUGCUAAAUAAUGCAUAUUUAGAUAAUGCAUAUUUGGUGAUGUGGUUGACUUUUGGUAUGCUUAAAGCUUAUGCUUGCUAAUAUGUGAAAUUGAUUGCUUAAUUGUGCAAUUAAGUUCUUGGUUGUUGUUAUGGACUGUUAUUGCAAAAAAUGGAUUUUAGUAUUUAAAUAGAAAAAUACCGGGUGUUGGUUUUUUGACGCCAAAAAUGUUUAUAUAGUAUAUGAAAUCAUGAAAUUUUGAAAUGAGAGGGUACCAUGCUUACUAGUUCGAUUUAAAUGCGUGACCACGCAUGAUUAUUUUAUCGGGAUGAUUUUUAUUACGAAGAAAAUGAGCCAAGUCCAUUAUUUGAAAUUGAGGUAUUUUAGUGCAAAGUACAAUAUUUUUGGCCAAGUAUGGAUAUGUGUGUGGUUACUAUUAGAACCCGUCACCCAACAAGAGUUUGGGGAUGAUGCCUAAUUUUAUUGGAUGCCCGACAAGAGUCUGGAAGUCGGUCGCGGUGGAGGCUGGAUCAAUGCCCCUUUUUGGGAUGCUGUCUAAGCGGGAGUUUUAGAUGUUGCCAUGCUUGAUGGGGCGAGAUGAUGCCCAGUUAUGUCCAAUGACUACUGACUGGGGAGUUGACCGUGACCGAUGGGUAGUAAAAACUUGAAUAUACAUGAGUUGAGAUAGUUGCGCCUUAUUAUGGGGUAAAUGUGGUAUGGAAUGUGACGUAUCAUAAUAAUGUUACCUUAUAAUCGGGACCCAUGUAAUUGGUUGUGAUGAAAUGAUAUGUUCCAGUUAUUGAUUACGCUUGCUACGUUUAUAAGUGUAUAUGUGACGCACUAAUCUGCAGAGAUGUGCUGAGGUGAGGUAAGUUUUGUGUGACGCCUAUUUAGGCUGCCUCUGAGUGAAUUCUCGUCCUAGUCGAGAUUUAGGGUGUUGACUUGCUGAGAUUUUUAUCUCACUCUGUCGUGGUUAAAUAUUUUCAGGUCCUUAGAUGGAGAACUCAGGGCUUGAGGCUAAACGGUCCGGAGCAUAGGUGGCUCACUAGUCCUCGUUGGGUCAGACUUAUGUGUAUAGACCUGUAAGACUAAUUUGGCUUGUAUAUAAAGUGUUUUGUGAAAAUUGGUUGUCCUGCUUUUAUAUCCCAUGUUUAAUUGAUGAGAUUAUUAGUUCGCUUCCACAUGUGCAUAAAACGAAAUGGUCAGUGAUGCGUCUUAAGAUAUCGUAAAUUUUAGUCAACCGUCGAGGGAUAUGCACGUGUUUAAGAUUCUGGGCAUGACAUAUAGUGACCUAGCAUUGUCUCUCAAAAGUAAAAAAAUGAUUCAAAGUCCUUUAGUGGAGCCUUGAUUUUUUCAAUGUUGGGUUCAGUUUUUUAUCAAAAGAUUUUCUCAUUUUUUAUUAUGCUAAACUAGUUUUAAACUAGAGUUAACACUAAAACUCUAAUGAAGUUAGACAAAAGAUCAAUUCUAAACUCUUUUCUGAAUUUUUAAUUUUGUAUUACUUUUUAUUAAUUCUGGGAAAUGGACUUCGGACAAGGCCAGGGAAACCGGUCUGAUUACUGGUUUGAUCCGGACCCUAAAGAUCCGGGUUGCGUUAGGAUUCGGACCGGCCUCUAGGGCCCGGUCCUAAUGUGGUUAUGGCCCGAUGGACUCGGGCUAUAACAACAAUACGACCCAAGUUGCCAAUUUCCCCAUUUCUAGUCAUUCUAAGCCCAAUCGGCAGUCAGCCCACACGCUCAAUUCGGUCCAACCGAUUCUCUUAACCCAAUUUGCAUACUCGGCCCAAUUAAUUGAGCCCUUAACGCCUCAGUCCAAAUCAUUGGACUUUAUAAUCAGCUCGUCUUUAAUUCAACCUUGCCGGCCCCAACAAACAUAUCCCACCUAAGCUUCAUUCUGACAUUUUUUACAUUUUUUUUUAAUUUUCUAUUUUUUUAAUUUCUCUUUCCUAUAUAAUUUUAUUAUUUCCCUGCAUCUUCUUCCCCAAGAGCUCGUCGUCUUCUUCCCGAGCUUGCCUGCACCAAGAACGACGCCUCCUUCGGACAAGAUUUCGCCGAAGCUCCGGUCAUCAUUGGAUCACCCUCCGUCAGUCGUCCAUUCUGACCACCACUGGACCACCAUAUCGGCUGCCGCUGGUCUAUCAUCGACAACAAUCAAGACAAACUCAUUCUAAAUCGGCUGCGGCUUUUCGACCAAAGCAACAUUAAAAAAAUUUCGUACCAUACCAUGAGCACAUCGACAACAAUCAAGACAAACUCAUUCUAAAUCGGCUGCGGUUUUUCGACCAAAGCAACAUUAAAAAAAUUUCGUACCAUACCAUGAGCACAUCUACAUAGCAAAUGGAAGGGAAUGGGGAGCUAACUGUGGAGGACUCAAACCGCGGGCAUUGCAGGUAAGUAGGGGGGUCUCCGGCUGGAAGUUUUAUCCAUGACAAAAGUACAUCAUAUUAGAGAUAUUUAGAGUAUUUUUUAAAGAUAAUUGAGGAUAUUUUUCUUGAUUUUUCAUAUCUUUCGUAAUGGUGUAUUGAUUGUGAAUAACUUGGUUGGUUUGUUGCCUAGAUAAUCAUCUAAAAAAACCUAUAAAUAAAUUCAUGUAUUAUUUAUCAAAACACAAAAAACAUAUAGAAAAAUUCCACCAUUAUUAUUAUUAUUAUUAUUUUACUUUAUUCGUAUAUCAUCAUUUGAGAUAACUUAUGCCGCUUGGGCACUCUCCAUCAUUUUCCAAAAGUCAAUUUUUGCCGUUUUCAAGUAGUCUUCGUCAUCGUUUGCUCGUGACUUUUUUUUUGGCCAUACGAUGACAAAGGUUGAUGGUGAUGAAUCAAACCGUGUAUGUAGUUAGAAUAAGGGGUUGGUAUUUGUGAGUCUCAUCAUUUUAACUUCACUCAUCUAUAAAUAUCUUGCCUAGUGAAGUAAGUUUCCAUGUAUUUCCUUCUUUCCCUUUUCGGAUCCUCAGCUGUGUUGAGAUAUUCCCUGCACUAAACAAAAAAUUGAAGAAUGAGACCAUCUUUCUCUCUUGUAUCUAUAUUGGUGAUAAUGAUUUUAUUAAUUAUUGUGAUGGGCCUAAGUUGGCCCGUCUGCCCAUGUUGGGCCUAAAAGCCUGGCCCAUAAGAUUAGGGCCUAUGGAUGGAGGGAUACGUUGAAGAGUUGUAACUUUUGGGGGACGUCUUUUGUCGAAGGGACACGUCCUUUGGAGAGGAUGUAUUUAAGGGGGAAAAGAGAGGGAGGAAUGCACCUUUUGGAUUUACGUACGUUCCUCCUCCCUCUCUCCCUUAAAACACUCCAAAAAGAACAGUAAGAAAAAGGAGGAGAUACUCUCUUCCCCUCAAGGCAAAUUUACGUCAUCGGAUCGAACGGGAUUAGUUUUUCUUCCUCAUAUCAGCGUCGGUGUUUAAUCUGUGGCUAACAAGGUACGUUCGAUUCUGUGAUAUGCUUUAAGAUCGGUGAUACAUGUGAUUUUCCUGGGCUCGUCUUCUGCACUUGUUUUAGGGGUUCAAUUUAGUGUCGAAUUCGAUUUUUUGGGAAUCCGAUAUUCCCUACAUUGGUAUUAGAGCCGUCUUUCAUGUUUCCCGAUCCCCUUUUUAUGUUAUUGAAUUAAUUUUGCGGUCGAAAAUCGAGAGAAGCCGCUGCCAGUCGAUCGGGGACGAAAAAACCCGACACUUGCGUACUGUUCGUCCUUUUUUGUGGUCUUCUGUAAGUCAAAUUUUUUUUCUAAAAGCAUAGGAUCGAAGCCCUCGUCGAUAUGAGAAAAACGAGUGGCGAAUCGCCGCCGGACGCACCGCCACAAGCGGCUGGAACGAACGGGGGUCAUCAGCACGCGCCGACUCAGUUUCCCACAGGCACGUGUGUCGCACGUUUCGGCCCACGUGCCUGCGACGCACGCACGAAAGCCCACGCACGCGCGCGGCACGUGCCGGUCGGUUUGCCCGACCGGCCUAACCGGGCUUUCUAGUCCGAUCGGUCCAACCGGCCCGUCCGGUCCGACCGGUCCAACCCGUAGCCCGUUGACUCCGACCCGGUUGACCGUUGACCGUUGACCCAAAAAAAAAAGAAAAAAGAAAAAGAAGAAUGUGUUUCUUUUUUUAAUUAAGUCUAUGUAGAUUAUAUGUAAUCCCUUAUUUGUUCUACAUUUGUUGUUGGAACAAUGCCUCCCCUUAAGUUUUUUUUUUUGGUAGAAGGUAAGAAAUAUAUUAAGAAGAGCCAAAUGUACAAAAAGAUCUCGACACCAGUAACUUGCACUCCAAAUGUAGUAACAAAAGAAGUGGAAGGGUGACGAGAUGCAAAAGCCGCAGAGGCGGCACAACAACUACAACAACAAGGCCAAACUAAGCACGGCUAGCUCAACCGGCUAUCAAACAGAGACAAAAGCAAGGAGGAGGCCAGCGUCAGAUCAAGGACCUACGGGUCUCCAUUGAAAAUAAUCGGGUCUAGGCUCCAACUUCUCUGCAACCUUCUGUUUCUGAAAUUGUCUUCGACGUUCCUGAAUGUGAUAGCCUUGUCUCGGACCACUUUGAAGAGGUGGUUCUUGAUGGCCGGAAUUGAGAGAGGCUGGUCUCUAAAGAUGAUGUCAUUCCUAUUUUUCCAAAUGAUGUGACACAACGCGCCAAAGGAAAAACGGGCUAUGCACUUAUAGAAAUCUUUCCCCAUCAAAUAGGUAGUUGCCCAUCUGAAAUUUUCCCCCCAACCUCCGUUGCGCUAGGGUAAAUUGCAUCUGGACGCCCAAAAGAAAGCAACGCUAGCCGUGACACAGCAGUCAAAAAACAAGUGGUCAAGAGAGUCAGGCACAUUCUUGCAAAACGCACAGGUAGCAUUCCCAAUUAUACCAUAGGCCAGAAGGAGGUCCUGGGUUGGAAGCCUACGCUUGGCCAUAAGCCAAAGAUUGAGUUGAUAUCGAGGCACUAUGGCGUUGUCCCAUACGAAGGAGUACCAGUGGACCUGCGUCCUCUUCUUCCUGAUGAAGUUCCACGCCGAUGCCAUAGUGAAUUGGCCCGAAGAGCUUUCUCGCCAACAGCAACGAUCCGGGUCAUUCGUCAGGCUCGGAAGAGGUUGCCCCCACGAUUGAAGCACCAACCUGAGAGCUUGGCCAGCAUCUGAGAAGAGGUCAGCAACAGAAGCUUGUCUAGAGAGCCCUGAGCUGUAGAUAAGAGAAUCUGAGAAGAACAGGUUCAAGGGCCCUCUAGGGUGCCAGUUGUCAAACCACAGAGAGGUUGUUUGGCCAUCGCCAAUUUUCCAGUAGAAGGCCAUCCUGAAAUUCCUUCUUAGGGUCAACAAGCUCUUCCAAGCCUAGGAUCCAGAUGUUGGCUUCCUAGCAACCCAAAAAUUCUUGUUUUUUAAGAACGUGGAGUGGACCCAUCUACACCAUAGCGCUUCCUUGUCGGAAAACAAGAUCCAAAUAUGCUUUAGCAUGGAAGCUUUAUUGCAAUCUUGGAGCCUCCUAACACCUAGCCCUCCUUCAUCCUUUGGAAGGCAAACUUCAUCCCAGGCUACCUUAGCACCACCCCUGCCUAGGUUCGGACCUUUCCAUAGGAAUUGUCUAAAUAUUUUCUCUAUCUGUUCCAUCACAGCUGUAGGUAAAACAAAGACAUUAGCCCAGUAGGCUUGUAUAGCAUGAAGAACUGACUUGAUAAGCUGAAGCCGACCAGCAAUAGAGUGUAAUCGGUGGGUCCAAGACUGAACCCUUGCAGUGAUGCGAUUGACCAGGGUACAACAGUCUGCUUUAUUGAUCCUUGAAGUGAUAAUGGGAACCCCCAGGUACCGAACUGGCAGGCUUCCUUCUCAAAAGCCCAACUUCAAUAGAAUAUUAUUCCCUAGGGAGAGAUUGCCACCCGCCAAGAAAAUUUCACUCUUGCACGAGUUAGGACAAAGGCCACUCCAAGAGGAAAAUAUAUUUAGAGCUUCCUUAAGGAGAGUCGCCGUAGGAAGGUGCGCCUCACAAAAAAGGAAGACAUCAUCUGCAAAAAAGAGAUGUGAAAGACCCACUGCCUUGCACCUCCAGAAGAACUUGAAAUCAGGCCUCGAGGAGUGCUUAAGAAUGAUCCCUGAGAGCACUUCCAUGACCAUAGUGAAAAGGUAAGGAGAGAUGGGAUCACCUUGGCGAAGACCUCGACCGCUCGCAAAAAACCCGUGGAGCUCUCCAUUCAAAGCAAUUGAGAAUUUAGUAGUGCGAACACAUGUCAUAAUUAGACUAGUGACAGAGUGAGGGAAGCCAAAGGCCAGCAUCACAUUCUCAAGGAAGCCCCAAUCCACGGUAUCAUAGGCUUUCCUGAAGUCCACCUUUAUCGCACAUUUAGGUAGAUAAGGCUCAAGGUGGAAGCUAGAGAAUAGUUCCUGAGCCAGCAAAAUAUUGUCCCUAAUUCGUCUACCUUUUAUAAAAGCAGUCUGAAAAGGGCCUAUCGUGUUAUUCAAAGCUAGGGCCACCCGAUUAGCUAGCACCUUUGUAAUACACUUGUAGAUAGUGUUGCAGCAGGCGAUAGGCCUGUAAUCCUCCACAGAAGUGGCGUUGAGCACUUUCGGAACCAUUACCAAGAUGGUAUUGUUAACCUCCCUCAAGAGUUUUCCGGAGUUGAAGAAAUCCAACACUGCAGUCGUUACUAAAGGACCAACCGUGUCCCAGUUUUCUUUGAAAAACUCCGCUGUGAAGCCAUCCGGCCCAGGAGCCUUUCCCUUAGGCAAAGAGAAGAUAGUGUUCCGGAUCUCCAUCUCUGUAACUGGUUGAGCAAGAAGUGCAGCCUGAUCAACCGAAAGUGGAUGUUGAAUAACCUCCCUCAAGUCCUCUAACGAAGGUCUAAUAAUCUCCCCUUGCGGCAUCAAGAGGUCCUCAAAGAACUCUACAAACCUUCGUUGCACCAGCCGUGGUUCCGUCACUAUGUUCCCCGAAGAGUCGAGGACGGAGAGGACUCUGUUCCUCAACUGUCUUUUGUUGACAUAUUGAUGGAAGAAUUUGGUAUUUCGGUCUCCCUCCCUGAGCCAUCUGACCCUGGACUUUUGCCUGAAGAAGGACUCCUCCGAGGAGCGCAACUCUGCAAAGAUACACCUUUGGCUUUUCUCCACCUCAGCAAGGUUAGCAGAGAAGGGAUUUAGCUGUAAUUCUGCUUGAGUGGCCUCCAUCAUCUUCCGCGCAUCAAGAGUUCUAGCAGAUAUAUUAGAGAAGGAAUCUCUGUUGAGCUGCUUGAGCCGAUAUUUGAGAGCCUUGAGUUUAGAGACAAGCUUAUACAUAGGGACGCCACUCCCCGGCGCAUCCCACACUUGUGAGACAAUUUCAUUGAACUCCGGGUGCUUCAUCCAGAAGUCGAAGAAUUUGAAGGGCUUCCUUCGAUGAGUCGAAUUAAGUACCUUCACCACCAUAGGCGAGUGGUCCGAGAUUCCAGGAGCAAGGAAGGAGGCUUUUGAGUAAGAUAGAUCCGAGCUCCACUUGGCAUUCACUAGAACCCUGUCAAUCUUCCUUGCUUUCCUAGAAUGCCCUGAAGACGUAGUCCAAGUGUAUCUAAAUCCAACGAACCUCAAGUCCUCUAGCUCAGCUUGCUCCAAGCACUGUCCAAACUCAUUAAAACAAGGGAGCCAAUCUUCGGAGCCACCGACCCGGUCCGAUGGAUCCUUAAUAGCAUUGAAGUCCCCCAAGACAAGCCAAGGAGUGUCUCGGAGAUGGGUGCUUUUCAUGAUAAUGUCUUCCCAUAGCGGUCUCCUCAGCGAAAAAGAGUGAUCUCCAUAAAUAAAAGAAACACAGCAAGCCACCCCAGAGUCUAGGCUCUCAAGGUUCCCAUGAAUUGCCUGCUUGGUAAGAGAGAAGGCUUCAAACUUGACUCUCAUGGGGUCCCAUCCGACCCAAAUUCUACCCCUGGGGAAAAAGUCAUAGUUUGCAGUCCAACACCAACCUCUCAAUAGAGCUUCGGAUAUGGAGUUAAAGCGAUCCUGUGGCACCUUAGUUUCCACCAAACCAACACAGCACAAGUGGUUCGAAGUAAUAAAACUACGAAUCUCCGCUUGCCUAGUCGAAUCAACCAUACCUCUAAUAUUCCAGCAACCUAUAUACAUAUGUACAAAAGAGGAAACGAGUAAAGGUUACCUCCUUUUUGGAGGCUUGCGACGGCUCGGAGUGGGAGCCGCACGAGUCGGUGGAGGAGGUGGGUCUGGAGGAAGCACCAGGGGCUUAUCCUGGGUAUUCUCCUCCCUGUUUCUCGUUGGAGGAGCCUUCGGCGAUAGACCUGGAGGGGCCUUCGGCGAUUGACAAGGCGAGAGAAGAUCUUCAUCUGAGCUAAGGUGGUUAACAGACUCAUUUAACUCCGCUCCACUCCCUAGGCCCGCAUCUGGAUGGCUAAUGGGAUCUUCCUCCAUUGUCGAGGUGUGGUCAUCCACCCUGAUUAGUGCUUGAAGCCCACUCUGAGCCCUCCGGGUAGAGGUUGAUGGCAAGCUUUUAAGAGCUGCUGCUGACUGCUUGAGAGGUGGUUCCUCUUCACCAGAGCUUGCCGGAUGGUCCAAACAUGUCUCCUUGGGGGGGGGGGAGAUUUGUUCUUCUUUCCCUUGACUUGUUUCCAUCCAAAAUCAGCUUCAUUCAGAUCUACCACCAGCAUCGGUGAAGUCUCAGAGGGGCGGGCCUCCACUGGUGGGGGGGGAGGGAUGGGCUGAACUUGCUUCUGGCCUUGCACCGCAUUCCGACCAGUCAAAGAGGCUGCACAAUUGUGCCCAAAGGAGCCACACUUCAAGCAUUCCGCUGGCUUCCACUCAUACUCGAUGGCAAUCGACCGAACAACUCCGUUUAGUCUUACCUUGGUCAAGUAGAACCUCGGCUUGUUUACUUGAAGCUCCACGCAAACUCUUGCAAAAGAGAUCCUUUGAGAUUGCUCCGUGCGUUGAUCAACAAAUAACGGCUUGCCAAUGGUGCUCGCGAUGGCGCUAAUUGCCGAGGCUGUCCAUAGGUCAAGAGGUAGGUUCUUCAAGCGAAUCCACACUGGCACCAUGGUUUGCUUCUCCCUCUUCAACUCUAGGAGCGGCUUCCAUUGUUACAAAACAAGUGCAACCCUUGCAACCGUUAUAUGACCUUCUUCCAAAAUCUUCCUUCAGAACUCGGGGUCAGGGAUGCGGAAGAAAAAGAAACCCUGGUCAUCGGCGAAAACCUCAACAAGCUUCGGUCCCCAAGCUAGCUUGAGCGAGUUCUCCGUGAGCUGGAACGACAAACUCUUUCCUACAUAAUACCCAACCAGACACUCAUGCCAUUUGGGAUCCACCGCAUCUAACACUUCUUCAGGAAGAUCCACCAUAGGGAUAUCAUCCUCAAACGAGGGAGGAACAAAGGUAAGGUCAUACCCUUUCGCUGUAAGUUUCGCAACAUUUGCCCACGUCCGGACAGCCAGGGCGUCUGGUUUUCUCACUUGCUUUUGUGAGGCUUGGGGCCGUUUGGAAGCUGACCUCGCUCUACUUCGUCCUCUCGAGCGCCUAUCCCGGCCUACAUCUUUGGGACCACGGUUUGAGGUCUCUGCUAGUGCAGGAGCCUUGCCCGUGAGCAUGGAGACCCGGGCCUCCUUGUCUCGAUUGAGGGGGCUAGAAGUCCUCUCCGAUUCAUCUCUCAAUUGUGCCGUAUUACUCGGCUCACCACCCACAGCCAUUGGAGCAGCCAUAACAUUACCCAGCCAGCUAAACCCAGACCUCUACACAGCAGCCAUCUAGAGAGCGAGAGACUAACCGGUCGGACGCCACACACCUCUUGGGUUGGCCGGAAGCAGCAAGGACGGGGCAGGGUGGAUGGACCAACAGUUCAUUCAAGAGCAAGGCAGCUUACUUGACGCCCUCCUCUCGCUGCUAGUAGGUCCGAGACGCACCAGCACUGCUCCUCAAGGGCCGAGCAACGCAGCAGUUCGGUGCAGGGCGCGGCACAGCAGGGUCGGGACAGGGGAGCACUAGCAAUCGUUCAGGAGCAGAGCCGAGGAAGGCUUACUUGAGGGUGCUGGGAUGCCUGCGAACCUCUGCUAGCAGACCCGAGCCGCACCAGCACCGCACCUCAAGGGGCCGAGCAGCGCAGCAGCAGGCGAUUCUCGUGGAGAGGCAGCUCAGAUCUCGCCGCAGAGAUGAAGAGACUCGAAUCCGUUCGGUGAGGAGCGAGGGCUUUCCCAGAGGAGCUGAACCCCCAAUUUUCACGCCAAUCGGAGGUCUGGAUCGCCCGGAUCGAGCAGAUGAAGCCGGCGAGAUUCAGUUCAAAACCCCAGAGGAAGAGAAGCGAUGAACAGUACCCGUGCGUGCAUUUUGGCUCAUUCUUGUUUUUAAAAGAUGGGUGGACAUGUCAAGGAUUCUCCCCUUAAGUUGCGCACACCUAUUCGCGUAAUUACCGAUGACAAAAGGAAAGGCUUUCUAAGUUGAUAGCUAAGCUGACUAAUCAUCGAUGGGAGAGUGGCAACUUAAUUGAUCACAUUCUUGAAGUCAACGAGAAAAUACAAAAGGUCAUAUGGAAUGGUUGUCCCAUGCCACAGUCUGAGAUGGUGCGAUUUUUCAUGAACACUCUUCCACAUGAAUGGCAAAGAGUGUUGAAUCGCGUAUGGGAAGUCAACAGAGCUGCUUCGUAUAGGAAAAUUGUGAUGGAUUUUAUAGAUGAUUAUUACUGGAUUGUUAUAAGGGAAAAGAUCAAGAAAUUGAACAAAAGAUGAUCUUUCACAGUUCGUAUAUUGACUUGGUGCUAGAUGUUUUUUGCUGGUCUUUAUUUAGUGUGCUUUGUGGACAUCUUAUGUAAUGUUAUCUACCUAGUUAUGGUUGGUGUGGCAACUGAUAUGUUAGUUGUAUUAUAUGAAAGUAUUAUUAUUAUAUCAUUAUUUGAUAUCAAGUACUAUUUGCUUUAUGUUAUUAUUAACUGUUGUGGGUAGUUCAUAGAAAUUUUUGUAAUUUCAAAGAAUUUAUUUUGCAUAGAAUGUUAUAUUAAUAAUAACUCCAAGUUAGGAUUUUGGAUGAUGAUUGGAAACAUAGUGACCUUUUGAUUCUAAAACCUUACUUGAAAUUAUUCAUUAAUAUGAUGGUUUUGUGCAAAAUGGAUGCAUAAAUGAUAGGCAUUAAUAAUUCGUGCAUAUAUGUCUGAUAUGUUCAAAUCAAUGGCUUCAGCCACAAAGAGCAUAGUUGCUGAGCUGAACAAAGGUGAGAAACUUAAUGGCGAUAACUAUGAAAUAUGGCACAUGAAAAUCCAAUAUGUGCUGGAAGAGCAAGAGACACUAGAAGCUCUUAACCUGACCAUGGUAGAACCUGAAGAAGGAAACACUACACGGCACAAGAGAGAUAAGGAAUCAUUUGUUGCAUGGAAAAGAAAGAACUCUCUUGCUCGCAUUACGUUGCUAAGUAGCAUGGAAAAUGACGUCAUGCGAGAGUUUAGGCGUUUUGAAAAUGCCAAGGAAAUGUGGGAAGCUUUGAUAGCAAGAUUUGGUCAUACUUCGGUGACCAGACUGAGGCAGCUCACUAUUAGGUUUGACUCUUAUAAGAAGCCUCAUGGUUAGACCAUGAAGCAACAUCUUAGAAAGAUGUCAAAAAUGAUUAAUGAGCUGAAAGAUGCUGGCCAUGUCCUGACUGAUGAGUAGCAAGUGCAAGCACUGAUUCAUUCCUUGCCUUAGAGUUGGGAGCAUAUGAAGGUGCACCUAACCCAUAAAUGAGAAUAUCAAAACCUUUGAGAAUGCAGUGCGUCAUCUUGAGCUGGAAGAGGACCGCCUCUUGGCGGUUAAAACGGAAGCUGAAAUCUAUCAUGCUGGUUCUAGCUCACAUGGAGCUUCAAGCUCUAAGCGCAAACGUCCUAACUGGUUCGAUAAAGGGAAAGGCAAGGAAGUAGGUCAUUCAGAGAAGAAACCUAAGCUUAACCAACAUGAAAGAGGAAAGAGUCCUCGAAUGAAGAAGCUUACAAGGGUGAAGUGUUACAAUUGUGACAAGAAAGGUCACUAUGCUUGCGACUGUUGUGAGCCAAAGAAGGUAAACACCCAUUGUACUUUUCAUAACUUUGCUUAUGUAUUGAGUUCCGUAUUCUUAACUGAGUCUAAUCCUUUGUGGACUAUGGAUUCAGGAGCGACAGACCAUGUAGCGAAGAAUAGAGAAUCCUUUAUGGAAUUCCGACGAGUACCAACUGGAACUAAGUGGAUCUAUGUGGAAAACAAUUCCAGAGCUGAAGUAAAAGGAAUUGGCACCUGCCAAUUGAACAUGCGUGGUGGAUGCACUUUGUUCCUACAGGAUGUAUUGUAUGCUCCGGAGAUUCAUUGGAAUUUAGUGUUUGUUUUAGUGUUGGUCAAGUUAGGUUUUAAUAUGAACUUCCAUAAUAGAGGUAUGGAUUUGUUUUUGGAUACAAAUUUCUAUGGUUGUGGUUAUUUUUUGAAUGGUUUCAUUGUAUAAGAUAUUGACUAUGUUAAUGCAAAUGUUUGUUAUUCCCUUCUCACAUCUCCUAAUUUAUAUGAUAAUGAUGUGAAUGUGUGGCAUGCUAGACUUGGUCAUAUUAGCUAACAACGUAUGAAUAGACUAGCCAAAGAGGGCUUUUUGGCAAAUAUUGAAAAAGUCGAUUUGCCCAUAUGUGAGCAUUGCCUAGUAGGGAAAACGACAAGGAAACCACUUGGAAAAUGUAAAAGAGCUAAAUUUCCUAUGCAUUUAAUUCAUUCUGACGUCUGUGGUCCAAUGAAUAAAAUGAAGGCAUUGGGCUAUUUAUUUCAUCACAUUUAUAGAUGAUUAUACUCGAUUCGGAUAUGUCUAUUUGAUUUCUCAUAAAUCUGAAGCAUUGAGUUGUUUCAAAAGGUUUAUGAACUUGGUAGAAAAUCAAUUAGAUAAGAAAAUAAAAGUAUUGAGAUCCGAUCGAGGUCGAGAAUAUUUGUCUAAUGAGUUCAUAAAAUUAUGUGAUGAAAAAAGAAUAAAAAGAUAGUUGUCUAUUCCAUAUACUCCUCAACAAAAUGGUGUUGCGAAGAGAAGGAACAGAACCCUAUUGGAAAUAAUUAGGUCAAUGAUGGCACAUGCUAACUUACCUAUCACUUUUUGGAGUGAUGCUUUGUUAACUGAUGCCUAUAUACUUAACCGUGUGCCUUCCAAAUCAGUUACUUUCACUUCAUAUGAGUUAUGGACGGGUAGAAAACCGGACUUAAGUUUUCUUAAGCCAUGGGGAUGUGCUACCUAUACUCAUGAGCUCUCUCACAAGUUUGGGAAAUUGGGUCCCAGAGGAAAGAAGAGUAUUUUCAUAAGAUACUCUGAACACUCGAAAGGAUAUGUGUUUAUAGGUGAGCAGGAAAGUGGGAGUAUAACCGAAUUUAAAUCACGGGAUGUCACAUUCUUAGAUAAUGAAUUUCCUAAGAAGGAUGAAAGAGGUGAAGAUUACUCUCUAUUUGAAACCUUGGAUCAAGAUAAUGAACUUAAUGAAGUUCGUCUAAGUGGGAGUAAUAUGAGAAGUGAUGAAUUGAAUUCAACUCAUUCUCAAUUACAACCACAUGAUGAGACGACAUCAGCAUUAUCUAAUCCUAGUGGGAGCAUAAUGGGAAAUGAUGUGCAAAAUGCACAAUCUACCAUACGGCGAACAAGUCGCAAAAGUAUUUCCUGUCGACGUUUUGACAUUGAAGGGAAAACUUUUAUGAUUGCCCCACAAGAUGAGGAUAAGCCAAGAAAUAUACAUGAGGCUCUAAGUUGCCAUAGUAAAGAAAAAUGGAUUCAUGCAAUGGAAGAGGAGAUUGAGUCAAUGAAGUCAAACCAAGUUUGGGAACUAGUUGAUAUUUCAAAAGGACGCAAAGCUAUUGAGAACAAGUGGGUUCUCAAAAUAAAGCGAAAAUCUGAUGGCUCGAUAGAAAGACAUAAGGCUCGCCUUGUGGCGAAGGGGUAUAACCAACAGGAAUGAAUUGAUUAUGAAGAAACAUUUUCUCCUGUAAUGAGAUUUACCUCGAUUCGCAUUAUUCUGGCAAUAGUGGUUAAAAUGGAUGUAAAGACUACUUUCCUCAAUGGAUAAUUAGAGGAAGAAAUAUAUAUGGAACAACCUGCUGGUUUCAUUAAAGAAGGCCAAAAACAAAAGGUAUGUCGACUUUUGAAAUCGAUAUACGGCCUUUAGCAGUCAUCGAGACAAUGGUACAUACGUUUUCAUAAUGCCAUAAUAGCAUAUGAUUUUACAAUGAUAGAUGAUGAUCAUUGUGUAUAUAUCAAAAGAUCCAAAGAUCAAUUUGUGAUCAUAUCAUUAUAUGUUGAUGAUAUACUAAUUGCCAGAAGCAAUAUGGAGUUUGUAAAUAUUGUGAAGAGUUAGUUAUCUUCCAACUUUGAGAUGAAAGAUAUGGGUAAGGCUGCAUACAUUCUUGGAGUUAAGAUUUCAAGAGAUCGUUCGAAGAAGUCGUUAUCUCUUUUGCAAGAAACAUAUAUAAAUAAGGUUAUUGAAUAAUUUCGUAUGCAAAAUUGUAAACCCAUAGAUACUCCUAUUGCAAAAGGUGAAGGAUUGAGCCAUAGACUGUGUCCAAGGACUCCACAAGAGAAGGAACAAAUGAAACAUGUUCCUUAUGCUAGUGUUGUUGGGAGUUUGAUGUACGCUAUGAUGUGUACAAGACCUGACAUAUGUUUUGUAGUUGGAAUGGUGAGUGAAUACCAAUUUAACCCAGGUCAAGCACAUUGGAAGGCCGUUAAAAGAAUACUGAAGUAUCUAAAGGGAACUGCUAAUUACAAGUUGAAUUAUCAAGGAAAGGAUUUGCGACUUGAAAGCUAUUCAGAUGCUGAUUGGGGAGGAGAUUUAGAUGAAAGGAAAUCUAUCUAUGGAUUUGCUUUCUUACUGAACAAUGGCGCCAUAUCAUGGAGCAGUAAGAAGCAAACAUGUAUAGUUUUGUCCACGAUGGAAGGUGAGUUCGUGGCAUUAUCAGCAACAGUACAAGAAAGAGUUUGGCUUAAGAGAUUUUUGGAUCAUUUAGAUGUUAUUGAGAAAGCUGCAAAUCCAUUAUUGGUUAACUAUGAUAGCCAAGCAACUAUAGCGUACACCAAGUAUUCAAAAUAUCAUGACAAGACCAAACAUAUAGAUACCAAGUAUAACUUUGUCAAAGAUAUGGUUGCACGAAAGGAUGUGAACUUAUAAUACAUAUUUAUGUAUAGAAUGGUAGCAAAUCCUAUGACAAAGCCAAUAACUAGAGAUGUGUUUUGUGGUCAUGUAAAAUCUCUAGGAUUGCGUAGAGUCUGAUGUACUGGAUAUUGUAAUUUCUCUGAGUUGUUCACAUUUAUGAACUUGUGUUUUUUAUUAUUAAUACCUAUGAAUCUUUGUUUGACCUUUAUGCAUCUUAAUGCUCAGUGCAUUACAUUAAGUUGAGAAAGUAUGUCGGACAGAUAUAAGAUUAGCCCACUCACAUGGGUAAUCGCCUCUAUUUACUAUGUGAUAAAUAGAGAUGAGACGGUUUUUAAGCUUAUUAUCUAGGUGAUAAUCGAGAGCUCAAGCUUAAAAUAUAUUUGUUGCCUUAACUGGGUGUUAAGAUGAUGACAUAAUAUUUACUAUGUCCGAAAGUAAAAUAACCUACAUAUUUUACUUUAUUUGUCUAUGAUGCCAGAUGUGAGUUCUGAUAAAUUUUGUAAAUGAGUAGAUACGUGAACUCAAGUUAGAUAUUGGGUAUGUCUAAACUAUCAUAUGUACGGUAUUGAAGGUGUAGACAUACGCUCCAUGGGAAAUGAGUUAAUACCGUAAUACGUAUUUCAUACUACGUAUGCAUGAGACGACCAAUAAGAGUGGCACAAAUUUGAUCUCAACUUUUAUGCCGUGUAAGACUCUUGAGGAAAAUAGUUCAUCAAUUUUAGUGCCCUCAUGACUUUUACUUAUUCUCAAGAUUUCUAUUUAGUGUUUGCUAUCUUAGGAUGUUAUCAAUGGUCAUGAGUUGAUUCGAUCUAAUGGGACAUUUCUAGAAAAGUAAGUUCAACUGAAAUUAAGAGUUUGAAGGAAAGAGGAAGAUCGAAUUUGGAUAAUCACAUUGUAGUUUUGUAUUCACUGGUCGACCAAUUAUGACUGUCUUUGGGAUAAUCAUAAUUGUGAAUACAAUAUAUAUAUAUAUAUAUAUAUAUAUAUAUCAUUGUUUAAAAGAGAUCAAAAGAAAUUUAAAUGUGAUCGAUCGAUCUAGGGUACUGUAUUCUAAAUCUACUCAAAGUGUGAUGCCCAUUAUGAGCUGCUAUAUAUUCCUAAUAGAUGUAUGGCAACGAGCUCUCAAAGUAUGCUAGUCGCACGGAUUAUUCACCGGUAUGAAUGUUGAAGAGAGGUAAAGAGGAUCUUGUUCGGCCCACCAUGUGUGAGUGGGAGAUGAUGAUUUUAUUAAUUAUUGUGAUGGGACUAAGUUGGCCCGUUCGCCCAUAUUGGGCCUAAAAGCUUGGCCCAUAAUAUUAGGGCCCAUGGAUAGAGGGAUACGUUGAAGAGUUGUAACUUUUGGGGGUCGUCUUUUGCCGAAGGGACACGUCCUUUGGAGAUGACGUAUUUAAGGGGGAAAAGAGAGGGAGGAACGCACCUUUUGGAUUUACGUACGUUCCUCCUCCCUUUCUCCCUUAAAACACUCCAAAAAGAACAGUAAGAAAAAGGAGGCGAUACUCUCUUCCCCUCAAGGCAAAUUUACGUCAUCGGAUCGAAUGAGAUCAGUUUUUCUUCCUCAUAUCAGCGUCGGUUUUUAAUCUGUGGCUAACAAGGUAUGUUCGAUUCUGUGAUGUGCCUUAGGAUCGGUGAUACAUGUGAUUUUCCCGGGCCCGUCUUCCGCACUUGUUUUAGGGGUUCAAUUUAGUGUCGAAUCCGAUUUUUGGGAAUCCGAUAUUCUCUACAGGUGAUUCAAUGAUUAGCGUGAUUAUGGACGUAUUUGAGCAAUAGCUAUUUUGGGGAUUGCAAUAAACUAAAAGUUCAUGGAACUUGAUGAAGAGGCAAAGGGUUAAGAAAGACAUAAAAUGAGACGUCACAAAUUGACUUUAUGAAAAUGACGUAUGAAGUCUUUCACAAGUUGCAUUGUCCACUUUAAAAAACCCACACCGGAAAAAUUAUGUUCCCACUACACGCGCAAUAGGUGAAAAAGUUAAGAUGUCGGUCCAAUCCUCUACAUCGACACAAUUGAUCACAUUGUUUAGAUUUUACCAACUGCAUAAAAAUUAUUUUGGGUACUGCACUAAACUAGAAGUUCAUGAAACUUGACGAACAGGCAAAGGGCUAAGAACGACUUACAAAGAAAUAUUAAAACUUGAGUUUAUGAGAAUGAUGAAUGAAGUCUUUCACAAGUUGCGCUGGCUAGGUACUAGAAAGAUGUUGUGUGAAAAUUGACCAUAGUACAGAACUUCAACUGAUGUUCUAUCAUUUUAUGUAGAGUUAUUUAGAGUUAGAGACCACAUUGAAAAAAAAUUCUUAUUAAUUGCCAUUUGUAGAUCACUUAUUUUUACUGAAUUGAUAAGACAAAUUUGUAUACUAUUAUGUAAAAAUCAUGUUAGAUAUCACUUUAAAAAAUAAAGAUGCUAGGCCAAUCCUGUGGAUUGACAUGAUUGGUCGGGGUGUCAGUACAUUUCCAAGUUAGGAACUGAAAGUUAAAAAUUCAAAUUUCACUUACUCCAUGAAACUAUUCUGAGUUAGGGUCACUUGUACAGGUAAAUAAAACGAAUUUAAUCAGUUCAAGGGCUGAUAAAAUGUUCUAAUGGGCCUUCAGUUAGUUAGCCUACUUGCGCUGGAUUAUAAAAAAUUAAAAAGGUGUUGGCCAUGGAAAAAUUAUAUAUAGUUCAUAAUUGUGAUCUUCUUUUAGUUUAUUUUUUAAAAAAGCUUGGCAAUGUAACGGUGCAGUCUUGAAAACCACCCUCACCCCCCCCCCCCGGCUCCAUAUUUUCCCCGCUUUCCUAGGGAAAUCGUGGGAUUUUGAGUGAAAUUUGUUUUUUUUUUAAUUCCGAAUUAAAAUUUGCUCUUCAAAUUUGCUACGUGGAUUUGAAGCUAUCUCAUGUGAAUAUAUUUUAUAUCAAAAUUAAUUUAUUAAAUUAAAAAAAAUUGUUCAUUUCUGUGAUCCACACAAUGUUUGCAAUCUUCUACUAAUCAAGCUAAAUUAUUAAAGAUUUUAUAUCAAGAUUAAGUUUUUAACUUAAAAAAAAAAAUUGUUCAUUUCUCUGAUUCACAAAAAGUCUGCAAUCUUCUACUAAUCAAGCUAAAUUAUUAAUUAAUCAAAUGUUCCAUAGCCUGUUGCUUUUGAAGUGAUACUAAAGGCACAAAAUGCACCAUUAGUUUGAAGCACUUACGGCAUCAUUAGGCUAGCAUUGACCUUCUUAUUAUUUUCUUUUUGCUUUAUCGGUUUCAGUCACUCUUUAUUUUUAUUUUUUUCACAUUGCUACAACUAAAAUGAUAUCUAACAUGAUUUUCACAUAAUAGAAUACAAAUUUGUCUUCCCAGUUCAGUAAAAAUAAGUGAUCUAUAAAUGACAAUUAAAGAUAAAAUCACUUUGAUGUGGUCUAAUUCUAAAUAACUCUAGAUGAAACCAGGUAAAAAACAUGACAAAUUUAAUCAAGAAAAAAGAUCUAGUAAAAUUUCUAUUCACUCCUCAAAUGAGUUUUAUAUUUAAGUAGUUAUUCAAAGUUUGAAAAAAGUUCACUCGCAGCAAUUAGUUCUUACUGAUUUCAUUUCCUUUCUAGAAGAAAGAAAUAGUGUCUAUAAUUGAGAAUUUUCUAUUUGAGAAAUAGUCUCUAAUUAUGAAUUGCAUCUCCAUCGCACUUUGUGGUAAAAAAGACACUGUUAUUCACAAAGAGUAAUGGUAGGGUUAGCGUUAGCAAGGUUAUUUAUUUUUUAAGAUAUGGGUGAGUCAGAUGAAGCCCGUAUGUUAGUAAUUAGAGAGACGCUUUUUUUUAGACCGACGGGUUGGUAGGAACGGUGGAACGGGUAGUGUUGACUUUAGGCCCAUAUCAUUCAUAUCAAAUAACUUGGCAAGUCUUUCCACAAAUCACAUUAGUAAAUAAUGAGUUUUAGAAGUUAAAAUCAAAUGCGGAAACCAGGUCAAUUAUAGACAAAUCUCUAGCCAUUAUUCAUAUUCAUGUUCGUCGGAAAAUCCUGAAAAUUUAGAGAAAUAUUGGACACAUUCUACUAACCCAAUUCCCUCAUAUACUAAUGGUGUAUUCCAAAGUUGAGAGGGUUUGUGUUAGACCUUGUGAUUACCCCAUUAGAAAUGAAUGAUCGUUCCCUUUCUAUACCGUCUCCCAUCAAGACGGUUACCAAAAUGGAUGGUUGUCAUGAAAAGGUACGAAAUGUGGAAACUUUACAUGUGGAAUAACCUUCACUUUAAGAGAAAAUGUGGGAUCACACAAUAUAAAUAAUAAUGAGUCCAUAUUCGCGUCUUGAGCUUUUUCGCAGUGCAGUUUUGCGUCAACAAAAAUGAUAACGUGACCAUAUGUACACUUAUCGCAACACUACCGCGUAGACUAAACAAGCCGUCGCUUUGUGUUAGAAAAGCUACAAAAUCAAAGCUUGCGCAUUAUAAAUAAGACCGAAGCCACUUGUGACCAUCUUAGAAACACACCACACUUUCGUUAGUUUUUCCAAUCACUAAGAUCCUACACUUUAUUUAACCCCCAGUACUCGGCCAUCAUUAUCUUCCAUAUCUUGCUGACCUUAAAAGGACAUAACCAUGUCGUCCCAGAAAUCGAACCCUCUUCCUCGUUCUCAAGGAUACACGGUCGGCACCGGUUUACCUGUUAAUUAUCUUCAGAAACACCACCACCACCAUCAUCAUCAUCUUCCGCAGCAACAGAAAAACUCCGUCACUUGGUCUUCCGAUAUUUUUCAUUGUUGCGACGAUCCAUGCAGCUGUUGCUCUUUUUGUCCACUCAAAGUUGUAUAAUUUUAAGCAUAGUUCAUGGGUGCUGUGAUAUGUAUAAUAUUGUUGUACGUGUUUCAGGUUGCACAACGCUUUUUUGCCCAUGCGUCACUUUUGGGAGGAUCGCGGUGUUCGCGGACGAAGGAUCUUCGUGUAUGUAUUUGUAAACUAGUUUUUUUUUUUUUUUCACAAAUCCAUUAUACAUCAUCCUCAACCUCCACGAACCAUCAACCUUUUCGUAAUUGCAAACCCCAGCCAUGCAUAUCCUGUAUCUCAAUCUUGAAAGUGCUAGUAUGAACACUUAGAGGGGGUGAAUAGGUGUGAAAACAGAUUCUGCAAAAUGCAGUAAAAACCUUUAUUUUUAACCUGAGUUUGAAUAACAACAGACUUUUGAAACUAAGUCUGAAUAGCAGCAGCCUUUGAGCGAGAUCAAACUUUAGCAGUUAAAUAGAGUUACGAACAAAAUAAAUGAGUUCAGGGAAAAGAAUAAGAACACAAGAUUUAUAGUAGUUCGGCUUAAUCCAAGCCUACGUCCACUCUCCCACGCUAAUAGCCUUCUUGGCCAGAUUCCACUAUGCAAUCAACAAGAGAUUACAACUUUGAGUGCAAACACUUAGUAGUAGAUCACACUAUCUCACUAAGUCACUCUUUUGGUAUUUCUCUCACGAUCACAAACGUUUAAGCUGACAAGAGACAAGUGUAUGAAAAAAGAUUGCUUAGACUUUGGAAUUAUAAAUUUUACGCUCCGUCUCUUACUUCCUCAUUGGUCCUUCAUUUCCUUAAAUACUCCUCUACUUUCAAACUAGCCGUUGGACAGUAUCUUGAGGAUCGUCUUCCAAUCUACCCGUUGGACAGAUUUGUAUAUAGAAGAUUUGGUAGCCGUUGAGUGACAAAAGUAGAAUCUCAAAUUGAUACCGAUCGCCCAUACAAACAGAAUCUUGGUUUCCAUAAGUAGAGCUUUUUCGUAUAGAAGGUUCUUGUCUUCAAUAUCCAAUUGUCAAUCAAUUAGAUUGAAUCAAUCAAAUCAAUCUUGAUGUGGAAUCCAAACCAGAUCACUAACCGUUAUAUAAUUAGGCUUGUAUUACGUUCUGUCGAAUCUGGAUGUAAAGUCUGAGUGCAAUAGACUUUACAAUUUGAGUCUGAGUGCAAUAGACUUUACAAUCUGGACGUCAGUCUGAACAUAUUUUGCUUCUAAAUAGAUUUAGCUUUAAGAUCUGGAUACAGUCUGAAUAAGUUCAGCUUCAGCAUAGAAUCUAUCUUCUGGUUCAGUUUUAGCAUAUAGUCUGUCUUCUAGUUCUUCAUUCACAUUUAGUCUGGAAUUUGUCAAAGUUGAUAGAUUUCUAAUAUAGAAUAGAAUUUGACAUUAACGUCUGGCAGUCUUUAGACUUUGACACAGAAGUCUAGAAAUCUUCAGAAUAUACUUUAGACGUGUGUUACGUUCAGUCUUCUGGCCGUCUUUAGUCUUUAACAAUACUCUUUAUAUGUUCUAUCAUCUGCAUGAUCUAUUAUUUAACCAUUAAACACGUUAGUAGCCUUUGAUUUACCUAAUAAAUCUGAGGCAAGACGACAUAUGCAACCAUCUUAGACCUCUGCGUAAAGCAGAGAGAGAGAGAGAGAGAGAGAGAGAGAGAGAGAGAGAGAGAGGAGAAGGAGCUGCUCAGGCGGCAAUGUAAUGAGCUGUGGAGAGCAGAGAGACAGAUGGUUAGGCUUUGAUAAGUGGCGUGUGCAAUCUUUUGAGUUAAAUGUACAAGUCUGUGUUUGAAAAAUUGUGAAUGUGUGCCACAUUUCCGAACAGCAAUAGCCAUUUUGUACUUGAAAUAAUGUUUUAAAAGAUUGAAAUAUCCAACAUCAUUUGCUAUGGAGUUAUAUGCUCUCUCUCUCUCCAUAUAUAUAUAUAUAUAUAUAUGAUCUUCUUUUAUUUAUUGGUUUAAACUUUUGAUUUGAUGUUUUAAUUUAAUAUCAAAGCCAGGUUCCUGUAAAGUUUAUUUUGCGUCCCUGCCUCAAAUUGCACAUGUAUAUCUCACUUCAGAAUUUUUAGGGCCGCCACAGUAAUUUACCUCAAAUGAUAAAAAUCAACAAUGAUGAUACUAUUAUAUUCGUUUUGUUGCAGCCUGUGUUUCGAAAGGCGCACUCUACUGUUUAGCCAAUACUUUGACGGGUUGUUUUUUGGGAGGAGCUUGCUGCUGCGGUUGCUGCAAUCGUAGAAGGUUGAAGACUCAAUUCAGAUGGCAACAGAACGCAUGCGACGAUUGUUAUGUUCAUUGCUGUUGCCAUUGUUGUGCUCUGUGUCAAGAAUAUCGUCACCUCCAAAGGAAGAAUAAGGUGGGGAGUUUAAUUCUCCACCUUCUUACGAGCUGGGGGAUGCACAAGUGAGGAAGUAGGGUUUUGCACAUAAAGUAGCUUGUAAAAUAUAUAUGGGAUUGGAUCAGACAAAAAAAAUAAGAAGCUUGUUUUUUUUCCCCUAUCUAACAUUGAGGUUCUUUAGAAAAGCUAAAACUAUUUCAACUGUGCGUGUGUAUAUAUAGCGAGUUCAUAACCCAUUCCCAACUUCAUAAAAAUUCAAUUUUUUUUUUCUCACAAAAGAGAAUUUUUGCGAAUUAAUCUUCGGGAACUAAAGGAAUUUUCUCAAAACAGAGUUGAUGAUGUGUCAUUAAUCGACUCAUUGAGUGAUCAAUCAACACUAUUUGACGGACAAAAUUAAGGGAAAAUCUGAAAAUAAGUAGUAAGCUUAGGUCUUUUAUGGUAAAAUUAUUAUUUGAUGGGUAUCUUGCAAAUAAUUACGCGCCCACUUGUAAAAUCUAAAAACAAGUGGUAAUCUACUACUGGAUUGGUGGAUGUUUAGAUUGGUAAAUGAUCGGUCACUUACAAAUAAUUACGUGGUUAUUUGUAAAAUCUAAAAAUAAGUGCUAGUCUGCUAUUGAAUUUGUUGAUGGUAAAAUAGUUAUUUCUUUCAUAAGUUACAAAUACUGACCAAGCUUAUAACUAAGGGUCAUGUUUUACGACUUACCAUCAAUAUUUGAAACGUGUUAUUGACUUAACAUGUUUACAGACACAAAACAAAAUUCCCUUUUAGGCAUAUUGAGUUGAGAAUAAGGAUUUCCCGACAUUUUACAAGAGAUAUUAUAUAAUUAAUCGUCGCCUUAAAUUAAAGAUUCAUGUCAAAUGGUUCCGAUUACCUUUCGCGAACAAUGACUGUUGCACAUCCUUGGACGAUUUUAUGGUCACCCUCUCUCUCAUCUUUCUGGUGCGUAAGAUUUUCUUCCAAGAGUGCUACUAACAAGGCCCUAAUCUAACAUCACAAGAAGAGCAAACCUUUUCACCAUCUGACCCAACAUCUUAUUGGUUCAUUCCUUUUUUAUUUACUUACAAAGUCUUACAUUUUUAUUGGCAUUUAACUCAAGAAAAGAUAAGUAACUAGGGUAUGUCAAUCAUUCACGUUCUAUUUCCAUUGACGUGUGGACCUCUGGAGUGCCAUAACUUGGCACAAAGGGACACUUAAGUAUCAUAACUUACGAAAGUGACAUUUAAGUGCCAAAAUUGGAGCAAAAUGAAUCACUUAAGUACAAAUUCGGCCAAAAUGCAGCCAAAAUGUUGAUGUGGCGAUUUUCCGGCGAAGCAAGUGCAAAACAGCGUCGUUUUGGUGUCGACGUGGUAAAAAAAUAAUAUAAAAAUUAAUUAAAUUAAAUUAAAAAUAAAAUUAUUUUAAAUAUUUUAAAAUAAAAAUUUUAAAUAUUAAAAAAAUUAAAAAAAAAAAAAAUUAAAAAAAAAAAAAGAAAAAAGAAAAUGGGGGAGGCAGCCCUCAGCUGCCGGCGAUGGAGGGAGGGUUGGCUAGGCCUUAGCCAGGGGUCGGUCACCUCGGCCGACUGGCUACGAGGGCCCGCGAGCCCUCGGUAGCCCUCUCCCCGAUUUGGGGCGAGGGCUCGGCAACCCCAGCCGACCUUACCCCCUCCGUCGUCGGCCCUUCUCGGCGGCGGCGGUAGUUGAGGGCUCAGCCCUCAGCCGCCUCCCCCCCCCCCCCCCCUUUAAUUUUAAAUAUUAAAUAUUUUAAUUUGUAAUUAAUUUAAAAUUUAAUUUAAUUAAUUUAAUAUUUAUUUUUUAUCACGUCAGCACCAAAACGAUGCCGUUUUUGCAUUAUUUGGCCACAUCAACGUGCAAAACGGCAUCGUUUUACACUUACGUCGUUGGAAAUUGCGCACGUCAGCAUUUUGACCGGAGUGGCAUUUAAGUAAUUCAUUUUUAUUCGAAUGUGGCACUUAAGUGUCACUUUAAUAAGUUAUGGUACUUAAGUAUCCAUUUGUGCCAAGUUAUGACACUUGAAACGAUCUUUUGCUAUUUUCAUUACAUGUAUGGUCUAUUGAUCCAAGCGAAUUGUUUGGGAAUUAUCUAAAACGAGUUUUACUUUUUAUUUAAUCUAAAUCUAGCGAUUCACAAAAUUUGACCUAUUUUUCUUUUAAUUUGGAACUUUAAAACUUUUAUGAUAUUUAAAUGUUGACACGUAACUUCAAAUGCAAAUUUAUCAUAACUUUUAGAAUAUAAUAAAUUUUAGCAAAAAAAGUACAAAGAAAAUACUCUUUGCUCCUCAAAAGAAAAUACUUUUAUCUAAGAGUAAACAAUUUACGUAUAUUGCUCCUAAAAAGCAAAAGACGCAUUGGCAAAAUACGGGUAAAUUGUUCUUUUGCAUGAUGCACUGAUUGAAGUCCUAUGUAUUACCAUGAUUGGCUGAAAAUGUUGAAAUUGCGGAAGACUAACGAGGAUACAUACACCUACGAGUUUGAUGAAAUUUUCGCCGAGUCCACGUCGCAAAAACAAGUGUACGAGGUUGCGGCAAAGCCUGUUGUGGAGGUGCGUACGUAUGAAAGAUUUUGAUUGUUGUCUUAUAUUUCACCGUCAUACGAGCUUGCUUUUGGUAAAUAUAAGCAAGUGGAGAAACUCUUGGCAUUUUACGCACUUAAUAUGCUUCAUUUUCUGACAUUUUUAGCAUCAUUAUUGGUAAGGAUCCUGGUUAGACUGUACCCUUUAAGAGUAACAUUCGUGUUUACUACUUCAUUUAAGGACUAGGUCCCGUGACCUGUCCUAGCUGACAUGAUUUUGUUUCCUAUACAUUAGUUUGGAUAUAAUUUAAUUUAGAAUACUAUGAAAAAGCCCAAAUUGAUACAGUUAUAAUACAUUUACCUCAAAUUAAUUUUUUGACCAUAGAAAACUCUAAACUAAUAUAUCUAUGACAAAUUUAUCAUCCUUUAGUUUUAGUUAAAUUUUAUUGUCAAAUUUCUGAGUCGGAUAACACGUGAUAGUUGAUAGGUAUAACAGUUUGAGUUUUUAUGCUUAGUUUGUCACAUGGGUAGUAGUUUUGUAGUUUUUUGUGAUAUUAAUUCAAUUUAACGAAAACUAAUAAAAAUUGUAUUUGUCACAAAUAUAUCAGUUUGAGAUUUUUUGUGGCCAAAAAAAUUAGUUUGAGGCAAACUUGUCACUUGUAUACUAAUUUGGAAUUUUUUAGAGUUAAAAGUUAAUUUUGGAUAAAUUUAUUGCAUACUAAUUUGAUAAUUUUCAUGGUAUUAACCCUUAAUUUUAUGGCACUUUACUUCACCCUGAAAUUUUCUACCAUUUUAUAAUAUUUUUAUAGUUUUUAGGAAAUGUACCUUCACCCAACACCAACUAGACAUGAAAGCUUGAUAAAGAGUGAAUUAUUGUUUUGUUUUUUUUUUUUUUUGGUGACCCAGGGAACCCCGCACGGCCGGUAGUCGGAGGUAAACCACUGGGGGUGACACGUGCUAGCCACCACACACGUGCCACCGGGUAAGUCACCGAGAGACUCAAAGCUAGCCUUCCUGCAAGCUUCGAACACUAGACCUCUCGAUAGAAGUCUAGUGCCUACCCAGCUGAGCCACUGCGGCGGGUGGUAGAGUGAAUUAUUGUUGUUAGCCGUAGGGAUGAGCAAAAAGAAAUCCUCCAAAUCAGAACUGCCCGGACCGAUCUUCGGUUCCUAAAAACUUGAAUAAGUGAAUACCGGUACGAUUUCUCAUUUCAGAUGCGGAACCACCCUUUUUUUUUAUUUUUUUUUAUUUUAUAAAUGAAACCUGAAAGCAGGCUCCAGACUCACGCACGCUCUCUCUCUCUCUCUCUCUCUCAACUCGCUCGACUCACAAACUCUCUCUCUUUGUUUCCUCUGGUUUAGUUUUGUCACGGUGCGUCUUGAUGUGUUUUGCAUGGUUGCUAUCUCUUAAUUGUUUUCUUGUGUCCAUUUUCGAGUCUUGGAUACGCGAGGAAGAAGAGAUGGUCGAUGGGUAAUUGGCUUUUCAGUCUUGGAUUCGCAAUCCACCUGAGCUCGGGACUUGAAGUGAUUUUUACACGAUUUUACCUGUGGAAAUGUUGGUGCUCAGCUGGAGAAUGAUCAGCUGGUGUUUUUUCUGCCUUUCUGUAUUCUAAUGUUGUUUGUUCAAGGGAGGAUAAGUGAAAAUUCUUUUAUCAAAGUGGCGAAAGUCAUUUUGGUGAAGUGCUGUUUCGGGUUACUGGUAGUUGUGAUCUUUUAUGAAGCUUUCUUUGGAUUUUUGCUGCAAGUGCGUAUGUUUGUUUGAUGAUCAGGGAAGUCACGUGUCCAUGGAUUCUGAAUUGUUGUAGGAUAGGUAGGUAACUAACAUCAUGGGAUUGAAAUGGUUUUCGGUAUAUUGUAAGGUUGUAAACGGUUUGGUUUGGUUCAGUUUUUUUUUUUUUAAAAACCGAACCGAACCAAACCGUUAGAGAAAUUUUCCGAACUGAACGACUUUCGGUUCGGUUCGGUUCGGUUCGGUUCAGUUUUUCGGUUUUCAACUUUUGGAUUUCGGUUUUUUUUUUUUUUUUUUUUCUGGGGACGGCUUACCUUCUGUAUAAGCUCAUUGAUUGACGUUCAUCUAUGUCUUUGAGCUAGAUCUCUUCCUUCUUCCCUUGUUACAGCCCUUUCACUCUCCUGGAAUUAUCACAUCAUGAGAAGCGAGAUGACUUCUCUUCGAAGAGAAGUCAAGCAAGAAGAAACCAGGGAGGAUAAGAAGCGACAACGAGGACGGGAGCUCGGAACGUUGUGUGAGAAUUAUUUGGAAGGAGGAUGGCGUCCCGAGACGUGGUUUCUUUUGUGGGCUUGGAAAUGGCUCGAGUUUUGCAUUGCUUCCAAUUUAGUUGGGUUUCAAAAGGAAGUGAAAGCUUCACUUUUGACUUUCUGGGUUUCAUGGGCAACUGGUCUGGAUCAAAAAUUGCCCUGCUUUUUGCUUUUCCAAUCUUAAUUUGUUCCCAGAAGGAAUAUUUGGUCCUACUUGCAGUGUAGCGAUUUUAAGUGUUUUUUUGACACUAGUGAUUCGUAAAUACAACCAUAAGCAUAUGAAAUCGUGAUAAGGUAUUGCUAACAACUUAUCUUCUCAUCUGAAUGUUCUACUAUAGUCUUUAUGCCUCACAUCACAUUUCACUUAGCAAGUAUACCCAUUUAGUCCAGGAAAUUGUCCUUCUCGAAGGACAAGAGAAUCAAGACCUGCUGAGACUUCAAAAAGAUGCUGUGAAGCAUCCCCAUUGUACAACAAAAACCGGUGUUGACAAAGCUCUGAAACAGGGAUUCUGUUCACUAGAGAAGAAGAGAAAAAAGAAGAAGAAAGAAUCCCGGAUUAACAAGAACUCAAAGGAAACUAGUGCUUUUCAUCCAUAAAACGGGAUAAGUACACUAAUGGUGUCAUAAGUUGUGUACGGCGCUCACUUUGGUGCCAAAAGUUUCCGUCGGAUCACUUAAGUGCCAAAUCGGAGGAAAAACGCUCACUUUGGUGCCACCGGCGAAAGAUUCCGGCCAAAAUGAUUUUUUUUUUUUAAAAAAAAUCGAUAAGCCUUUAAAUGACGUCGUUUUCGGUCCUCCUUAAGAAAACGACAUCGUUUUGCCGUCCUACGUGGAUGGCUUCAUGGAAACGACGCCGUUUAGCUCAUAUGGGGAAAAUUAGGGUUUCCGCCGCUCGGCCACCGUUGUUCGCCCGCCGUCGCUCGGCCACCGUCGCUGCUCGGCCACCGUCGCUCAGCCACCAUUGUAGUUGCUCGACCAGGUGAGCGAGGAGAGACUGAGAUUGUUGCAGGAAAAAUCGAAGGCGAGGGCGGAGGAGGAGGAGGAAGAAGAUGGGUCAAAGGGGCUGCUGCCAGUGCGUUGCUGGUGUGCUGCCGGUGUUGUUGCUGGUGCCGUGCCAGUGCCGUUGCUGGUGUGGGUCUUCGAGGAAGAAGAAGACACAAAGACGAGCUUCCCUCUCUCUCAAUUUGGGGAUUAGGGUUUCAAAGUUGGGGGAAAGAUGCCAAACGGCGUCGUUUUGGUGUUUGGAUGCUGACUCAACUCUCCAACGAGCCAUGUCGGCGUCAAAAAUUAAUAAAAAAAAGGCCACGUCGGAUUUCCGGCCAAUUUCGUCGGAGUUGGCACCAAAGUGAGCAUUUUUCAAAUUUUUUGGCACUUAAGUGAUCCGACGGAAACUUUUGGCACCAAAGUGAGCGCCGUACACAACUUAUGGCACCGUUAGUGUACUUAUCCCUCCAUAAAACUAGUAUCAUAGGGCAAUUAAUUAUUGCAAGAAUCCAAAUUAUAGUCAUGGCAAGGAGCAAAAGUAAAUCACAUUAGACAUCCAUUCAGUCACUUCUUUAACCCCACGAUGCUGAGACAAAGUGACAACAUAUAUCUCCAUUAUGUUGCAGGUGCUAAGGACAGCUGCUUCUUCUAUAUGAUUCAAACUACAGAGUUCUCCAAUGGCUCAAGGUCAUUUUGCCUUAGGAAUGGCAAGUUUCUCACGCAUCUCCACAGGAGUUGUGUGCAUGCUAAGCCCAAUAACCACAAUGCUGCUCCUUUCUUUUGUAUAUACCCUGACCAAAACAAUUGAAAUAAAAUUAGUGAUCUCAACUUAGGAAUCUGAUGUCACAAUAUAUACUUUCGCUUCUGUGUUUUCUAUUUGCAUCAUUGCUUGACAAGGAAGAAAGUCACUCUUUAUGAACAUGCAUGACUGUUUUAAGCUCAACAUAUCUAAGAAGAGAGGGGAAUAAAACCAAAGGUAGAAAAUGAAGAAAGUCACUCUCUAUGAAUCAUUACGGUUUUAACCCAAUUUGGACAUCGAAACAUCUUCAGUUAGCAAUCCUACACUACCACCUAACUCUAAACCUCUUGCUUGGCCUUGUAUACAUUUCUAUCUAAAACCAAAGGUAGAAAAUGGUCCAGACAUACACUCUCUCCCUUACGCUACUUCGAGCUUAAAGAUGACAUUCAAUCAUCAAGAGAAAUUGCUAUUGAAUUCAGGUCCAUGGUCGUAGAUGACAACUCUGCAUUAGAUUCAUAAUGAAAAUGAGAAUUGAAAUAUCAAUUGUAAUAUUGAAAGAUAUAAAUAUUCCAUGGUUAUUUUUUCUCACCUGACUCGAAAUUUUCAAGUUCUUCUAAAUUCUCCUCGAUCUACUGUGAAAGUGGUGCGGAUCGUAGCCAAUCUUGAGUACAUAUAAGAGCCUCUACCAUCAUUGGGGUCAAUGAGCUACGAAAUACAUCAAGUACUCGACCUCCGGUGCUGAAUGUAGACUCUGAUGCUAUAGUGGAGAUGGGCACGGCCAAAAUAUCUCGAGCAAUGGAAGAUAAAAUAGGAUAUUUGGAAGAAUUGACUUUUCAUCAAUUUAAUAUAUCAAAGGUAGAGUUAUACUGUUCACAUCCUUCUUCCAAAUACUUAUCCAAUUCAGAUUUUUCUUCCACAUAUUCUUGUCUCGUUUGGCUAAGAUACAUCUCAGUCAUAAUGUCCGCACCAACCACAGGAGACAUUGAAACGUUCACUGUCCUUGUCCCCUUUAAUCUCAUGCUGCUUUGGGGGUAUGUGCCGGUACGAUAUUGCUCAAACAAUAAUGUCAGAGAUUUUGUCACUCUAUCUCGCAAAGUUUCUGCCCGAUUGCCUUCAUACACUUGAUUAAUCAUUCAUUUCACAUACUCCAUCUUAUGUCGAGGGUCAAGUAUACAUGCAAUGAACCAUGUGAGAUUGAUGUUGUUCACAUUGCCAAAAUACUUAUUGAACUUGAUGUUCAUUCUCUUGGCUGUUUCUGGCAAACUCCUAUCCUCAUCUCCAUAAUAUUUAUCAAUCAUCAUAUAAAUCCCAUAGACAUCUUUUGCCAUAUCAUUGCAAGUGAUGUAAGAAGAGCCGAUACUUUUAAAGUCGCAUCAUAGAACAACUUCAAGAAAGGAAGAAAUCGACGGGCAUAAUCCCAAUCAUCAUCAGUAGGCAACCCUCUCACAUUUGAAAGCUCUUCAGCAAAUCUUCUAUCCUGAAUAUCUAAUGAGAUAAAAGCAUUUUGAAAAUUUAAGGCCACUUCCAACAUCAGGUAUGUUGAAUUCCACCGAGUCUCCACAUCCAAACAUAUAAGAUUAUUUGAAUCAAUAUUUUCCAGUAGAAUGCACUCCUUAAACUGUUGCAAUCUCGAAGGAGAAGAUCUCACAUAACGUACAGCUGAGCAUAUUCUAACAAUGGAAUCGUCUAUAUCUUUCAAACCUUCUCUCAUAAUCAAACUGAAAGUAUGAGCAUAACAUCUCACAUGGAGUAACUCACUUGAUAAUAUCAGAGCAUUCCAGGAGUUAAGUCUUUUCUUCAAGUAUUGAACUCCCAAGUCAUUGGAGCUAGCAUUAUCAACAGUGAUAGAAAAAAUGCCUUUGAUCCCCCAACUAGUUAAGCAUUUCUCAACUCAUUUCCCUAUAGUCUCAGCCGAAUGUCCUAGGAUUUGACAAAAAUUCAAAAUUUUCUUUUGCAACUUCCAAUCAGCUUCUACAAAGUGAGCAGUAAGACCCAUGUAACUUAGAUUUUGACAUGAAGUCCACGUGUCAGUCGUAAGACAAACCCUUGGAGAAGUAUCGGAAAAAUAUUUUUUCAAUUUGCUUUUUUCCUCCAGGUAUAACUUAUAAUAGUCCUCCCUUAAUGUGUUUCUUGAAGGGAUUAAAAACUUUGGCUAGAUUCUAUUCAUGAAUUUCCGAAAUGCCUCAAGUUCCACAAACUUGAAAGGUAGUUCACCAAUAAUAAACAUUGCUGCUAGAUCUUUUCGACUAGCAUCUUGAUCAAAUUUCCAAGGACCAGCUGAAAUAGAACUACCAACCCCAAUAGAUUCAUUCGAGGCACUUCUUUGCCUUUUCUCCACAUUCACAUAUGGAUAAUUCUUACAUCUACCUAAAUGAUUAUGCAUCCCACUAGUCCCUUGAGUAGUAGAACAACCAAUAAUAGCCCCACAAUAUAGACAUUCGGCUUUAUCUUGGCUAUUUUCUAUCCUUUUUAAAGUGUUCCCAUACAACAGAUCUCAGCUUCUUUCUAUUUGUCCCGCUAGAUUAACUUAUUAAAGAUUUGAUCAUUGUAUAUUUGGCUUUGCAAAUGUUAUUGCCUUGACAGGGAGAUCUACAAAUAAAUAUAAGACAUUGAGCAACCAUGUUCGAGAAGUAACAUACCAAAACAAAUAAGAAAUACAUAAAAAAGGUAGGACAAAUAACCUUAUAAAAGCAUAAGAGAUUGAAAAAACUCAGAUUUCUCCACUUUUAUUUGCAUACCACUAAAGCAUCAUUCUAGGCCCACAACAAGAAGAAAGAAUCAAAUACAAUAAAGAGUAAACUUGAUCUUACUUGCAAGAGUCAAUUCAUGGACAGCAUUGGGUGUUUCCUCAAAUAGCGGAGGAAGACUUUUGAACUCUGUCAGCAAAACCUGUACAGUGAAUAUUUCUCUUCUUAUUGCGUACAUACAAUGACAGAUACAUGUAUAAAAAAGACAUCACAGUUUAAAGUAGGGGCCUCAGUCAAUACUCUUCUCUACACAGUAAAUAUGGCAAGCAAACUCUCCAUACAGUAACAUUGUACAAAGCUACAUUGAAUUGAUUAUCUAGCCCUCCUCUUUGUUUAAAUAGUGGAUGUAUUGAUAUGUAAUGACACCGAUAGGUAAAGGUGAUCCUGACCAUUCAGAAUGUGGCAAUUUAUAUUACACCUAAGCUACUAUGCUUGCAAGAAGAAGACACCCAUGACAGUAAAUCUCCUCAUAUUCUCUAAAUUACUUGGACACUCCCUCAUGGUACUUCACCACUGAGAAAACAAAGCAAUAUGUGAAGCAAAUUUAGUUUUUUGGAACAGUAUUGCUUGACAUAUUCAAGCAAGCAGUAGAAACCAACAUACCCGUUCCAGCACCAAGCUCCAAUGCAACAACUCUGUCAAACUCAGAAGAAGUGGACAUGGUAUGCAACACGAAAUCAGAUAAUGCUAGUUCAGCUUUCCAAACCUGAACAAAUGGGGGGAAAAAAAGUCAUCUAAUGUCAAGCAGUUCACAGCAUAUCGAAAGAGAAGAUCAUGAAUGUAACUAAUACCUGCAACCCGACAUUCGGGAUAGAAGAAGUGAUGUUAUGCUGUAUGAUCACACUAAAACAAUGCGAAGAUGGUUCUGCACGUCGGAAAAUGUCCAGUCAUCAUCGCCAUUUUGUAGGAAAAAGAGGAUGCAAAAGCAAACCAUGUGAGCAUUGUGUGGUUAAGCAAUGGGCAACCCGAGACCAGAAUCGAUUUCGUAACUCUCAAUCGAAUGAAUUCUCACGACAGACUAGUCAGGAUUGCUGGCGAAUUCAAAGCUAAUUGAAAUGCAUGUACAGUUUAGAAAUGGGUGUAGAAGGAGAUAAGAAAAGAUACUCACGGUCUCGCCUUGUUAAAACGAGGUCACCAUCCUGGUCGAGCACAAUUCCUCGGCGCUCUACAAAAAUCCCCAAGCAAUUAAACUAUGGUUCUCACCUACCUAUUGAACAAGCUCACCAAAACAGAAUGGCUCAAAAAUAGCAAGUGCAGCUCUCUCUAUUCUCAGCUUAGAGAUCAGAGUAAUUUAGACAAACUUUAUCAGCAUUAGGAAAGCCUACCUUCGUGUUGGACAGCUCAGGUUUGUGGGUCGACUCAAGUCAAAGAAACAAAACGUCAGAAGUGAUUCCAGAUCUAGUAACCGAAACCAGAACCCAUGAAGUUGUUCAAGUGCAUAAACAGGAAGGAUUCCUGCAGAGCACCAGAGGAAAAUAAAUUCACGCUUGAAAUGGAUUAUAGCCCACGGGAAAAAAAAGAAUUAUAAUUGCAAGCCUUUUAAUCUGAAGUAACAGAAGUUAGAACCAAGUUAUUGUUUAUGUAGAAGUGAUUCUAGGAGCCAAUUUUCCAAUCCAACCCCAGCUUAAACAAAAGAAAAAUCAAAUCUUGAUGAAUAAAGUGCAUUAGUUUACCACGAACAACCAAUGCUAAAGAACGAAUUACGAAGCAAUAGCUUUGUCUGAGGAACAAAACUCAUCCCUACCAACUACAGGCAGAAUCAUUAAUUUGCAUCUAGGCAAAAGUUCAACCGCAAUAAACCGGUACUCUUUAUUCGUAUCUACUCUGAUAAAUGAAAUAACCGACUAGUGACAUUGAUCUGUGAUCUCUACUCUUAAUGACACCAAAAAGGGGAUCAAGAAACAUGGGUUUUGCCUUUACUGACGCCCAUAACUCGCAGACAACCAAAAACAAUGAAAAAAUAAAAAGAAACGUCGGCAAUGAAAGACGAACAAUGUUUGAAGACAAACCUGAAAUCGAGCGAUGCCAUCAGCAGCAAUGACGUAGUAGAGCGGCAUCGUGAGGACAAAAGGGUCAGUCUCCGAAUCGCUGUUGCUCAACCCAGCACAGCACACAGCUCCACAAGUCGCUGCUGCCGACGAAGAAGAAGAAGAAGAGAAAAGGGCGUGGCGGAACAAUCGGUCCCUCAAUUGGUCGCCGUCCUUGUCGCCGUUGCCGUUGCCGCUGUCCUUGCCACCAUCGCCGUCCUUGUCGCCGUUGCAGUCACAGUCGCUGUCGUCGUCGCCGUCGCACCUUCAAGAAGAGAGGAGACGGGAGAGAAUAAGAAAUAGGGUUGGCCUUUGCCGGUUUGGUUCAUGGUUCUACUUUUUGGUUUAUUGGUUUGGUUCGGUUCGGUUAACCGAUAAAAACCGAACCAAACCGAAAAAUUUCGGUUUUAAUAAAAAUCAAACCGAAAAAAUCGAAUUUUUCGAUUCGGUUCGGUUACUGACACCCCUAGUAUAUUAUUGUAGCAUAACCAAGCUGCAAUGAAACAAAAAAAGAACGAAGCUGAAAAGAAAAGAAGAAGUGGUUGGUUCCCGAUGGAACCUGAAACUGGCAGGUUCAGUUUCAGAGUCGGUUCUAGGGUUCAUAGGGUCGGUUCCCAGUUCCAAAAAAGUGGGAACGGGUCCCGACAGGGUAGGUCCAGGUUCCAGACUUGGAACCGAUCGUCCUAGCCAUUUGUUGUUAAAAUUGAGAAUGAACCUGAGUUUGAUCAGGAGGUGAACUCAGUGAGCGGAAGCCAGGUUUAGAUUUUGAGUGUUAUUUAUUGCUCUGAAAUAUAAUACGAGUAAAAUGUGUGUGCAACUUGUUAUGCCAGCAGUGUUUAUUACAUGAGUUCGCCUUUGCUUUCUCAACUUGCUCUAUUAACAUAGUUAAGCAUUUCAUCUUGGGCCAUUGAUUUUAAUUUUAUGAUUUGAUCUUUCUACUUCACAGGAUGGUGCAGCAAAAAAGAAAGAGAAGAGAAAGGAGAAGAAAAUGCGGAAGAGGAGGAAGGGAAAACAGGCGGAGCUGAGCAAAAUGUCAACAAAAUCUCAAAUAAUCUCUUAGAAGUGGCUAAAUUAUACGGAAAUAUUAUGAAGGAUUUUUUCGGUGUUGAUAUAGAUAUCCAAUUAACAUCACCUUUGGCCACCAACAACUCUGACAAAGGAUUUACAUCAUUGUUUGCCUAUUUACUUUGACACCAUUUCUGUUUGAGUGCUUGUAACACAUUCUUCUCAAUGUCACUUUGCUUAACAUAAGUUGAGGAAAAUUACUCUAUAAUAUUUUCAUCCAAUUUGGCCAUGUGAAGCAUUUUGGGAUUUUGUUGAGCAUAUUGCUCUUCCUAGGGACAUUUUUCUCAGCUUUGGCCUCUUUUUUCUUUCUCCUCCUCCUUUUCUUCUCCUUUGCCUUUCUCUACACGGUCAGGCAGUUUGUCUCUCAGCUUUUGCAUUGGUGGGGUAGAAUUCGCUGAAACGUAAUCUCAACUCGGUUGUGGGACAACAUUUCAGGCCCAUAGAUGAGCCUGAGGAGGAGGAGCCUGAAGAUGACGAUCAGCCAGGAAAAGAUGAAGAGCUCGAAGGAAAUGAUUAAGAACAAACGGAUCCAUACAUGAUUGUAAAACAUCGAGAUCAAUAAAUACAGCGGAAUUAAAGCAUACUUGUUUGAGCCAUUGCUUCACUUGCAGAAAAGUAGAUCACUCUGAUAAUCAAGGAUCUAUCGGAAUACCAUAUCUUCCUCUUUAUGACCUAUUUCGAUAUAGCAGCUUUUAAUGGGAUUAAAGCAACUAAUAGGUAUAAUCUACCCUUUUAUAGGCUAGAGAGGAGACCUAGCAAACCCUAAUCAAUAGCGUGUCAACUGGGCCCUUCCCAUUACGAGCUUCAGUCAAACACAAUUGCCUAUACUUUGCUGCUCAACUAGGCCCGUUAACAAUAGAUGCCAAUACCCAAUUCAAUCAGAUCACUUUAGGGUAUAACAAAUAUUGGAAAAUGAUCUUAGUGAAGAUGAGUCAAAAGAGGAUCGGGAUGAUCCCAUCUCUUUUGUGAACCCUAUGUAUAUGUGUAAAUAGAGUGAGACUUUGAAGUUUGUGAAUCAAAUUUAACGGAAACUAAUGGAUGGUAUAUUUGACACAAAUAUACUAGUUUAAAGUUCUUUGUGAUUAAAAAAUUAGUUCGAGGUAAAUUCGUUAUGGAUAUACUAGUUUAGGACUUUUUGUGGUUAAAAUUAAUUUGGGUAAAUUUAUCGCAAUAGUACUAAAUUGGGGGUUUUUGUGGUAUUAAACCUUAAUUUUAUGGCACUUCAAUCCGCUCCAAAUUUUUAAUCAUUUUAUAAUGUUUUUACAGUUUUUUAGAAAAUGGACAUCACGCGGCUAAACAUGAAAGCUUGAUAAAGAGUGAAGUAUUGCUGUCAGCAGGAUGAGCAAAAGACAUGUAUGAAUCAGGAAUCGCUUGGACUGUGCCGGACCAGUUCUCGGUUGCUGAAAACUUGAAUCAAUGGAUACAGGUCCGGUUUUUUUUAUGUUAGGUGUGGAAUUACCUAUUAAAUUUUUUUGUCAUAAAGAAAACCCGAAGUCAGACUCCAGACUUCUCUCUCUCUCUAACUCACGAUCCCUCUCUCUCUCAACUCGCUCAACUCACGACCUCGAGGGUCGUCGCUGAGUUACGCUUACUCUCGGCCUCGACGGUUUUUGAGGCACCAAUUUGCCUCUCGCCUCUUGCCGCCCAUUUACCUUAAUUUUUCCCUUUGUUUCGUCUGGUUUGGUUUUGACAUGGUGCGUCUCGAUGUCUUUUACAUGGUUGCUAUCUGUUUAUGGUUUUCUUGUCUCCAUUUUUUUGAGUCGUGGAUGGAUUCGCGAGGAAGAUGGGAUGGUCAAUGGGUAAUUGGCUCUUGAGUCUUGGAUUCGCAAUCCACCUGAGCUCAGGACUUGAUGUGAUUUUUCCACAAUUUUACCUGUGGACAUGUUCUGCUUAGCUAAAGAAUGAUCAGCUGGUGUUUUUUCUGCCUUUCUAUAUUCUAAUGUCGUUUGGUCAAGGGAGGUCAAGUGGAAAUUCUUUUAUUACAAGUGGCGAAAGUCAUUUUGGUGAAGUGCUGUUUCAGGUUACUGGUAGUCGUGAUCUUUUACGAAGCUUUCUUUGGAUUUUUGCCUGCAAGUGUCUAUGUUUGUCUGACGAUCAGGGAAGUCAUGUGUCCAUGGAUUCUGAAUUGUUGUAGGACAGGCAGGUAACUAACUUCAUGGGAUUGAUGUGGUUUGCUGCAUAUUGUAGCAUAACCUAGCUGCAAUGGAACAAAAAAAGAAUGAAACUGAAAAGAAAAGAAGAUGUGGCUGUUUCACGGUGGAACCUGAAACAAGCUUCAAACUGGCAGGUUCAGUUUCAAAGUCUGUUCUAGGGUCCACAGGGGUUGGUUCCCGGUUUCAAAAAUUGGGAACGAGUCCUGAUAGGGUAGGUUCUAGGUUUCAGACUUGGAACUGAUUUGCUGUUAAAAUUGAGAAUGAACCUGAGUUUGAUCAGGAGGUGAACUCAAUGAGUGGAAGCUAGGUUUAGAUUUUGAAUAUUAUUUCUUUCUCUGAAAUAAAAUCUAAUACAGCUAAAAUGCCUGUGCAACUUGUUCUGCCACCAUUGUUUAUUACAUGAGUUCGCCUAUGCUUUCUCAACUUGCUCUAUUAACAUAGUUAAGCAUUUCGUUUUGGGCCCUUGAUUUUAACUUUAUGAUUUGAUCGUUCUACUUCAUAGGAUGGUGCGGCAAAAGAGAAAGAGAAGACAAAGGAGAAGAAAAUGCGGAAGAGGAGGGAGGAAAAAGAGGUAGAAUUAUGAUCGAGGAAGAUCACUGUGUAAAAAAGUGAAAACUUUACCAAAAAAAAGAGAGAGGUAGAAUUGAGCAAAAUGUCAACAAAAUCCCAAAUAAUGUUGCAUAAAAGCUGAAUUACACGGAAAUAUUAUGAAGGAUUUUUUCGGUGUUGAUAUAAAAAUCCAAUUAACAUCACCUUCGGCCACCAACAACUCUGACAAAGGAUUAACAUCAUUGAAUGCCUAUAUACUUUGACAUCAUUUCUGUUUGAGUGCUCAUAACACAUUCUUCUCAAUGUCACUUUGCUUGACACGGGUUGAGGAAAAUUACUCUAUAAUAUUUUCAUCCAAUUUCGCCAUGUGAAGCAUUUUGGGAUUUUGUCGAGCAUAUUGCUCUUCCUAGGGACAUUUUUCUCAGCUUUGGCCUCUUUUUUGUUUCUCCUCCUCCUUUUCUUCUCCUUUGCCUUUCUCUACAUGGUCAAGCAGUUUGUCUCCUCAGCUUUUGCAUGGUGCCUAUGCAAAUUCUGGAUAUAUUGUUGAAGAGGGCUAGUGUUGAACCUGCUUGAAAGAAGCUAUCUGAACGGACUCCUGGCAGAGAUAAUUCCAUAUAAUGGCCAGCCAUGUAAAGUAGACUUAAUUGUGCUGAGGAAAGCAGGUAAAGAGUUGAGAAUUGGUGAAAGGCAGUUGAUGUUUCUUAUCUAAUCUAAGAACAUUGCUUUAACUUGUCAUCCACUUUUCUUGCAGUAUUCAAAAGGCCCUUCGCUAAUGAUUUUUUACUGUUUUGGUUUGAGAAAUUAGCUGGUGGGGUUUGGGGCCAAGUACGUUGUUCAAUCUGACCUGCAGUCUCCUUCUUUCUUGCACUUUCUUUCACACCAUCACAAGACUCUUUUCUGUGUACACGUGCGUGCAUGUGUGCAUGGUUGUUAGGAUUGCAGUCCAGAUUGUAGGAUCACGAUCAUUUGAUUCUACGACUCAAAAACUUUGAACAAUUUGGAUUCUAAGAAAAACGGUAGUCUGCAGGGGUCGUGAUCUGUAUCUUAGGAUGGCGAUCCCAACUACGAUUCCACUAUUCAAGCUUUAGAAGGCAAUUCUGCAUUUUUAGCUGGAGCAAAUAUGAAAUCGGGCCUCUGUUCCCUAGCGCAUGUGCCACUUUCUUCUUAAUCAUGUUCAGGGUCCAUUUGGAAAUUAUAAGGCUUGGAGAAUUAAGAAAAAAGGGAUGAAGAUGAAUGAACAGUAGAAAGCGAAGAAGUGCAGAGACACCAUCACUUCUUCUUCAGUCUUGAAUAAAUGAUGAGAUGGGCAUCGACCACUGUUGGAUUUCUUAACUGUCCCGUCGUUUGGAGAUGAGAGAGACAAAGCUUCUGUCAUUCUGCAACGAGAUGAGAGAGACCUCUACAUCCUUGAGAAAUUGGCGCACGAUUUGACUUGGCCUAGUAUCAUAAUAUCUUUGGAUGUAUACUGAUUAGAACUGACCUUAAACUUUAAACAGUUGAAAAACCUAGAAUAGCCAGUGAAAGUGAGUUUGUGAGAGAGAGAGAGAGAGAGAGUUCCGGGGGGGGGGGGGGGGUUAAAUUGGGGAGUGUGUCCCAGAUCGAGGGGAAUAAUAUAUUAUCCUUUGAAAUAAAGAAAGAGAUGAUAUGUAUUCCAAGAGAGAGAAGGACAAAAUAAAGGAUUAGAAAUUCGGAAAAGGCACGAAUGUAAUUUCUUGGCAGGCUUCUUCUUGAUUAUUAUGGUGAUUAUUUUAUGGUGAUCCUAUUUAAUACACCUUAAAAACUUGCGCAUGGAGAUUUUAUGCUUUUGCAUCUUUGACAUGGUGCUUUAAUUGUUAGUUCAAAAACUGGCAACCAAGAAUUUAAACCAGAGUAAUCUCUCACAUGAGAAUGCUACCUUUAAGCUUCACUAUCCCUCUUUUAAAGGUUAAUAUGCAUCUACUUUCAAUGAUUCAAGCAAGAAUUUAAUACUUAAAAUAUGUAGGAUCUUAUGAUCUUGAUCUGAUCUGGAAGACUUCAAAAGGAUCCUACUUAGCAUCUCGAUCCGGAUAACCUUUUUGUGUGUGUGACGAAGAUUGCCCAGCUUUAAUAUUUAUUGUGAAUUUAUUUGAUCUUAGUUAUAUAUUUGACAGGAGAAAUAUGGAUCCAGUUGUAAAGUUUCUAAUGGGCGACUCCAGAGUGAAACUGCUUUUCUGUUGGCUAAGCAGCUUUCACAUGGAGCUUUUCUUCUCUAUGUCAGUAUCUGUCUUGUCCCUGUGCUCAUAUUGCAUGGAUGGAGACUGACUGCAGAACAUGAAGAAAGAGUAAGGGCAAUUUUACAGUUCCUCAUCAGUUUGGUGUAAGAUUGAUCUCUGAAGCAUAAUGGGCCUUAGAGCCUUGAGUGUAGGACUAGCCUCUUUAAUUUCAGCAAAAGAGUGUGGAGAAUCUGUCUUUGUUUGCUUCUAUUACGGAAUCCUACGGCUUCCUUUGCUUCAGAUGGAAUGAAUAGCUAGUAUUUGUUCUCCAACAGGUUAUAUUCACUUUGAUGCUUCAAGUUGUCCGUUUUAUCCAGUGAGGGUACUCAGCUAAUUAAUAUACAAUGUCAAGUAGUAUGUUAUAUGAUUAACUUUUCCCUUUUAACUUUGUGCUUGCAUCGCUUCUACCUGAAUAUAUAUGUAUAUCCUUGGAAGUGAGCCAUAUUUUACCCUGCAUGUUUAAACUUUAUGAUACUUGAAGUCUUUCACAUUAGCAAGAAUCCUUAACAUCCUUGGUUAAGUUGAAAAUUAACUUUGUACCCCUGAUAUGCCCCCCUUUCCAUUUUUGUAUUUUUCCUUAUAUCCUUGGUUUAAUUACACUAAUAUUUUGCUUACAAUGCCAAAUUGGUAAAAGCAUAGACUUAAACUACUGUGAGUAACCGUUUCUUUGGUAGCUAUUAAUUUUGAUAGCUUACGUGGACCACAGUGGUGCUGUUUGUUCGUGUUUUCAUCUCUCUCGGUUCAUUGCCAAAUCCGCAAUUGUUGACCAAGAUUGAUCCAAACAGAGCUUUGCUUCAACUUAGGUGAGUGAUUACCUGUUCUAAUUGUUCCAAAUCCAUUGUUGUUUAUACCGUCUGUUGUUUUUUCUGAUUCUAUUCAACCCCAUUUCUGGUGUUUUUCUUGCUCUUUGGUUAUGCCCUUACAAGAGUUAGUGCCCUUUUGCCUCGUCAAGAUUCCUGUUGAGAGUUUUUGGUUUGUGAUUACUAUUUUAUUACCCUUCAAUAUUGCGUUUCUUACCUUUACAAGUUGUGGUUCUUCUUCUUACAUGCUCAUCGGAAUAGAUGGAUUAUAUUUUGCAUCGAUAGCCAAAACAAAUGGUCAAACACCCAAUAAAAAAACAAAUGCCAAAAGUGGCAUGGGAGGAAGUGUCUUCUCAGUCGGAUAUGAAUGAAGAUUCGACUAACUCCUAUGAGCAUACUAAUCAUAUGAGAAGUGCCACAUGGGGUUAUUAUACAUGUUUCAUGUACAUGUUUGCUUUUAUGACUUAUUGAACCUGCUAACCUAUGGCUUCUGUGAUGGAUGUACUAUCUGCUGAUCAUAUGAUGUCGUUGUGUCAUUGGGUGCAUUGUGCUUGGUUUGGUAGGAAGGAGGGAUGUGUUGUGCAAUUUGGAAAAUUUUGUUACAAGGAUGAAUGCUUGGUAGAUGUACAUUUUUUGAGUUUGUUUAGACUUUAAGCUAAUUCUAGCUUUGUUAUUAAAUGCAUGAAAUCAAAUGUGCAGACAAAGGAGGUGAAUAAACUUACCUCCUUGCCAAUUGCAUAUUUUUUUGGCUGACAUGAAUGAAUGUGGUUUAGACCAUCCUAAUAGGAAUUAUAUCUGUGUUUCUGUUAUUAAAUGUCGGUUGAUUUCUAUGAGAAUUUAAUGUUGUUCUGAUAAGGCUUCCCAAGGAACAAUUGCUGUCCUCACUUGCGGCUGUUUCAGACAAAUUUAUCAGCAAAAUAAGGGUCAUGUUAAGAAGCUCAUUCGUUUGCUGUUUUCUUACAGAGUAGCAUGGCCUUUCUAUUAAUGCAAGUAUAGCUGAUCAGGAGACAGUCCAAAGGCUGAUUUUGUAUUUGGGAGUAUCCAUCCUGAUUCAGAGGUUGCUGAUAAUAUCAUUUGGAGGACUUCUCCUGCUAUUGAUGUGGAUUCUAUCAAAUCGUUCAGAGAUAUGAAGCUGCUGCGUGUUCUUUUUAGUUGUAGUCCAAGUUGAAUUGUAACUCUUUUUUUAGGUCAAGCAUGAUCAGAGAACCAGCUGGAUAUUUUUGUGGGAAGAAGAGAAUUCGUAGGGUGAUCCCACCAUAUCUAUUGUAAUCAUCUAAGUUGGUUGUACCUCUUCUCUCUUUUCUUUUUGAACCGUAUACCAACUUCGUUGCUAAUGUGCUAUUGGUUUUCUGUUGUAAUCAUCUAGUGCCAAAUGAAGAGAGAUUUGUGGACCUCAUUUAAAGCAUAAAUACUUUUCAAUAUCUUUCUUUAAGCACAUGUGGUUCAUUCUCAUUGGAAAACCAAGAUAAUACUAUUGGCUAUAGAACACAAGUAGAUGGUCCAGGGGAAAUAUAUGAUCCAGCAUUCAUCACAUUUAACCUCACUUUGUGUAAGGAAGAAUAGUAAAUACUGUUUGUGCUACUGUGAGAAAGAGCAACACAAUGGCUGCGAGAACGGACAAGGAAGCCCAAGGACUAUGGAAAUAUUCCCUCCUCAGUUUCGCCAUCCAGGCGUUCCACUUCUUCGUGUAAUGUGCAUUCACAUUGUUGAAGAUCUCGAAAUAAUAAGGAUAAGAUACCGUGACGUGGUCAUAGGUCCUGUGAACAUAUGCGCAACCACCUUGUCAUCACCCAAGUAGUUCUUAAUAAUCCCUGCGCGGCGAAGCACCUCGACAUCCCCUUUAGAGGUUACGAGGCAAUCCGUGAAGGUAAUAUAAUCUGUGAAGUAGUUGAUGUCUCUGCUUUGAUGAUGCUGCUCGUACGCGAUCAGGUUUCGAAAAUUUGAUUCGGUGUCGUCCUCUACACAGAAGGCCAGUAACUCGAGUGUCCCGUUCUUGAAUUUGAUGUCGCUCAGUGCGCACCCUUGCGCAGCCCUAAACCUGACUCCUGACUCCGUUAGCUCAGUCGCCGAGGGCAUGACUGGUGUGCAGUUCAGGUGGGGCGUUUCAGGCAAGCCAGAAGUGCACCACGCGUGAUACAGAUGCAGAAGAUGUUCCCAGUUGCCAAUCGUCAAAUUUCGGUCGGGGUUUUUUCGUUCACCCUGGAAGUACAUGAUGACGACUUUGCUGAACUCAUGAUGCUCGUCCUCAGUCAGGUCAUAUAGCUUGCUCAAGACGAAAAGUGGGAGUUGGUUCUCUAGCAGCAGUAAAUCGCGCCUAAUGCUAUUUCGAUUCCCACAUUCAUUCAUAACCGGGUCGUCUUUGUCUGUCGCUAUCAUCCGAUUGUACUUACGGAAGAACUCAACGAUGAAACAUCCAUCAAUGAGCAUCAUCGCAAGAAACUUUUCUUGGGAGAGGUCAAUGGUUUCCGCAUAGCAAUUACGCGCCCGCUGUUCCAGUUCCCUGAGAGUCGGCAUAUACCUGUCGACACUCUCCUUUCUCCUAUCAAGCAAUUGCUGCAGGUAUCGCAGUUUUUGCUCCUCCAUGAAUUUGAACUUGCCAUUUCCAUAGUGAUAAGGGCCGAUGGCUAGGAUCUCUGGGUCAUAGGCUUUCUCGUUGACUUCGCGCAGUUGAUUACGAACCCUAAAUAUACAAUGCUCCGGCGAAGUGGGAGGCAUACUUCGAAGCAUAUUCUCGAUGUGGAUUGAGGCAUGAUCUCGCACCCUGAAACGGUCGUAGAUCCCAGCAUGCUGUAUUGGCUACGACAUAAUUAAUGUGAUAAUAAGCACUUGGUAAAGCAAGAUGAUUGUUUUACAUGUGCUUCCGAGGACAAAUUUGUAUUUUUGUGCGAAUAUUGAUGGACAAUACAAAUUAAGCACCGUGGUUGAACACGUGGUGUGGACAUUCAAUACAAACAGAUGGAUAGCUGAGGAAAAAUUACGAAACCCGUAAUAUUGCUCCUUAUAAUAUUGCUCUGAGAAUAAAUUAACAGCUGUAUGGGCUUUUUACUUUUGAGCUUCGGAGAACCCCUUUUGCUCUAUGGACGAGUUUUGACUUUUGGGAAGGCAAAAGAACAGCACAAGUACCAAACUUGGCAUGGAAUACUUAAGUGUCACUUCAUUUUGAAAAUUGGGAUAUCUAAUUUCUAAGUGUGGUGACCUUGGCCAAAAAUUCUACGUGACAAUUUUUUAAUAAUAUAACUCGUCUACGUGACUUGUCGGAGAGUUGAAUCAAUAAAAAAAAAACCAAAACUAUAUCGUUUUACCUUUUAUUUUGUUUUAUUUUAAUAUAAAUGUUCAUUAAAUUAAAUUAUUUUGGAAAAACAAAUGAAGAUUGCAAAACAGCGAGGGCUCAGCCCCUGCCGCCCUCACUGAGGAGGGUUGGCAAUGAUGGGGGAAGGGUUGAUUAGGGUCGCUGGCCCCUGGCCAAGGCUCGACGACCCUGGCCGACUAGUGGUGAGGGCCUACAUCCCUCACCCAGCUCUAGGGCGAGGGUCGUGGCCCUCCCCCAGAUCCAGCAAGACCCCCCAACCAGUGUUGGCCCUUGGCCUAUUAAGUGAGGGUCAGCGACCCUCGUCAGAUCUAGGAGAGGGCUACAACCCUCACCCCGGAUCUAAGUUAGGGCUUACGAGCCCUCACCACUAGGGCUCGGCUACCUCGAUUGACUCUACCCCCACCAUCGCUGGCUCUUCCGAGUGAUAGUGGCAAGGCGGCGGUGAGGAGGGCUAGCAUAGCCCUCACCAUUCUACAACCCUCUGUUUAUUUUUUAUUUUUAAAAAUUUUCAGUUUUAAAUUUAAGUUAAGUAAUAUUUAUAUUAAAAUUCAAAUUCGAGGGAAAACGAUGUCGUUUCAGCUUACUAACCACGUUAGCAUGCAAAAUAACAUUGUUUUUUUGCUUAUUUAGCCACGUCGUCAUUUUUCACUUGUCUCAUAAAAAAACUGCUACGUUAGCAUUUUGACUAGAUUUUCUCACCGUUAACACUUGACUAAUCUAUUUUGCUUCGAUUUCGACACUUAAAUAUAUAUUUCCUAACUUUUGACACUGGACUAAAUUUUGGCAUUCUAAGGAUCCAGGUCUCCUUUUAAGAAUUUGAGUCCCAAAUUUUUCUCUCUCCAGCCACCAAGCAAGGACAACCUUUUAGACACUAACAUGUGAAUUUUAAAACUAAUUGGGGUGUUCUUAUUGUGAGCUACUUACCAUCGAUGUUGAAGGCGUAAGAACCACGCUGAAUAGUUUUAAACUACAUAAGAAGAAUACUUGGAAUGAAAUUCGACUAAGAUAAAAUACAGAAAUGUUAUUAAACGCGAUGAGAACUGAGGAUUUCAGGUUAGAGAAGGUAAGACAAGCUUCUAGCUAAAUAACAUAUAAAUGACUGCUUUUUAAAAAAAUAUAAAAUUCUACCUAAGAAUAUAAGGAAUUUUUUGACCUAGGGAGGCAAGGCUGCCAGUGGCCUGGUACUACUGAUUAAAUGGUAGACAUAAGUUUAGAAAUUAUUUGUGUGAUAACCCUCUCUAGAAGGAUGAAAGCAAUCGGUAACUAAACCAAGAGAAGACAAAAUUGAUGCUUGAGUGACUGUCUAGCUGAGACAUGUUAGUUAACGUAAUUUUGGCGCCCUAAAUUAGAUCGAACGUGUAUGAUUUAAUUUUAAGUGCUUGCCAGAAUCAUGUUAAUUAAUGGACCAUAACUCAGAAUUGAAAUGGUCUCAUCCUUCAACAUUAUGUUUUUCUUUUCUCAGUGUGAAUAGGAAGGGAAAUUCGCAGGACUUACUUGAUUACGUUGGUGGUUGCUCAUUCUUCUCACCAAGCUAGACCAGCUACUAUCACACAGUAUCCAGUUCUUCUCUUUUUCUGGUUAGAACAUGCGAUCGUACAUGGCGAGAGCGAGAGAGAAGAGGGCGACGAUGCUAACAGAUAUUGAGGCGAUCGAUGGAGGAAGAAUCAGCAGGUUGGAUGCGUGAAAACAUGCGAUCGUACAUGGCGAGACCGAGAGAAUAAGAAACCUUGCGUUGUCGCGGAUAGAUGCAUUUCGGCUUGGGCUUUUCGAGCCCGGAUUUCCGAAGCCCGAGAGGCUCAUCCUCGUCAACCAUUUAGUUAAACAGAUGCUAAUUAAAUAAUCCUUUGUUCAAAUAUUAUUGUAAUUUACAAUUCCCUAGCAUGAAAUUACUACUAUCACCUAGAGGCAAAAUGAGACUACCGCAUACACCAACCAUUUAUACAAAAUUCAAACACAUUUUUCUUUGGCCCAUCGACCUUGGUCGUCACUACUUCCGACGGUAGAGGGUACUGCAAUAAGAAAUAUGAAGUCAUCCACAAGUUGCAUUGUACUAUGUGGACCAUUUCACAAAAUUUCACGGAAUUUGUGGAAAGAGUCCUACAUUCUACCUGCUAGCUAGAAAAUAAUAGUCUUCACGAUGGAGGCAACUUGUACAAUUGUGAUAAAUGCAUAUAUAAAAAUGCUUGCCAAAUUCUCUGGAUUGGUGUGGUAGAACAAUGUGUUAAGAGAUUAUCAAGUUGCGUAUUUAGAUUUCACAGACUAUAUGUAAACUAUUCUCUGUAUUCCAAUAAACUGUGAGAAAUAUAUGAUCACAUUUAUUUUUGCUUUGUGUAAGAAAGAAUAGUAAAUACUAUUUGCCCUACUACUGUGAGAAGGAACAUUUACUUGCUUGUUGUGGAGGUGCGUACGUAUGAAAGAUUUUGAUUGUUGUCUUAAAUUUCACAGUCAUACGAGCUUGCUUUUGGUAAAUAUAAGCGAGUGGAGAAAUUCUUGACAUUUUACGCACUUAAUAUGCUUCCUUUUCUGAUAUUUUUAGCAUCAUUAUUGGUAGAGAUCCUAGUUAGACUGCCCUUUAAGAGUAUCAUUCGUGUUUACUACAUCAUUGAAGGACUAGGUCUCGUGAACCGUCCUAGCUGACAUGAUUUUGCUUUAUGUACAUUAGUUUGGAUACACUUUAAUUUAGGAUACUACGAAAUCCCAAAUUAAUAUAAUUAUAAAUUUAUCUCAAAUUAAUUUUUUGACUACAAAAAACUCCAAACUAAUAUAUUUGUGAAAAAAUUUCCCCUAUUUUAGUUUUAGUAAAAUUUUACUGUCAAAUUUUUUAGUCGGAUGAUAUGUGAUAGUUAACUGGUAUAACAGUUUGAUGUUUUACGUUCAGUUUCUAGUUUUGUAGUUUUUCAUAAUAUUAAUCAAAUUUAACGGAAACUAAUAGAUGGUAUAUUUGACACAAAUAUAUCAGUUUGAAGUUCUUUGUAAUAAAAAAAUUAAUUCGAGGUAAAUUCGUUAUGUGUAUACUAGUUUGGGGCUUUUUGUGGUCAAAAAUUAAUCCGGGGUAAAUUUAUCGCAAGAGUACUGAAUUGAGGGUUUUCGUGGUAUUAUUCCUUAAUUUUAUGACACUUUAGUCUGUUCCAAAAUUUUAAUCAUUUUAUAAUGUUUUUAUAUUUUUAGAAAAUGGACCUCACGUGGCUAAAUAUGAAAUCUUGAUAAAGAGUGAAGUAUUGUUGUCAGCUGUAGGAUGAGCAAAAGAAAUGUCUGAAUCAGGAACUGCUCGGACCGAGGCAGGCAGACAAGUCCUCGGUUGCUGAAAACUUGAGUAAGUGGAUGUUGGUCCGGUUUUUUUUAUAUUAGGUGUGGAAUUCCCUAUUUAAUUUUUUUGUCAUAAAUAAAGCCCGAAGUCAGACUCCAGACUUCUCUGUCUCUCUUCUCUAACUCAUGAUCCCUCUCACUCUCAACUCGCUCAACUCACGACCUCGAGGCUCGUCGCUCAGUUACGCUCAAUCUCGGCCUCGACGGUUUUUGAGGCACCAAUUUGCCCCUCGCCUCUUGCCGCCCAUUUGCCUUAAUAUUUCCCUUUGUUUCGUCUGAUUUGUUUUUGUCAUGGUGCGUCUCGAUGUGUUUUACAUGGUUGCUAUCUGUUUAUGGUUUUCCUGUCUCCAUUUUUUUGAGUCGUGAUGGAUUCGCGAGGAGAUGAGAUGUCGAUGGGUCAUAGCUUUCGAGUCUGAUUCGCAUCCACCUGAGCUCAGACUUGAUGUGAUUUUACACAAUUUUACCUGUGGACAUGUUUCUGCUUAGCUAAAUAAUGAUCAGCUGGUGUUUUUUCUGCCUUUCUAUAUUCUAAUGUCGUUUGGUCAAGGGAGGUCAAGUGGAAAUUCUUUUAUUAAAAGUGGCGAAAGUCAUUUUGGUGAAGUGCUGUUUCAGGUUACUGGUAGUCGUGAUCUUUUAUGAAGAUUUCUUUGGAUUUUUGCCUGCAAGUGUGUAUGUUUGUCUGACGAUCAGGGAAGUCAUGUGUCCAUGGAUUCUAAAUUGUUGUAGGACAGGCAGGUAACUAACUUCAUGGGAUUGAUGUGGUUUGCUGCAUAUUGUAGGAUAACCUAGCUACAAUGGAACAAAAAAAGAAUGAAACUGGAAAAAAAAAAAAUUGAAGUGGCUGGUUCUCGAUGGAACCUGAAAGCAGCUUGAAACUGGCAGGUUUGGUUUCAAAGUCUGUUCUAGGGUCCACAGGGGUUGGUUCCCAGAAUAAAAACUUGGGAACGAGUCCUGAUAGGGUAGGUUCUAGGUUCCAGACUCGGAACUGAUUUGCUGUUAAAAUUGAGAAUGAACCUGAGUUUGAUCAAGAGGUUAACUCAAUGAGUGGAAGCUAGGUUUAGAUUUUGAGUAUUAUUUCUUUCUCAGAAAUGAAAUGUAAUGGAGGUAAAAUGCCUGUGCAACUUGUUCUGCCAGCAGUGUUUAUUACAUGAGUUCGCCUUUGCUUUCUCAACUUGCUCUAUUAACACAGUUAAGCAUUUCGUUUUGGGCCCUUGAUUUUAACUUUAUGAUUUGAUCUUUCUACUUCACAGGAUGGUGCAGCAAAAGAGAAAGAGAAGAGAAAGGAGAAGAAAAUGCAGAAGAGGAGGGAGGAAAAAGAGGUAGAAUUGAGCAAAAUGUCAACAAAAUCCCAAAUAAUGUUGCAUAAAGGCUGAAUUACACGGAAAUAUUAUGAAGGAUUUUUUCGGUGUCGAUAUAAAAAUCCAAUUUAACAUCACCUUCGGCCACCAACAACUCUGACAAAGGAUUUACAUCAUUGAAUGCCUAUUUACUUUGACACCAUUUCUGUUUGAGUGCUCGUAACACAUUCUUCUCAAUGUCUCUUUGCUUGACACGGGUUGAGGAAAAUUACUCUAUAAUAUUUUCAUCCAAUUUGGCCAUGUGAAGCAUUUUGGGAUUUUGUUGAGCAUAUUGCUCUUCCUAGGGACAUUUUUCUCAGCUUUGGCCUCUUUUUUCUUUCUCCUUCUCCUUUUCUUCUCCUUUGCCUUUCUCUACAUGGUCAAGCAGUUUGUCUCCUCAGCUUUUGCAUGGUGCCUGUGCAAAUUUUGGAUAUAUUGUCGAAGAGGGCUAGUGUUGAACCUGCUUGAAAGAAGCUAUCUGAACGGACUCCUGGCAGAGAUAAUUCCACAUAAUGGCCAGCCAUGUCAAGCAGACUUAAUUGUGCUGAGGAAAGCAGGUAAAGAGUUGAGAAUUGGUGAAAGGUAGUUGAUGUUUCUUAUGUAAUCUAAGAACAUAGUUCUAACUUGUCAUCCACUUUUCUUGCAGUAUUCAAAAGGCCCUUUGUUAAUUAUUUUUUACUGUUUUGCUUUGAGAAAUUAGCUGGUGGGGUUUGGGGCCAAGUACGUUGUUCAAUCUGACCUGCAAUCUCCUUCUUUCUUGCACUUCCUUUCACACCAUCACAAGACUCUUUUCUGUGUACACGUGCGUGCAUGUGUGCAUGGUUGUUUGGAUCGCAAUCCGGAUUGUAGGAUCACGAUCAUUUGAUUCUACAACUCAAAAACUUUGAACAAUUUGGAUUCUAAGAAAAAUGGUAGUUUGCAGGGGUCGUGAUCUGUAUCUUAGGAUGGCAAUCCCAACUACGAUUCCACUGUUCAAGCUUUAGAAGGCAAUUCUGCCUUUUUAGCUGGAGCAAAUAUGAAAUCGGGCCUCUGUUCCCUAGCACAUGUGCCACUUUCUUCUUAAUCAUGUUUAGGCUCCAUUUGGAAAAUAUAAGGCUUGGAAAAUUAAGAAAAAAGGGAUGAAGAUGAAUGAACAGUAGAAAGCGAAGAAGUGCAGAGACACCAUCACUUCGUCUUCAAUCUUGAAUAAAUGAUGAGAUGGGCAUCAACCACUGUAGGAUUUCUGAACUGUCCCGUCCUUUGGAGAUGAGAGAGACAAAGCUUCUGUCCUUCUGCAACCAGAUGAGAGAGACCUCUACAUCCUUGAGAAAUUGGAGCACGAUUUGACUUGGCCUAGUAUCAUAAUAUCUUUGGAUGUAUACUGAUUAGAACUGACCUUAAACUUUAAACAGUUGAAAAACCUAGAAUAGCCAGUGAAAGUGAGUUUGAGAGAGAGAGAGAGAGAGUUGGGGGGGGGGGGUGGGGGAGGAGUGGGCAGGUGGGCUAAAUUGGAGAGUGUGUCCCAGAUCGAGGGGAAUAAUAUAUUAUCCUUUGAAAUAAAGAAAGACACCAUAUGUAUUGCAAGGGAGAGAAGGACAAAAUAAAGGAUUAGAAAUUCGGAAAAGGCACAAAAGUAAUUUCUUAUCAGGCUUCUUCUUGAUUAUUAUGGUGAUUAUUUUAUGGUGAUCCUAUUAAAUACACCUUAAAAACUUGGGCAAGGAGAUUUUAUGCUUUUGCAUCUUUGACAUGGUGCUUCAAUUGUUAGUUGAAAAAGUGGCAACUAAGAAUUUAAACCAGAGUAAUCUCUCACAUGAGAAUGCUACCUUUAAGCUUCACUAUCCCUCUUUUAAAGGUUAAUAUGCAUCUACUUGCAAUGAUUUAAGCAAGAAUUUAAUACUUAAAAUAUGUAGGAUCUUAUGAUCUUGAUCUGAUCUGGAAGACUUCAGAAGGAUCCUACUUAGCAUCUCGAUCCUGAUAACCUUUUUGUGUGUGUGACAAAGGUUGCCUAGUUUUAAUAUUUAUUGUGAAUUUAUUUGAUCUUAGUUAUAUAUUUGACAGGAGAAAUAUGGAUCCAGUUGUAAAAUUUCUAAUGGGCGACUCCAGAGUGAAACUGCUUUUCUGUUGGGUAAGCAGCUUUCACAUGGAGCUUUUCUUCUCUAUGUCAGUAUCCGUCUUGUCCCUGUGCUCAUAUUGCAUGGAUGGAGACUGACUGGAGAACAUGAAGAUAGAGUAAGGGCAAUUUUACAGUUCCUCAUUAGUUUGGUGUAAGAUUGAUCUUUGAAGCAUAAUGGGCCUAAGAGCCUUGAGUGUAGGACUAGCCUCUUUAAUUUCCGCAAAAGAGUGGAGAAUCGGUCUUUGUUUGCUUCUAUUAUGGAAUCCUGUGGCCUCCUUUGCUUCAGAUGGAAUGAAUAGCUAGUAUUUGUUCUCCAACAAGUUAUAUUCACUUUGAUGCUUCAAGUUGUCCAUUUUAUCCAGUGAGGGUACUCAGCUAAUUAAUAUACUAUAUCAAGUAGUAUGUUAUAUGAAUAAAUUUUCCAUUUUAAUUUUGUGAUUGCAUCGCUUCUACCUGAAUAUAUAUGUAUAUCCUUGGAAGCGAGCCAUAUUUUACCCUGCUUGUUUAAACUUUAUGAUACUUGAAGUCUUUCACAUUAGCAAGAAUCCUUAACAUCCUUGGUUCAGUUGAAAAUUAACUUUGUACCCAUAAUAUGCCCCCCUUUCCAUUUUUGUAUUUUUCCUUAUAUCCUUGGUUUAAUUACACUAAUAUUUUGCUUACAAUGCCCAAUUGGUAAAAGCAUAGACUUAAACCACUGUGAGUAACCGUUUCUUUGGUAGCUAUUCAUUUUGAUAGCUUACCUGGACCAAAGUGGUGCUGUUUGUUCGUGCUUUCAUCUCUCUCAAUUCCUUGCCAAAUCCGCAAUUGUUGACCAAGAUUCAUCCAAAUGGAGCUUUGCUUCAACUUAGGUGAGUGAUUAUGAGUUGUAAUUGUUCCGAAUCCAUUGUUGUUUAUACCGUCUAUUGUUUUUUCUGAUUCUGUUCACCCCCCUUUCUAGCGUUUUUCUUGCUCUUUGGUUAUGCUCUUACAAGAGUGAGUGCCUUUUGCCUCUUCAAGAUUCCUGUGAAGAGUUUUUGGUUUUUGAUUAGUAUUUGAUUACCCUUCAAUAUUGCGUUUCUUACCUUUACAAGUUGUGGUUCUUCUUCUUACAUGCUCAUCGGAAGAGAUGGAUUAUAUUCUGCAUCGACAGCCAAAAUAAAUGGUCAAACACCCAAUUAAAAAAACAAAUGCCAAAAGUGGCAAGGGAGGAAGUGUCUUCUCAGUCGGAUAUGAAUGAAGAUUCGACUAACUCCUAUGAGCAUACUAAUCACAUGAGAAGUGCCACAUGGGGUUGUUAUACAUGUUUCAUGUACAUGUUUGCUUUUACGACUUAUUGAACCUGCUAACCUGUGGCUUCUAACCUGUGAUGGAUGUACUAUCUGCUGAUCAUAUGAUGUCGUUGUGUCAUUGGGUGCAUUGUGCUUGUUUUGGUAGGAAGGAGAGAUGUGUUGUGCAAUUUGGAAAAUUUUGUUACAAGGAUGAAUGCUUGGUGGAUGUACUAUAUUUUGAGUCUCUAUUUAGACUUUAAGCUAAUUCUAGUUUUGUUAUUAAAUGCAUGAAAUCAAAUGUGCAGAGAAAGGAGGUGGAUAAACUUACCUCCUUGCCAAUUGCAUAUUUUGUUGGCUGACAUGAAUAAAUGCGCUUUAGACCAUCCUAAUAGGAAUUAUAUCUGCGUUUCUGUUAUUAAAUGUCGGUUGAUUUCUAUGAGAAUUUAAUGUUGUUCUGAUAAGGCUUCCCAAGGAACAAUUGCUGUCCUCGCUUGGGGCUGUUCCAGACAAAUUUAUCAACAAAAUAAGGCUCAUGUUAAGAAGCUCAUUGGUUUGCUGUUUUCUUACAGAGUAGCAUGGCCUUUCUAUUAAUGCAAGUAUAGCUGAUCUGGAGACGGUCCAAAGGCUGAUUUUGUAUUUGGGAGUAUCCAUCCUGAUUCAGAGGUUGCUGAUAAUAUCAUUUGGAGAACUUCUUCUGCUAUCGAUGUGGAUUCUAUCAAAUCGUUCAGGGAUACGAAGCUGCUGCGUGUUCUUUUUAGUUGUAGUCCAAGUUGAAUUGUAACUCUUUUUUUAGGUCAAGCAUGAUCAGAGAACCAGCUGGAUAUUUUUGUGGGAAGAAGAGAAUUCGUAGGGUGAUCCCACCAUAUCUAUUGUAAUCAUCUAAGUUGGUUGUACCUCUUCUCUCUUUUCUUUUUGAACCUUAUACCAACUUUGUUGCUAAUGUGCUGUUGGUUUUCUGUUGUAAUCAUCUAGUGCCAAAUGAAGAGAGAUUUGUGGACCUCAUUUAAAGCAAAAAUACUUUUCAAUAUCUUUCUUUAAGUACAUUUGGUUCGUCCUCAUUGGAAAACCAAGAUAAUACUAUUGGCUAUAGAACACAAGUAGAUGGUCCGGGGGAAAUAUAUGAACUGGCACUCAUCACAUUUAACUUUACUUUGUGUAAGGAAGAAUAGAAAAUACUGUUUGUGCUACUGUGAGAAAGAGCAACACAAUGGCUGCGGGAACGGACAAGAAAGCCCAAGGACUAUGGAAAUAUUCCCUCUUCAGUUUCGCGAUCCAGACGUUCCACUUAUUCUUGUAAUGUGCAUUCACAUUUGGGAAGAUCUCGGAGUAAUAGGAAUCGGAUACAGCGACAUGGUCACCGAUCUUGUUGAACAUCUGUGCAAUAACCUUGUCAUCGCCUAGGUAGUUCUUAACAAUCCCUGCGUGGCGAAGCACCUCGACGUCCUUUGAAGAGCUUAUGAGGCAAUCCAUGAAGGUCACGUAAUCCGUGAAGUAGUUGAUGUCUCUGCUUUGACGAUGCUGCUCAUAUGCGAUCAGGUUUCGAAAAUUUGAUUCGGUGUCAUCCUCUACAUACAAGACCAGUAACUCGAGUGUCCCGUUCUUGAAUUUGAUGUCGCUCAGUUCGCGCCCUUGCGCAGCCCUAAACCUGACUCCUGACUCCCUUAGCUCAAUCGCCGAGGGCAUGA
This 108682-nucleotide long non-coding RNA is filed under the name Eucalyptus grandis. Its description in RNAcentral is "long non-coding RNA (EGRA_LNC004960)". Lineage: Eukaryota; Viridiplantae; Streptophyta; Magnoliopsida; Myrtales; Myrtaceae. The record is from RNAcentral.